Molecule: long non-coding RNA, 118372 nt
Filed under: Populus trichocarpa (black cottonwood)
Lineage: Eukaryota; Viridiplantae; Streptophyta; Magnoliopsida; Malpighiales; Salicaceae
Description: long non-coding RNA (PTRI_LNC000062)
Source: RNAcentral
AAUAGUUCAGUAAGUCGAGGUGGGAUUUCUCCAUCCAGUUUGUUGUAGGAAAGAUCCAAGCUCUCUAUUUCCUUUAAGUUCCAAAAUGUUGGUGGAAUUGGUCCAGUCAAACUGUUGUGCGAAAGGUUCAAUGCCUUGAUCUUGCUGAGGUUUCCAAUUUCAGGAGGAAUAUUCCCGGUGAAAUUGUUGCAUGAGAAAUCAAUUCCUAUUAAGUACUGGAUAAUGCUUCCUUUAUAAGGAAGGGAUACAUUCUUUGUUGUAAACUCGAAAGAUUGUUGUGAUGAGAACAUAGAAUCAUGGGAAUUGUAUUGAAAAGGAAAAGGAUGAGUAGAUAUCAUCCAAGAGAGGAUGUUACCAGAAAGAUAAUUGUGAGAUAGAUCAAUCACGGUUAAUUGGUCCAACCUGCAUAAUCGAAUUGGGAUUUCACCUUCAAGAUUGUUAUAACUCAAGAGUAGAAAUCUCAAGUUAGAUAGCCUGCCAAUCCAUUCUGGAAUUCUACCAGUUAAAUCAUUAUGGGAAAGAUCUAAUGCGAAUAUCUCAGAGGAGUCAUAAAAUGCCAUUGCGAUCGGUCCUUGCAACUUAUUUCUAGACAAAUAAACAACUCUUAAUUUUGAAGAAGUGUUGAAUCUAGGUGGUAAAGGACCAGAUAAAUUGUUCCUUGAUAGGUCCAAGAAUUCAAGAGAAGACAUAUUCCCAAUCCAUCCAGGGAUCUGCCCUUGCAAACUGUUGUUGGACAGGUCUAACUCGUACAUCAAGCUCAUGUUACCUAAUGAGGAAGGAAUGCUUCCAUUGAAACCAUUAUCAGACAUCAAUAAAACUUCUAACCCUGGCAAAUGAGCUCUAAUUUCUGAAGGGAUUUGUCCUUGGAAGUGAUUCAUUGAUAUACUUAGGAAUGACAAAUUCACAUGAGAACUCUUUGGCAACAAGAAUGGACCUGAAAGAGAACAAUUUUCUAAAGAAAGACGUUUGAGGUAUGUGUUGUUCUCAAUCAACCAAUUUGGAAACUCUCCCUUUAUUUGGAAGUUUGUAAGAUCCAAAGAUUGCAGGCUGAACUGAUGGUAAAGGAACUUGGGAAAUGCUCUCGUAUUUUGUCCACCAUUGCUCAAAGAAAGGGACUCUAACUGGAACUUUGGGGUGAGAUUAUGAUCAUCUUCUUCUGCACAUAUUUCAUUCCCUGAACCAUAAAAAGACUUGAGUUUUGAAAGGUUGUAUAACGGGCUCAAUGACAUAGGUAUCUUCAAGUGAUUGGAAGAGAGAUAUAAUCGUUGAAGGGAAGUCAUAUUUGCCAGACACGGAGGCAAGAAACCAAUGAGAUCAUUGUCAUACAUAUAUAGCUCUUGAAGAUGAUUUAAGUCACAUAGGCCUGAUCACAUUAUAAUUUAGGAAAAAAAAUUAAAACUUUGAGUUUCUAAUGGAAAAGAUAUAACCUAGGGAGAGGGUAAGAGUCAUCAACCUUACCUUGGGUUGUAGGUAAUUGGCCAUUUAGACUACAAUUCUGCAACCAUAAAGUUUUAAGAGAGGGCAUCGUUCUGAUGGUUUGUAAGAUGUUGUUACUGAGAGUAUUGGAACUUAAAUCCAAGAAUUCCAAGUUCUUGAGAUUAAAGAAGCCUACUACAAUCAAGAAAUUAUAUUAACGUAGAAGCAAUUAAAAUUAUAAAGGAAAUGAAAGAGUAAGAGUCAUCAACCUUACCUUGGGUUGUAGGUAUUUGACCAUCUAUUCUGCAGCUCUGCAAAAUCAAAGUUCUAAGAGAGGUCAUCGUUCCGAUGGCUUGGAAGAUGCUAUUAUUGAGAGUAUUGUAACUCAAAUCCAAGUAUUCCAAGUUCUUGAGAUCAAGGAAGCCUGCCACAAUCAAUUAGACAAGAAAUUAUAUUAAUGUAGAAGGAAUGAAGAUUAGAAAUAAUUCAUUACUUAUUAAUCGUGGCUAAAAAACUAAAAAUAUCUAGUAAGUGUAGAAAUUGUAUUGUCCAUUUAAGAGAAUGAUUUUUUAUACGCCUGACCCAAAAAUAAAAAUACACCAUUGUUAAUUUAUUAUCCUCCUAAAAAUAGCACUCUUUGUAUAUGAAGUUACCUUUUUAUUAAAGAAAUUAUUGUUUUUUACGUUAUUGUUUAAAUUAUAUUACACUAAAAUGAUGUUGAAAGAGGGGCAAAAUUAAAGUGAAAUAUUAUUUAUAUUAAAUGGAUGGUAGAAUUUUAAAAUAAUAAAGAUUUUAAUUGAGUUAAUUUCUAAAUUUGAGGUUUAAUUGACUUUCUGUUUUUUUUAUAUUAUGAAUUUAAUUUCUAAUGGAUUUGAGUUGACUAGGUUAUGAAAACAUAAAAGAGAAAUUCUAAUUUAGCAGGCAUAGAAGAAGAAUAGUCAAUGAUAAGUAAUAGUGGAGUUGAAAUUUGUUAAUUUACCUCCAUAAGGUACAGUGACAAUGAGUGCUUGCAAUGACAGAUUUUUUAGAGAAGGCAAUGCUCCAAGACUUUGAAGGGAGUGUUCAUCUAGAGAACAACUGUCCAGAUACAAAUUUUUCAGGAAGCUCGAAUUUUGGAACCCCUGUUUGUCAAAGUAGCAAANNNNNNNNNNNNNNNNNNNNNNNNNNNNNNNNNNNNNNNNNNNNNNNNNNNNNNNNNNNNNNNNNNNNNNNNNNNNNNNNNNNNNNNNNNNNNNNNNNNNNNNNNNNNNNNNNNNNNNNNNNNNNNNNNNNNNNNNNNNNNNNNNNNNNNNNNNNNNNNNNNNNNNNNNNNNNNNNNNNNNNNNNNNNNNNNNNNNNNNNNNNNNNNNNNNNNNNNNNNNNNNNNNNNNNNNNNNNNNNNNNNNNNNNNNNNNNNNNNNNNNNNNNNNNNNNNNNNNNNNNNNNNNNNNNNNNNNNNNNNNNNNNNNNNNNNNNNNNNNNNNNNNNNNNNNNNNNNNNNNNNNNNNNNNNNNNNNNNNNNNNNNNNNNNNNNNNNNNNNNNNNNNNNNNNNNNNNNNNNNNNNNNNNNNNNNNNNNNNNNNNNNNNNNNNNNNNNNNNNNNNNNNNNNNNNNNNNNNNNNNNNNNNNNNNNNNNNNNNNNNNNNNNNNNGGGCUCAUCAUCAUGACGUUAACAAGUAGGUAAUGUGAAUGUGUUACGAAUUACCUCUUGAGGCUAUCAAUUUGUUAAUAUUAUUGCCGCCCAAAUACAAGGUCUCCAAGCUGCUCAGAUAUUCUUGAUAUUUAUAUAAACAAAUAGUUAAUUAAUUCACUACAACACAAAAAUUGUGUUUUUCAAAAUUAAAUUUAAUAGAUAAUUGUGUUUAAUUAAAUUGAAUAUUUAUAAAAAUAAUAGUAUUUAAAAAAACUAACCUUCCAAAUCUAUUAACCCCUCCAGCCUAUUAUAAUCUAAAUAUAAUAAUUUAAGAGAUGAAAAUCCCUUCAUAGAUGAUAAAAUACUGUUAUCGAAGCUAUUAGAUCCCAAGUCAAGGAUCUCCAAAUUGCUCAAUCUUGAUAAUUCAUAACCACCUACAUAAAAUCAAAAAUAAAAUUAAGACUUCAUGUAAAGAAUAAAAAAGAUAUUAUUGGAGUAAUUUAAUUAUGAUCAUUGAUGAAGAGGCAAGUAAUUGUUACAGUGACUUCAUGUAAAGAGGUUGAGGCGGUGAAAGAGAAAGGAAUAAUUGUUACAAUGAUGAUGUCAUGAUUAUAAUAAUGUAAGGAAUUAAACAACACCUUAUUGCUAAAUAUGAUUUCUAUUUUCUUCUAUGAAUUACUUACUGUGGAGAACCAAAAUUAAUGAUACUAAUUAAACAACACCUUAUUUGAUUAAUUUAAAAAAACUGAUCUAAAUAUUUUGUAAUACUUAAGAGAGCAAACCUUUGAUCUAAAUAUUUUGUAAUACUUAAGAGAGCAAACCUUUGUUCUCAACCCAACCAGCUAUACUAUUAUUCCACAAGGAGAGAGUGUUGAGUUGUUGGAAAGGAAGGAACAAGGAGGCAUUUAAGUACCAAUCUCCCAGUUCCUGGUUCCUUACGCUGUCAAGAUAGAGUCUGGUGACUCGACCUGUACUGCUGUUGCAGACAAUACUUUCCCAAUCACAACAGUGGGCGUCAGCUUUUAUCCAGGAGGGAAGGGAAGUGCCAUUGGGAUAGUUAAGAGAAUCUUUGAGGUGCAACAGAGCGAUCCUCUCUUCCUCCAAGCAACCAAGAGGCAGCCAUCCUUGCAGCGAAACCGUUAUCACUAACACCGUGAACACCUGAAGGAACAGCCCCAUCUUAAUAUAUAUCAACUAUUACAAUAUUAAUUGUUGCGAAUGGCAGCGAGGAGGUUAAGGCUUUUAUAGAGGACUUCACGGACCCAUGCCGUGCAAAAAACUGCAUGAUGGCAACGGACACUUAGCAGCCACAUAAGUAAGAAGCUUCAUUUUUUUGGUUUUUUUAAAAAAUCCACAUCAUAGUCGCAUCCUCUCUCUCUUGUUUUUUCUUAAUUUUUCAAAUGGCCGAAAUCCUAUUAAUAAUUUUUUCCAACUCAAAUUCAAGCCCUCCUGACCAAAUAUUUGUGCCUUUACUAACUCUUCAACAUUAACUAAAAAAAAUGUUCAACAUUCUAAUUUGAUGAACAUUUUCCAUUUUAAUUUUAACAAGGUUCAAUUUGAAUUUUUUUCCUACUGAACACAAAAUUUUUAAUAUAGUUCUCCUAUGAACACUAUUUUUUUUAGUUUUAACAAACUAAAAGGUUGUUUGAAAAUAAAUCUGAAAUCGUGUUUUUUUUUAAUAAUUUUUUUGUUUAAAAUAAAUUUUUUAUGUUUUUUUUAUUGUUCUGUUAUGAUAUGUUAAUGUUAAAAAUAAUUUUAAAAAAAUAUUUUGAAAACAACUUUUUUAUUUUAUUUUAAUACAUAAUUCACAAUAUCUGAAUUGAUUCAUUUAACAUUUAUCUUUAAUAUAUAUAAUCUCUUUGUUUUUUUUUAUAAUACUCUUAAUCUGAAUAUCUUCUAGGAAAAAAAAGCAUGAUGGCAAUAGUCCAACGGACCCAACUCCUGGAAAAAAUGCAUGAUGACAUCAUCCAACGGACCCAUCUCGUGGAAAAAAAAGAAGAAGCAGGAUGCCAUAGGACGGCAGUGUCCUCUUCAUCACAUUUGUUUUCAUUUUGAUACUAACCUAUUUGUUUUAUGUUUGAAAAGUAUUUAAAAAAAUAAUUUUUUAUUUUAAAUAAUUUUUUUAGUAUUUUCAGAUUAUUUUAAUAUGUUGAUGUCAAAAAUAAUUUAAAAAAAUAAAAAAAUAUUAUUUUAAUACAUUUCCAAACGAAAAAUACUUUAAAAACCAUCGAUUACCACACUUCAAACACCCCUUAAAUGUUGCUCGAGUUGAUUUUUUUUCCUUGUCAAGACUUUACUAUUCAUCCUUUUGUAUAUUAUUAUAGAUGAACUAUUUAAAAAUUUAUGUUUUUUAAUUUGUUCCUCAAUUUUUUUUUAAUAAUUUAGUUCUAAUUAAACUCUAGUUGUUCUAAUUUCUUUUGAAAAGAUAGGAUUACAAUAAGAGGGACUGAAAUAAAAAAAAAAAACACCAAAUAUGAGUGUAAUGCCAUAAGUUUUGUAAAGGAUGCAUUUUGAUUUUUAAACUUUAAAAAUCACAUGAAUCAUAUAAUUUCAGUAUCUUAAUAUCUUUUCAAUUUAAUUUUAAUACAAAAAUUUAUUUUUAUUAAUUUUUAAUUUCUAGUUAAGAAAAAAGAGAGAAAUCAUCAAAUUCUAACGGGCCCAACUCUUGUUAAAAAUGAAGAAGAAAAAAGCAUGAUCACAAUCCCUUUCGUUUUCGUUUUGAUAUUAUUGAUUUUAAUUUUUUUAACUUGAGUUUAGAGAAAAACUAAAUGAGAAUUUACCCGUUAAACUUGAAUGAUCAAAUCAGUUAAUCCGUAAAUAGUUCAACUUAGUCAAAACAUGGUUUUACUUUUUUUAACUAUGCAAUAUUUUGAACUUUUUUUAAAAAAUAAUUUCUUAAAAUGAUAUAAUUUUAAAUUAACACUGAUCAACAUGAACUAACCUGCAUAAUUUAUUACCUAAACCCUGAUCACUCAUGCCUAACCAUAGAUUGUUCUAUUUUCUUUAGUUUUGAUGAACAUGACAUUAAUUUAAUAACUUUAGUUUUGAUGAACAUGACAUUCUUAUGAAAAAUGUCGCGCGCACGUGUGAGUGGGAAAAACGCGUUUGUUCUAUUUUCUUUACUUUGACUAUAGUCUUCCCUGACAUUAUUAUUGUCACAAAGUGGGCAUAUUUCUUCUGUUAUCUUUCAAGAUUUGAAUUGAAAACGAGGGACGUAAUUAUACAUUAGUUGAAAUUUUAUGAUGUACAUUAAUUAAUCCUUUUAAAUUGAAGUCAAGUUAUUAAUUAAUUAAUUCCUAUAGAUUUUCAAUCCUCAAACCAAUUUCAAACAAAUCACUUCAAGUGAUUCAUCGUAGUUCAUGAUCAAUUCCUUAAAUCCUAUAAAUAAGAUUGAUCGAUCAAAUUUUAUAAUUAAUAAUAAUAAAUGAGUAGCAUGCUAAUAAAUAUUUGUGGAAGUGAACUGUUUUUUAUUGAAAAAAGAAUAAUUAAGCGAUCCUCUUCUUUUUAUAUAAUAAUAUAAUAACAACCGUAGUUUAAAUUAUCUCGAAAGGCAUGAUUUUUCACAUGUAAUUUCCAUCAAAUUCAAAAGGCAUGAUUUUCCACACGUAAUUUCAAUAAUAAUAAAAAAAAACAGUUGCAAGUCUUUAUAUUUAUCAUCAUCAUCAUAAAAAAAAAACAGACCCAUCUCACACUGCACAUUUUUGUCCAUCUUACUUCUUUAAUUGUGGAUUCAAUCAAUAUUAUUAAAAUCAAGUUCAACAUCAAAUUAUUUUUAAUAUUAACACAUUAAAAUAUAAAAAAGUUAAAAAUUAAAUUUUAUUCUAUUUUUAUUUGGAACGCAGCACUAACCAGUUAUUAAAAUCUAGUUUAGCUAGAGAGGAUGUGAUUAAAUUAAUUAUUUCGCUAAAUGUGGUCGAUUAUAUUCUUAUCCAUCACUUUGAUUAUUUUUCACUUUCUUCACUCUUUCUAUGAUUCAAAAGUUACUUAUUCAAAAAAAAAAAAAAUUUAAUUGUGGAAUGGUAUGGUAGUUGGAUCUAUUUGUUUUUUUUUUUUGUGUGGUUAAAUUAAUUAUUUCCAUAAAUAUUUGGGGGAAAAUAAAAUUAAUUAUUGCUAGAGAGGCACUGGAGCCUUUGAUAUUUUGCAAAGGCAUGGAAUUCGAUGCCAAGGGAAUGUAAGAUAGUUGUUGACUGCUGGCGUCAACGUGAUAAAGCAAUUAAUUAUAGUGAAAAUCAAAUAGUUAACAACGACAAGCUGAAUUCAAGUUAGAUUUAAAGUUGGAUAAUAAUUGAAGUAUUUUUAUUUGAAAAUAAAUUAAAAUAAUAUAUUUUUUAUUUUUUAAAAAAAAUACUUUUAAUAUCAUUAUAUUAAAAAAUUCAAUAAAUAUAUAUAUAAAUAAUUUUAAAUAAAAAAAUCAAAUUUUAUCUGAUUUUUAUUUGAAAAACAAUACCAUCUAGGGCAUAUCCAGGAAAAGUCUAUCAAGAAACAAAGAUAUUCGAAGAAUGACUGAAAAUAAAUCAAACCAAAGCCAUGGAAUUAGAAACCAAAAGAUGGACCAAAUUUGUCUCUAUAGUGAGCCAUCAAAGUGGUGGGGCAAAAACUUGAUGGGGAGAUAAUUAUUUAUUCAUCAAAACAAUUAUUUAUUCUGGAGGAAAACCCAAACUCAAUUUCAUUUGAUCAAAGUCAUACCAUCAAAGAAAACAAGAAAAAGGUAUUUAAUUAAUAUAAUAAUAAAAAAAUUUAAUUGUGGAAUGGUAUGGUAGUUGGAUCUAUUUGUUUUUUUUUUUUUUGUGUGGUUAAAUUAAUUAUUUCCAUAAAUAUUUGGGGGAAAAUAAAAUUAAUUAUUGCUAGAGAGGCACUGGAGCCUUUGAUAUUUUGCAAAGGCAUGGAAUUCGAUGCCAAGGGAAUGUAAGAUAGUUGUUGACUGCUGGCGUCAACGUGAUAAAACAAUUAAUUAUAGUGAAAGUGAAAUAGUUAACAACGAUAAGCUGAAUUCAAUUUAGAUUUGAAAAUUCUCAGAAACUUUACUAUUUUUCGCAAUGUAUGAAUAAUGAAAAUUCAGAAACUCUCCUUGCUGCAGGAAAUAGCCCUUGUUGUUGAAUUUGAAUCUAUGAAAAUAAUUCUGAAUUUUCACUAUAAUUUUCAUUAUAGUGAAAAUGAUGCAGCAAUAAAAUAUACCCACAGAACAGUAGGCUAGCCGAGUCAAAAGGAGGGUUGCCUCAUCUUAAUGAUAUUUAAUGUUGGAUAACGAUUAUUUUUUAAAAAAUUUUAUUUAAAAAUAUAUUAAAAUAAUAUUUUUUUUAUUUUUAAAAAAUAUUUUGACAUAACACAUUAAAAAAUACAAAAACAUUAUUCACUAUUGUUUUUUUUUUUUUUUUGAACUGCCUUGUCUCUCUUUCUAUUUUGUCUCCCAUCUGUUAGGCCUUCAAGAUUCAAAAUACAUAGCAAUUUAUGUUAGGAAUAUUGAUGAAAAAUAAAAUAUAACCAGAAAACAAAUACAAAAACAAAAAUUAUUUUUUAAAGUAUUUUUUACUUAAAAAUAUAUUAAAAUAAUAUACUUUUUAUUUUUUAAAAAAUAUUUUUUAUAUCAGUACAUUAAAAAUUUAAAAAUAUAAAAAAUUAAUUUUAAAUAAAAAAAUAAAAUUUUAUCCAAUUUUUAUUUGGAAUACAGUAUCAACGAAAAAAUCUAUCAAGAAACAAAGAUAUUCGAAGAAUGACAAAAAAUAAAUCAAACCAAAGCCAUGGAAUUAAAACCAAAAGAUGGACCAAAUUUGUCUCUAAAGUGAGCCAUCUUAGUGAUAAUUAUUUAUUUACCAAAACAAUUAUUUAUUCUAGAGGAAAACCCAAACUCAAUUUCAUUCGAUCAAAGUCACAACAUCAAAGAAAACAAGAAAAAGGUAUUUAAUUGAUAUAAUAAAAAAAAAAGUUGGUAUACUAAUAUAAAAAUAAUAAAAAUCUACUAAAAUGAGUGGAUUCAAAUAGAUCUGAAUAUUCAUAUACCUUAUCUUCUAAGUAAGAAGAAAUAAUAAAAAUAGGUGACGUUCUUUUCUCCGGUUGUAAAUGGAUGGAGACAUCAAUACCAAAAACAUGGACAAUUUCUUUUUUCAAUUUGAAUACUUAUUUUCACAAAAUCUUAUCAAUAAAAUAUCUUCACUAGUUCUAUUAUUAGAAUGAUGAUGUCACAAUUAACUUUUUUUUAGAUGAGUUUGGAUUGAUUUUAUUUUAUUUUUAAUUUCUGAAUAAUAAGGAUAUAUAAAAAAUAUUUAUACUUUAUAUCUUCUUUUAUUCAAGUACUCUUUCUAUUUAAGUACUUGAUAAACUAGUGUCUGUCCAUAAAUUUGUUUACUUUGAUUUCUCUAAUAAAUGUAAGGUUUACAUAUAGUAACUAUGGAAUAAUAAGAAUAUUAACAAUAAAAUUUAUUUAUAAAUAAAUCAUUGAUUUAAUUUCUUUGAAUUUUAAAUUUGGUGUGAAUAAAGUCAAGGGAUUUCCAAGAUAAAUAGUAUUUCAAAAAAUUGAGAAUCUCCCACUCUUCACUUUGUCUAUAGUUUUACCUAUAUUAUGGUCACAAAUUAGGGAUAGUUAAACUAGUGAUAUUUCUCGCACGCUCUUAAAAUUAUAGUUUUUUUAAUUUGUUCCUCAAUUUGUUUUUGAUAAUUUAGUUCUAAUUAAAGACCAAUUAAUUUUGAUUUAUUAUGAAAAGAUAGGAUUGAAUGAAGAGGGACCGAAAUGAAAAAGGCACCAAACAUGGGUCUCAUGCCAUAAGUUUCGCAAAUGAUGCAUUUUGGUUCUUAAACUUUGAAAAUCACGCAAAUCAUAUAAUUUCAGUAUUUCAAUAUUUUUCCAAUUUAAUUUUGAUACAAAAGUUUAUUUUUGUUAUUUUUUAAUUCCUAGUUAAGAGAAGGGAGAGAGAGGUCAAUAAAUUCAGGUGAUAGAGAGAGAAAAAUGUUAUUGAUAUCGAUUGAGAUCACCAAAAUGGACGAUAUUUGUGUGAAAUGACUUUAUUUAAUGAUGAAAGCUCAUAUUAAGUAUUUUUUUUACCUUUAAAGUUUGUGGAAAAAAAGAUUUGAUUUUGUAGUUGAUUUUUACCUUAAAAGAAACAUGAUAAGAUUUUUUUUUUUUUUUAACACUACUAAUCACUUCUUUAAAUAUACGUUAUUGUUGAUGUAUGAGAAUUUAAGUGAAAAGAAUUUUAGGAUUUCUAGAAAAUUGAAUUCUCUCAAAUUUUGUUAUAUUUUCUGUUUUUAUUUUUAUUAAUUUGGAUUUUCUUUCUUACUUUAUAAUAUUUUUUGGAUGAGAAUGAAAUAUUUUAUAUAAACUUUAAAAACAACACUGAUAUAUAUAUAUAUUCUGUGUUACUAUUACUUAUAUAAAUGGAUGAAGCAUGAAAAUUAUAGAAGGCGAUUGUCACAAACUAAACUCUGAAGAUGAAAUUGAAAAAUCUCAAGGAGCAAACUAAAAAUUUAACAAAAUCUUAAAUUAUAGCAUAUUAUCCCUUCUCAAGAAAUUAAAUAUGGCUGAAAACAAAUACAAAAAAAAAAAAAUUAUAGCAUAUUAUCCCUUCUGAAGCUUACGGGCAAUAUGGUCUCAUGGACUCUUAUCAUCCCUUUGAAGAAACUCCUGAUAGCAAUGGUCUCACGGACUCCUCACAUCGCACUUUGAUUAUUCUUCACUUUCUCGACUCUUCCUGUGUUUCACUACUUGAUGAUUCAAGAGUUAUUCAUUUGAAAAAACAAUUAAUUGUGGAGUCGUAUGGUAGCUGCAUCUAUUUGUUUUUUUAUUUUUUGUGAUUAAAUUAAUUAUUUCGAUAAAUGACACAUGUAUUGAGGGAAAAUAAAAUUAAUUAUUGCUAGAGAGGCACUGGAGCCUUUGAUAUUUUGCAAAGGCAUGGAAAAUUCGAUGCCAAGGGAAUGUAAGAUAGUUGUUAGACUGCUGGCGUCAAGGUGAUAAAGCAAUUAAUUAUAGUUAGCAACGACAAGCUGAAUUCAAGUUAGAUUUAAAGUUGGAUAAUAGCUAUUUGUUGAAGUAUUUUUAUUUGAAAAUAAAAUAAUAUAAUAUAUUUUUUAUUUUUUUAAAAAAAUACUUUUAAUAUCAGUAUAUUAAAAAAUUCAAAAAAUAUAUAUAAAAAUAAUUUUAAAUAAAAAAAUCAAACUUUUUCUAAUUUUUAUUUGAAACACAGUACCAACCAAGGUAUAUCCAGGAAAAGUCUAACAAGAAAUGAAGAUAUUCGGAUAAUGAUUGAAAAUAAAUCAAACCAAAGCCGUGAAAUUAGAAACCCAAAGAUGGACCAAAUUUGUCUUUACAGUGAGCCAUCUUAGUGGUGGGGCAAAAACUUGAUGGAGAAAUAAUUAUUUAUUCAUCAAAACAAUAUUUAUUUAUUUUGGAGGGAAACCCAAACUCAAUUUCAUUUGAUUAACGUCACACCAUCAGAGAAAACAAGAAAAAAGUAUUUAAUUGAUAUAAUAAAAAACAAAUUUGGUAUACUAAUAUAAGAAAAAUAAAAAUCUACUAAACUGGAUGACACUCAAACAGCUCUGAAUAUUUGCAUUCCUUAUCUUAUAAGCAAGAAGAGACAAUAAAAAAAAGUGACGUUUCUUUUCUCCCGUUGUAAAUAGAUGGAGACAUCAAUACCAAAAUAAACAUGAAUUAGUUAGAAUAAUUAUAACUAACUAAUAUAAUAGGUUUUAAUAUUUACUUUUAAUAUAUAUAAAAUGAAAGAUAUUAAGAGUUGAUUAAUGUGUUUAAGCUAUAUAUGUUUAAAUAUUUGCAAUAUGUACAUAUUCUAAUUUAAUAUUAGUAAUUAUAAAGUUUAUUUAGUUAAUAAAAACUCCUUCAUUUUUGUUUUCUCAUCUCUUACUAUUGUUCUUUCUUUUCUUUUGAAUUGUCUUGUCUCUUUAUUUUUUGUUUCCCAUCUCUCAAUCCUUCAAGAUUCAAAAUACAUAGCAAUUUAUGUUAGGAAUAUUGAUAAAAAAAAUAAAUAUAAUCAGAAAACAAAUACAAAAAAAAAUGAUAUUGGAGAAAGAGAGUAUCUAAUUCUAGUAAAGCAUUUAAAUUUCCAUUGAAAGAUGCGUCAUAUAUUAAUAUAAGGUCCAUUUUCCAUUAACUAAUCUGCGGUUGCAUUCUAACGCUUGAGAUUUAUUUUUUUUACUUAAGCAUUUAAUUCUUUUUUAUACACUAAAUUGAAAUUAAAGCAUAUUACCCCUGCUCAAGCUUAUGGGGUCUCAACUCUCAUGAACCCGUCUCGUAGAUAAAACAAAAAACGCUUGAUAGCAAUUGUCUCAUGGACCAUCCCACUGGUCUCUAUCGUGGAAAAAAAAUACAGAUGAUAAUGAUCUUACAGACCAUCCCACUAACCCACAUCUUUCUUUCUCUUUUGUCUCUCAUUAUACUUAUAAAACCUAUUCAAGUCGUAGACUGAGUGAUUUAGUUUAAAAUAAUAUUAUUUUAAGAUAUAUAUUUUUUUAAAAUUAUAACAAAAUCAUUUUAAAAAAUAUUUGAAUAGUCAAAUCUAGUUUCACUUGGAUUUUAACUAGACAAUAUGUUGACCUAAUAGAUUAAUAUAGUUUAAUCGGGUCAACUUUUAUAUAGUUUAAUAAAACCUAGUUUGAAAGUAAAAUACUAAAUUCUUCAUACCAUCAAGUUGACCCGUUAAGAUAAACCGGAUUUAAUAACACCUCUCCCGGCUCUCAAUCCAGUGAACACAAAUGAAAAAAAGCUUUACGUACAGAUGUUUGGGUUUGUUUAGAGAUUCAUUAUAGCAAAUAGGCUCAAAAGGUUGGAUAUGUUAUUACUUUCUCCCCCUGUCUUGUAUAUAGUGUCCUCUGUUUUUAUUUUAUGCUAGAUAGCCUCUAAUUUUGGCUCUACCACCUUUCUAUAAUAAUACUCGACUAUUAUAAAAAGAAGAAGAAGCAGAAGCAGAAAUAACUUAGCGCGUUUGUGUAUAGAUAGUUUCCUUGAAUGAAGCAUGUACAUGUCUGAUGAGCAGAAAGACAAAAAAUGGUAAAUGAGGACAGCAUUGCAUCACCACCAUGGCAAACUCGGCAUGACCGAGGAGUGCAGCAAUGUGCAAAGGAGUGUUUGAUGUGCUAAGGAUAUAUAGCCAAGUAAUUGUUUCUUUUUUGAGACUAAGAGUCAGUGUGUAGCGGAAUUAGCCUUCGUUCUCUCCUUCUGGUCAAUCGUCUUGGAGAGCCUAUGAUCUUGCCUUGAUCAAGACUCCUAUCUUAGUUAUUCAACAAAUAUGAAGAAAUUUUCCAAAAUCAUUUCUUGACAAAACAUCUCACGCAUCCCUCAGCCCUUGUCAAAUCCUCCAUCCCCUUAUGCCCUUGCACAGACUUGCCCCCGGGGUAAAUUCUAAAACUCGGGGCAUCUUUUAUAUGGAAUAUGCAAUUUCCAAAAGGUCUGAGGAAUCGAACAAAGAGGGAAAUGAUUGGGCAUCAGUCUUGAAACCACAAUGAUCCGAUGGACGAGAGCCGCUAGUGGAGAAGGAUUCAUGCAUCUCUGUUUUUGUGUAUUCCUCAUGCUCUUUUUCACUGUACAACAGAACUUUUGCCUCUUCAGUUUUUCCUUUUAGACUCUCUUCAAUCAAUGGAAAGAUGAAACACCACAGAAAGGUGUAAACUGACAAGAAAUUCAAUGCUCACACUUUGAAUUUUAAUUUGCAUGUUUCAGGUCAUUGAUAGCUAUACAUUAAAAUUACAGAGUAAAAUAUCAUUUAUCAAGAUUGUCUUGUUCGUUAUUGAUGAUGAUUAGUGAUUCGAAAUGGAUGCUGGAAAUUGGAACAAAGUGUUUGUGUAAUUUGCUACCGCUUUGGGGGACUUGAUUUUCUUUUCUUUGAGUUAUGUCGUGAAUUCAAGUUACGCAGGAUUUAAGAAUUCUUCAAGACAUAGAACCAUCUUAAUUGGGGAUCGAAAACUUGAUGGACGAGUUGUUAGAUAGGUUGUGAGAACAUCAAGGCCCAAAGAAGAAGAGGAAUUCUUUAUGGGGCACAGUCACAGGCAUAUCUAGAGAAGAUACAGAGUUGAGUUGAAACUUGUUAAUUGAUCUUAAAAAGAUACAGAGCCCCUGACUUAAGGCAAAGACAAAUAUUUUAGAGAAGGUGGUGCUCAAGGGUUUUAAGGGAGUUUUCUCCGGAAAACAAAAGUCCAUAAACAACUUUUCCAAGGAACUUAAAUUCUCAAUUAAUUAAUUAAUUAUAAUUUGGGUUAACUUUCACACUAUUUAAGUUUUUUUUUAAUAAAAAAAUAUUACUAACAUCUAUAUAUAUAUUUUUUAGAUUGAAAACAUGACUUGUAGCGUAGCGUGGCUACAAAUCUAUUAUUUUCACUAUUAGAGACAAGUACUAACUUGUUAAAUCUUUUAAAAUACACUAGAUGGAGUAGAAGUUCUAGAUGGAGUAAAGUUGUUAAAAUAAGAAAUUUACUUUGGAUUAAUAUACAAUCUAACCAAUUGAUACAAUAGAUUAUAAUAAAUUUAGAGUAGAAGUUCUAAAUAAGAUGACUGUAAAUUAGCGGCACAAGUCGUUCUUCCAAUACGCCACUUCCCUUCAACCAAGGAUAUUCAUUAACUUAAUUAUUAUAAUUCAAAGUAGAUUGUUUCCUUCCAAACAUGUUCUUGCUUAUCAUCCUUUAUCAAUUUUAUGCCAACAUAUUAGUUUUUUGUUUUUUAUGAUCACUUAAUACCUUCAAAUUAGUUUUCAAGUUUUGAGAUUAAGUUCAUGGAUCUAUUCUUACCACGAGAUUAAAAAUGAUUUUAUAUUUAAUUAAAUAAAUAAAUAAAUUAGUAAUAUAGAUAUGAUAUUCUUUCUUAUCCAAUUACCACAACAGAACGACCUAGCGUUACCAUGUUGAAACAAUGCCUACCCAAAUAACUCAAGCCCAAACAAUGACAUGAAUUGGGUAAGCAAUGCCUCCUUUCUUUUUUAUAACAAAUACUACUGGGCUUCAGAUAAAACGCUUCAGAUAAAACAAGAAGAAGAUAAAAUCUUUAUAAGCUAAGAUAAAUUGAUAAAGGAGAUUCUCAAUAAGUUAAAAAUGGAGGAUUGUUAAUCUUUAUAAGCUAAGAUAAAUUUCUAAAGGAGAUUCUCAAUAAGUUCAAAAUGGAGGAUUGUACAAAAAUAAAUACUCUAGUUGAGUGUGGAGUGAAGAUGUCAAACAAUUGUCGCACCCGACAUCGCGGCGGCCUUAAAAAUAACAUCAAUGGAAAGAACAAAUUUCUGGCAUCUUGUUCUUUUAGGAGAAAAGGUCUUGUUUAAGGAGUCGCCACCUAGUAUUAUGGUCACUAGAAACCGUAACUAGUUAACAGAGAUUCUAUGGUUCGGGACUGGUUACGUAAAAGGAAAGAUAUUAUCAUCCCUUAAACGUCUUGCCUGAGGCAGACUGCAUUGCUGAUUUUGUUUUAAAUUGCCAAACGUUUAUUAGUUUAUGCUAUGAUAAUUUGCUUAUAAUAUUCCCGACUCUGGCGCCAGUGAAUAUUCAACUACGGAUACUUCCAACUCUGACGUUGGUAAAUAUUAUGUAGCUAUAAAAUAAAUUAGAUCAAUAUUUUUAUACCUGACUGUAGCAUAAGUGAAUAGACAAAUAAAAUAAAUUUAUUUUUACACAUACACAUAUUUUUUAUUUUUAAUGUAGCUAAAUAAAAAUAAAAUACAAUUAAAUUAGUAGUUUUGUUCAUGACUCUAGUGUCAAUCAAUAAACAAAUAAAAUAAAUUUAUAUUAUUUUUAUUCAUGCAUACAUAUUUUUUUAAUUUUUAAUUUUUAUUAUUAUUUUUUGGACCGGGUCCAGCUCAGUCCAUGUGGCUGGGCUGGACCCAGCAAGCUUAGCCGGGUCACAGGCUUGACCUGGCUGGCCAUUGCUUUUUAGUUUUUACCAGCAAGCGUGCGUGAACUGCUCACGCACGCCUGCUACAGGAGCAUGUAAUUAAAAUGCAAGGAGGGAAAGCGCAACUUACCUGGCGCUGCACUUGAAGAUGAGGAUGACGGUGAUGGAGGGCCGGCCGGCUGAUGCUAUUUUCUCCUCCUCUGUUUUCCUCUUGGUGUUCCUCUAGUCUUCCUUCUCUCUGCCCUCUUUUUCUUUACUUUUAUGGGUUCCUUCCUCUUCUCUGAUCUCUCUCUCUCUCUACUGUGUUUGCUCUGUUUUUGUUUUUUUUUUUUUUUGUGUCACCUGUGUUUGUUCCUUUUCUUCCCUUGGUUUCUUGGUUCUCUCUCUCUCUCCUGCGUCCUCGGUUUUCUUUUUUUAUGCUUCCCCCCAGUUUUUCCCCCUAUUUGCGUCUUCGUCCUCCUGUGCUCCCUUCGUGUUCUAGGUUCUCUCCCCUCGGUUCUGCCCUUUUUUUUCCCCUCGGUUCUGCCCUCCCCCCCCCUCGUCUGUGAAUUUUUGCUCUGAAGACGAAGGCGAAGCUGGGGUACGCUGGCUUUUUCUCUGGUUUUUCUUCCCCUGUUUCUGUUUCGUUUUUGCUUCUCUCUCUAUCCUACCGGUUCACUUCCUCCCGGCCUCUCUGUUCUUAUCUGGCUUUAUAGCCAAAGAAUGCCAAGCAUCCCUACGAUUGAAACGGCUUCAAGCCUUUAAUCCAGAACCGGUUCCUGAUGAAUAGCUUCUAAAACGAUUGAAACGGCUUCAAGCUUUUAAUCCAGAACCGGUUCCUGAUGAAUAGCUUCUAAAACGAUUGAAACGGCUUCAAGCUUUUACUCCAGAAACAGUUCCUGAGGAAGAAGGCGAAGACGCCGUUUGUGUGAUGGGAAUAGCCAUUUUUAAUCUGGUCAUAGAAGUUCUGAAAUCGUGUAAUCAAGCCCCUGGGUAAAUUGUAAUUGGACCCCUGUAUUUCGGCGUCUUUUACAAGCUAGUCCUUGAACUUUAACCUGUUGCAAUUUUGCCCCCAAUUAACCCCAAACUUUGAUAUUUAAUUAAGUCCCUGAUUUUAUUAAUUAAAUUAAUUUCAAGUUCAAAUAAGUCUCAAAACUUAUCAAUUCUCCAAUUAAGUCCUUGAUUUGAUUAAUUAAAUUAAUUCCAAGCUCAAUUAAGUCUCAAAACUUAUCAAUUAUCCAAUUAAAUCCUUGAUUUGAUUAAUUAAACUAGUCAAGAGUUUAAUUAAAUCUCUAAACUUCCAAUCAUGUUGCCCUUAAUCCAAAUUUAUUUUUAAUUUCAUUCUUUAUUUGUUUUUUCAUCAUCAUUUUUCAUUUUUUUAUUAUCAUUUCUCAAUAAAUAAUAAUAAUAAUAAACAUAAAAAGGGUCAAAAAUUGGGUUAUGACAACAAUGAUUAAGGGGAAAAGAUAAACUCUACAACAUUAAUCAAAAGCCUAGUUGAGAGUUUGAAAUAUUUAACAUGCAUUCAUCUGGAUAUUCUUUUUGGAGUAGGACUUGUGAGUAGGUUUAUGGAAACACCAACUAUGACUCACUUCAAAGCUUUGAAGCGAAUUCUUCGGUAUAUAAAAUGUACUAUUGAUUUUGGAUUAUUUUAUGGAUAUUUUAAUAGUUUUGAUCUUGUGGGCUAUAGUGAUAGUUAUUGAGUUAGAGAUAUGAAUGAUAAAAAGAGUGCUAUGAGUUUUGUUUUCUACAUUGGAGACACAUCAUUCACAUGGAAUUCAAGUAAGCAAUCUAUAGUCACUUUGUUAAUAUGUGAAGCUGAAUAUGUAGUUAAUACAUCAUGUGUUUAUCAUUUCAUAUUGCUAAGACGAUUAUUGAAAGAAUUGUGAAUGCCACAAGAGAAGCUUUUAUAUGAACAACUGUCAAAACCUCUAAACCACAUCAACCACGAAGCAGUUUACCUCAAGUAAGGUGCGCUAGGGAUGCUAAUACCUUCUCUAACCACAACCAGUCUCUUACCCUCGAAUCUCUGACAAGACCAUUACACCCGAGUUUCCUAGCAACCCUGAAUCAAACAACUAGCUAGGUGGCGACUCCUAAUUGACCCCCCGAUGUUGCGCGUCCAUGUGUGACACUAGGGAAGAAGUAGAUGUUGAUGAGGUCAAGUUAAUCACUGUUCUUGCAGUUAAGGCUGGUGAAGUUAUAGCAAUUGAUGGAGUUGUUGUUGAUGGUAACUGUGAAGUGGAUGAGAAAACUUUAACUGGAGGUUCAUUUCCGGUUGCCAAACAAGUGGAUUCCGUAGUGUGGGUUGGAACUAUUAACUUCAAUGGUGACAUCAAUACUUCUCUCUGACACUCUAUGAAUUGUUUUUGAAUGCAUUUUGGCUUUGGUGGUAAUGGGGUGUUAGAACUACUGCUUUAGCUGAAGACUGUGUGGCGGCUAAAAUGGCAAAGCUUGUGGAAGAAGCUCGAAACAGCAAGUCUAAAACUCGAAGAUUCAUAGACAAAUUCGCUCAAUACUAUACUCCAGGUUAGGCAUACUGCAGUCCAAUUACUCAUCCAGUUUUAUAGGCUUUCACUGAAGUAGGGUACCGAGAACGAGUAUUUGGACAGCCCUUCACAUCAUUCUUUUAGAAUGAAUCGUCAGCUCCAUUGCUAGACAAUCCUACCUUUCAUUUUGUGGGAAAGUUUUCAUUUUAGUUCAUUGUUCAGAUUUGCAGCGGUGAUAUUCAUGCCGGCUGGCGUAGCAGUGAUUCCACUAGCAUUACGAGUUCAUAAUCGUGAUCACUGGUUUUACUUAGCACUGGUUGUUCUAGUCAGUGCAUGUCUAUGUGCUCUUAUCCUGUCUACACCAGUUGCAACUUUUUGUGCACUAACAAGGGCAGCAACAGCUGGUCUUCUAAUCAAAGGGAGGGUACUAUCUUGAAACACUAGGCAAGAUUAAGGCAAUGGCUUUCGACAAAACCGGUACCUUAACAAGAGGUGAAUUUGUUGUCACAGAUUUCCACCAUCUCUGCGAUGACAUCAGCUUAUAGACAUUGCUUUAUUGGUAGAGUAGGUCUAUAAUUCUUCUAUUAUGGCGAACUUUACUCUUCACUGGCAAGUAAUGUUUAUGCAAGUUUCUAAGGGUAUCAAGCAUCGAGAGUAAAUCAAGUCAUCCAAUGGCAGCUGCGCUAGUCGACUAUGGAAGGUGGCAUUCAGUGAAACCAAAGCCUGAGGAUCUAGAGGAAUUUCAAAAGUUUCCUGGAGAAGGAAUCCAAGGAAAAAAUGAAGUGAAAAAUAUAUGUAUUGAUAACAGAAAGAUUGCUCACAGAGCUUCCGGAACAGGUGAAAAGCCCUAAUUAUAUCCUAGUAAGAAUAAACAAUAUGAUUCACAUUUCAAACUAACCAUCUAUAAAAUAACUUUCAUCUUGAAAGUUUUUGGCAGUCUUAUAAAAUAACCAUGAUUUCUAUCGAUUUGUAAUCUGAUAUGUAAAUCAAUCGGUUCCCUUAAACCUUAAACUAACAAUAUAUGAUGUGUCAUAAUUUAACUUUUUAUUUUUUUCAAAAAUAAAUAAAAAUAAAAAAAAUAAUUUAAAAAUUGAAUCAAGAUAACAUAAAUUAAGAAUUAAGGAUUAAUAAUGAUGAGAUUAUAAAUUUAAAAGUUAAUUUGAUCAAAACAUGAAAGAAUUGAUAAGUUUGAGGACUUCAGUAAACUUUAAAUUAGUUUAAAUAAUAAAAUCUAUAGUUUAUUUGAAAAAAAUCAAAUUUCAGGAUUAAUAUGGGUUAAAAUUAUAAAAAAUUAAAGUUAAAGAACUAAAAUAAAUAAAUGGUGAUAGCAUUAGGAGGGUUAAUUAAUUAUUCCAAAAGUAAUUUUAAAAUAAUUAAAAGUUAAAUAGCUAAAUAAAUAAUGAAUUAAUUAAAUUGAAAACCAAAAAUUAUUUUUGUAAAUGGUAACAGGUUUCAAUUGCAAUUUAUCUAGGAGAAAAAUUAAAAUAGCCUUUUCAGGUGAAAACAACGCUGUUUCAAAACAAACUAUUCAUCUCCUUCAUCCCACCGAUUCAGCAGAAACGGCAGUAGAUCAUGGUCACGUCUCUAUCCAGUAUCUCUCCUCCACAAUGUGCCCCUAACAGUCCAGUAAUGGGCAUUUUUUUUUUCUCAAGCAUGACAGGACCGUGCUAAUCUCCACACUAUCCCGGGAGAGAUGAAGGGGCAUUCUCUUGCUCUAUAAAGACCACAACACACAGAGACGAAGAGGCAGGGGGGAAAAAACAGAGACAUAGAGAAGACAGAGAGACUUGUCACCUUCCUCCAGCAAAAGGGAACUUUAACUUCCCCUCACCGUAGGUUGUUGAUCCAACCAACCAAAUACAAACCCAGAGAAACCAGGACGAACAGAGAAAGGCCACAAAGAAGGGGAGAACCACAGACAGAUAAUACAAAAAAAACACAGACGAAAUGAACAAACACAGAUAAUACAGAGAGAGACCAAGAGGAACAAGAACAGAGAGAGACAGGGAACAAGAGAAAGCAAAAAAAAAAAAAGAAAAAAGAGAGAAAACAAGCAGAGAAAAGCAAGAACAGAGGUGAAGUGAACAAAAAACAGAAGUAGAGGGGAAGAAAGUAACAUUGGUUAGCCAGCCCUCCAUCACCAUCGUCUUCGUCUUUAAGUAGCAACUCCAGGUAAGUCUUUCUUUCUCUUUCCCCCGCUUUGCAGCUUCAAUUCUUAAUAAUAAUUGUAAUAAUAAUAACAAACAUGGAUUGAGGACCAUAAGGAACAGCAAACGAAAGGCCUUUUGUCAUGAUAUAUAUAUAUAUAUAUAUAUAUAUAUAUAUAUAACAGUAUGUAAGAAAUGGUUGCGGUGGCGAAUCUAGAAGGUGACAGACCAGUAACAGUGGCUGUGGAUUAUUAGAAUUCCAACAAGAAGAAUUAUAAUCUGGACUGGUUCAAAAUUAAGAGUCAAAGAUGUUAAUUACCUCAAUGUCUAGGAUUCAAAGCUUUUCAGAAUCCACACACCAAUUCAAAGAUCUAACAAACCAUCUUCAUUUGCAUCCAUACUCCCAAUAGCUCUUUCCACUCAGUAUACGAAUUUCAUACAAAACUUUAACUAUAGCAAUCUGAAAAUGGAAAUAUAUAAAGUUAAGCAUGAAAAAUGUUUCCCAAGACUUCAUUACAAGAUUGACCGGUUAAAUUUGUGAUUCAAACUGAAAAUACUUGCCCGGAUUAACCAAUGAAGAAAUUUAAUUAUUAUAUCACACAGAAGCUAAAAUGAAAAACCGAAACAUAAAUGAAAAUUAAUACAACAUCGCUUGAGCAUGCCUUAAAACUUGUUUAAAUCUUAAAACCAGAAUACACAACAAAGCACCAAGUCUUAGUACCAUCAAGGCUAUGAAAAUCCAAACUUGGAUAAAAUGGAAAGAUUCUGCACCAGAAAAUAAUAGCAAUUGUUGAUGCUCACCUCAAUAAAGUAAAACCAAGCUCGUCGCCAAUAUGGAUUUAUCUACAGAACUGCACCUAUCACUAGCAAUUGCGAGUAUUUUCUGCAUUUGAAUUUGAUUAGCUUGAUUUUAUGGUUUAUGCAAAUUGAUUUUCUUCUGAAUAGACUGUUGUGAGUGUCUGAUGCCCUGGUCUUUGAUUUUAAUUAUGGUUGGCUUUUCACGUUUUCAUUUUGAUUGAUUGUUUCUCUAUAACGUGGAUCAUUUCUGUAGGUUUCAUGGUCUUAUAUCCAGAGACCGGAGCCUGAAGAAAACUCGUCUGAGGUGUGUCAUUGUUUUUCUGAUGUUAAUAAAUUUUAGAGCCCAAAGAUUGGAAAAACUAAGAAUGAUGCAUGAUUGGACAUGCUAAAUGAGUUGUUCUGGUUUUCAUUUGUCUAUCUUGUAUAAUACGUACGGUCGAUUUUGUGUUUGAUGCCAGGCCAUCUAUCAAUGCCAACUUCUGGGCUGUAUUUUUCUCUCAUUCAUUGACAAUUGCAUGACUAGGAUUUGACCACCAUUCUUAAUAUUUUAUGCAACCUUUGGAUAAUUUUGGUGGGACUGCAUCUUUAAUUUUCUCCACACUAUAGGCUAUACAUUCUUCCUGCGUCUUCUUUCAGCGUCACAUGCAUGGAAAACAAAUAUUUUUUAUGAAGUCCCCGUGGUGUAUAAAUGUUGUUUCUUUGACACGGAAUAGACUUGUUAGGAUGUUGAUAGGGAGACCUUGUCAUGUGCUUGAAGUUGUUGAUAGGGAGACCUUGUCAUGUGCUUGAAGUGAUAUUUGUGAUUUCAGGCAAGUGCUCUUGUUUCUUAGAUGACAGAUGAGAGAUAUGCUGUUUUCCAGCAAAUUAAGCAGCUUCAGCAAGAACUAGUAAGGUGCUUAGUAUGUGAAUAUAUCAUGUAAGCUUAAUUGCUGAAAUUCUUUUAGGACAACCUUGCCUUUAGAUCAGUUGUGACUUCAAGAAAUAUUAGGUACCAAGAAAAGAAAAAUACAAAGACAAAUCCAUAUUCUGUGAUGAAUUCAGUACAGGAAGAUAAUGUAAAUUUUUUUUAUGAAGUCCUCGUAGUGUAUGAAUGUUGUUUCUUUGACACUGAAUAGACUUUUUAGGAUGUUGAUAGGGAGACCUUGUCAUGUGCCUGAAGUGAUACUGUACAGCACUUCUGGAACAUCAGAGACCAGAGGCUGAAGAAAACUCGUCUGAGGUGUGUCAUUGUUUUUCUGAUGUUAAUAAAUUUUAGAGCCCAAUGUAUGAAGAUGAUAUUUGUGAUGAAUUCAGUGCAGGAAGAUAUUCCAACCUCAAUUUCCAAACCCAAAAAAAACAUCAUCAAACCCUAACUGAAAAGCUUUUAUCUAUGAUAAAACAAUGCAAAUCGAAAAACCUACUAAAACAAAUCCACACAAAUGCUUAUAAACUCAAUACCAAAACCCAAUUUCCUUCUUUCCAAAAUCGUUGACCUCAAAGACUUGGCCUAUGCAUCCCUUGUUUUUAAUCAACUCACCAAACCCAAUAUUUAUGCCUUCAAUGUCAUGAUUCGUGGGUUAGCUACCACAUGGAAAAAGUAUGAUUUUUGUGUUGAAUUGCAUUACAAGCUGAAGUCUUUAUGCCUAAAAGCAAACAAUUUCACAUACCCUUUUUUGUUUAUAGCGUGAGGGAAUAUUUGGGGUUUGGUUCAUGGAAAUAUUGAUCAUUGUCUGGUGUUCAAGGCUGGUUUGUAUGGUGAUGAGCAUGUAAAUCAUUCUUUGACUACAAUGGACGCAAGGUGUGGUGAAAUCGGGUUUGCACGGAAGGUGUUUGAUGAAAUGGGUGAAAGAGACUUGGUGUCGUGGAAUUCGAUGAUUUCGGGGUAUUCUAAGAUGGGUUUUGCUAAAGAGGCAAUUGGGUUGUUUAUGGAAAUGAAGGAGGAGGGGUUUGAGCCAGAUGAGAUGACGUUGGUGAAUGUUCUUGGGGCGUGUGGGGAUUUGGGUUUGGGGAGAUGGGUGGAGGGGCUUGUUUUGGAGAAGAAGAUGGAGGUAAAUUCGUAUGUGGGGUCUGCCUUGAUUGUCAUGUAUGGUAAGUGUGGGGAUUUGAUAUCUGCGAGGAGGGUCUUUGAUUCAAUGCCAAACAAGGAUGUUGUCACUUGGAAUGCCAUUAUCACAUGGUAAUUAGACCGGUUUUAUACUUUGUAAUUGUCACAUAUAGUGGAAUUGUGUUUAUUUCUGUUCCUUUAAACUAACUUGAAAUUUGAAUUCUUCCUAAUUAAUCAGCUAUGAAAUAAAAACCACACAAAUAUAUGAAAUUUGUAAAUGCGUUUCAAGUUAAUAUGAUUUUUUUUGUUCAACUAUCACUUCAUAUGUGUGCACAGAAUGGAGCUUCCAAUGAAGCAAUUGUACUAUUCAUUGGAAUGAGAGAGGCAGGUCCUAAUCCAGAUAAAGUCACAAUGAUUGAAGUAUUGUCUGCAUGAUCCACAAUAGGGGCCCUUGAUUUGGGGAAAUGGGUUGAGACACAUGCAUCAGAAAUAGAUUUACACCACGAUGUCUAUGUUGCGAGUGAAUUAAUUGAUAUGUAUGCAAAAUGUGGGAGCUUGGAUGAUGCACUCAGGGUUUUUGAGAGUAUGCCUCAUAAAAAUGAGGUCUCAUGGAAUGCCAUGAUUUCUGCUCUUGCUUUCCAUGGGCGGGCCCUGGAAGCAUUAUCAUUAUUCAGACGCAUGUCAAAGGAUAAUGGCACUGUUCAGCCUAAUGACAUCACUUUCAUAGGAGUACUUUCUGCAUGCGUGCAUGCCGGAUUGGUUGAUGAGGGCAGCCAAUUGUUUGAAUCAAUGAAAAUGUAAUUUGGAUUGGUCCCAAAUGUCAAGCAUUAUUCUUGCAUGGUUGAUCUUUGUGCGCGUGCAGGACUUCCGAAUGAAGCUUGGGACUUAAUCAAGAAGAUGCCUGGUAAACGAGAUGGAAUUGUGUUGGGGUCAUUGCUUGGUGCCUGUCAGAGGCGUAGAAAUGCAGAUGUUGGUGAAAGGGUCAUUCAAUUGUUUCCAGAGAUGCAAUUAUCUCAUCUAAGAUAUAUGCAAAUAUGAGAAGGUGGGAUGAUUCUGCAAAGAUGAGGUAGUGUGGUGUCUCUAAAACCUCUGGCUGUAGCUGGAUUGACGUUGGAGCUGGUGCUCAUGAAUUUCAUGCUGGUGGCAGCUUACAUCAUCAUUCGGAGAACAUAUACCAAUUGCUGAAUGAGGAAAUGAAGAGAGAAGGUUACAUUCCAAAUAGCGGUUGCAUAUAGAGGUGGAAAAGUUGAAAACUUGGUGGCCUCUUUCAGCCAUUGAGCAGUGCAUUCGGAGGGAUUGUAUCUUCUGGUUGAUGACUGCAGCCAAAGUGUUGAAUGGCAAGUUGUGUUCUUAGGAGCUUGAGCAAGGAUCUCUAUCUUGCUGAUAGAAAUGUAUAGUUUACCCUCGCAUGAGUAUGUUUCUGUAGAAUGAAAAUGGUUGUUGGAUUGUUACAUGCAUUGGCUGUAAAAUAAUGCAAGUUCAUUGCGGAAAGAAUGCUAAAACUAUUUUUUUUUUAGAACAUAAGGAGGGAAUGCAGGGGGAAUUUUGGUGGAUUGAAAUAAAAUGCACUUGACACCUUUUAAGUUUUUAAGGGAUGCCAUAAAUCAUUUUCAAUAGUCCUCUAUGAAAAUGGUUUCCAUAAAACAAACAAGGCCAGUUUAGUUUUUUAAAGCUCCCUUUGCUUUCUUAACUUUCUCCUUGCUGUGGCAAUUGCAGCUGGAAAUAUGAUAAAGCUGAAGGACAUGCUAGUGGAAGUGGAAGAGAAGAAAUGCAUUUUGAUUUGUCAGUGUUUUAAGCAAGUGGAAGUGGAGGUAAUUAAAGAUUCUAACAAGAGACUUAACUUUAUUUUCAUAUAUUCUUUCACCGGAUAUUUGUCAUUUGUCAGUCUAAUUGGAUCUAUUAUUCUUGUAAUUCUCAUUUUCUAGUUUUUUUAGAGGAAGUUUAAUUUUUUUUUCUUUUUACCUUCAGGAGAAAGCUAAUCAUAUCAAAUACAAGGUUUUCUAGUUUUCUGUACAUCACUUUUGGAACAUAUUUUUGGAAUAAAUUUGAAUUGAUAUUUGUGUUGUAAUGUAUUCCCUUUAAUAUUAAAUAUUUUUGGAUAUUCGUGUUGUAAAUUUGAAUUGACCAUCCAUAAAUAUCAAGUAAUAAUGUAAUAUACAAGGGAAGUAAAAACUCAUGCAAUUGAAAAGCCCCCACUAUAUAAAAACCCACAAAACCAAAUGGAACUAUAUAAAUUAAUACAACAUCGCUUAAGCAUGCCUUUAAACUUGUUUAAAUCUUAAAACUAGAAUACAUAACGAUGCACCAAGUCUUGGUACUAUCAAGGCUAUGAAAACCCAAACUUUGAUAAAAUGGAAAGGUUGUCUACUAAAAAAUAAUAGCAAUUGUUGAUGCUCACCUCAAUAAAGUGAAACUAUGCUUGUCGCCAAUAUGGAUUUAUAUGCAGAAAUGCACCUAUCACCAGCAGCACCAUGAUGUAUGCAACCCAAAAGGUAACAUAGAAAACCUCCAUAUCUAUGAAGCCACCAUUAUCUUCAUUGUUUGUUGAAGUUGGUGUUUGUGAUGGUGGCAUAGCCGCACCACAUAUUUUGGGUAGCGGUUCUCCACAAAGAAAAGGGUUGUCCUUGUAGCAGCUCGCCUCAAACGUGGCAAACUGUGCAACUCUCGCAGGAGUCUUACCGGAAAAAUUAUUGUGAGCCACACUAAAAACUUCUAGAGAGAAUAGUUCAGUAAGACGAGGUGGGAUUUCUCCAUCUAGUUUAUUGUAGGAAAGAUCCAAGCUCUCUAUUUCCUUCAAGUUCCAAAAUGUUGGUGGAAUUGUGAUGCAGACCAGGUAGCAAACUCAUAUUUGGCGCGCCUAGAGCACCCAAAAAAGCAAAAGAGCUUAUCAUUGAUGAGUCAUAACAUGCAUAAUCAGGCACUUUAAGUUUCUUACGUGACAGUUGGAAUUUCCUCCUGUUUCCUUAUUUAGCUUUUAUUCUCCCAAUUAUUUUAGGACUGUUUGUUUUAGAAGACUAAGAGUUUCUUUUCGUUUCUUCCUUUAGCUUUUAUUUCCACAUUAAUUCGAGACUGUUCCCAAUUUAAUUGAGUAGUUUUAGGAGUGUAAGAGAUUCGUUUUCUCUAUUUAUUUGGUUGUAAUCGCUUUGCAAUGGGCAGUUGGAAUAAAAACAAAAACUCCUUUGAGUAGUUAACUCAAAUAUCUCUCUUUCUUCUGUUUUUCUGCGGAAUUCCAGAUCAAAGAAACCCUUGUUUGUUAGAAUGCAUGUGAGUUCCGUUCUGGUCUGCAUCAGGUUGGUAUCAGAGCCAGGUUAGUUAUCAUCGUCAUGGCACCAAAGAGACACGCAAACCUACCGAACCUUCGUGAACAACCGUUGGAUGAAGUCUAUGAGUGCGAUGAGAUUGCACGACUACAACAUCAAGUCGAGACGUGAACGCAGCAGUUGGCAGCGUUAAUGGCUCAACAUCGGGAUCCGAAUCCACAAGACGUGGAAGAAGAGUCCGAAGGUGACGAAAAUCCAUUCGCCCCUCAACCAGUGUAGAGGAGGCCAGCGAAUGAUGAAUCAAGGCAUUAGGAGUCAGGCCUUAAGGUCGACAUACUAGAGUUCCAUGGUGGUUUGCAAGCGGAUGAAUACCUCGAUUGGAUCAAUAUGGUAGAGGAAGUCUUAGAGUUUAAACAGGUUCCAGAAGACAGACGGGUAGCGCUUGUUGCAACAAAGCUUAGAGUUCGGGUUGGGGCUUGGUGGCAACAGAUAAAGAAAACAAGGACUCUACAAGGGAGAGGAAAGAUCACGUGCUGGGACAAGAUGAAAAAACACAUGCGUUCUGCGUUUCUACCAUGCAACUACACACGGACACUCUACCAACGGUUACAAAAUCUAAGACAGGAAAACCGCUAAGUUGAUGACUACACUACGGAGUUCUAUCAAUUAGUAUCGCGAGAUGCGAUUGCAGAGGAUGAGUAGUUGCGGGUUGCGCGAUAUAUUGGAGGGCUGCGGAUUCAAUUCCAAGAUGUCCUGAAUAUGUUUGAUGUGUUGAGUGUGUCAGAUGCCCACCAGAGAGCAGUGCAGUUAGAGAAACAACUAAUGCGUGGAAAUACAAGGAGUAUGAACUUUGGAGGUUCUAAUGCAAAUACAAGCAAUAACAGCGGACGAACAGGGAGUAUGAAUUUCGGGGGAACCAGUACAGGUGGUGCAAGCAGCAGUAACGCACGAACAACCAUUCCACCAUCUACUACUAUCAAGCCUACGAUGCCUGCACACACAACGACACCGAACACAGGUUUUUGUUGCUUUAACUGCGGAGAACCAGGACACAGGUUCGCAGAGUGUAAGAAAGGAGCAUGGAGAGGGUUGUUUUUGGACAUCGAAGAAAUUAGUAGGGAACAAGAUGGCGAUGUUGAGGCAGAACCAGUUUAUGAUGAGGAAGAGCAUUUAGAGGGGGAUACUGGAUCGAUGUUAAUGGUCCGACACAGUUGUUUAGCGUCACGCGAGAUAAAGGAUGAUUGGUUAUGCACUAAUGUAUUCUAGUCCACUUGCACAAUCAACAGGAAAGUCUGUCGGUUCAUCGUUGAUUCAGGUAGUUGUGAGAAUGUAGUGUCCGAUGAAGUGGUCUGUAAACUACACAUGGCAACAUAAUCACAUCCUCGACCAUAUAAAUUAACAUGGCUAGAUAAGAAGAAUGAUGUUACAGUAUCAAAAUGCAGCUUGGUAUCUUUUUCAAUCGGCACAACAUACAAAGAUCAGAUUUGGUGUGAUGUGGUCUCCAUGGACGCCUGUCAUUUAUUAUUGGGCAGACCGUGGUUAUAUGAUCGACAUGUGAUGUAUGAUGGGUUCCUGAAUACAUGCACUUUCAUAUUUAAUUCAAUCAAAGUUGUGUUGCUACCAAAGAAGGAAACUACAGGUGGUAUUCUGACAGGAGAAAAAAACAAUUUAUUGACAAUGGCUAAAUUCGAAGCAGAGAUCAGAGAAUCUGGGGUGGUUUAUGUGCUGAUCGGAAGGAUGGAAGUUGAGAAUGGCACUAUUCCAAGCAGCGUGGAGCCAUUAUUGCAGGAAUUUGGAGAUGUAUUUCCGGCUGAGCUUCCUGAGAACCUACCCCUAUUAAGGGACAUUGAACAUCAAAUUGAUCUGGUUCCAGGUGCCAACUUGCCCAACAGGCCGCAUUAUCGGAUGAGUCCAAAGGAGCAUGAAGAGUUACGGUGCCAAGUAGAGGAAUUGCUAAUAAAAGGGCAUAUUCGGGAGAGUCUUAGCCCAUGUGCGGUGCCUGCCCUUCUGACCCAAAAAAAAAAAACAUGACAUGGAGAAUGUGUGUUGACAGCAGGGCCAUCAAUAAGAUUACGGUUCGAUACAGGUUUCCGAUCCCACAGUUGGAUGACUUGCUGGAUCAGUUGAGCGGAGCCAUAAUAUUCACGAAGCUGGACUUGAAGAGCGGGUAUCACCAGAUUCGUAUCCGGCCAGGAGAUGGGUGGAAAACGGCCUUCAAAACUCGAGAAGGACUCUUUAAGUGGAUGGUCAUGCCUUUCAAACUGUCUAAUGCCCCAAGCACAUUUAUGCGGGUGAUGAAUCAAGCCCUGCGGCCCUACAUUGGUAAGAGCGUGGUGGUAUAUUUUGAUGACAUUUUAAUUUACAGCAUUGAUCCUAGGAUGCACCUACAACAUCUUCGGGAAGUUUUGGUCGUGUUACGUAAGGAACAAUUCUUUGCAGCAAAAGGAAAAUGUGUGUUCUUAACUAACCGAGUCUUGUUCUUGGGUUACAUUAUCUCUUCUGAGGGGCUUUUAGUAGACGACUAAAAAAUUAAAGCCAUCAAACAGUGGCGACAACCGUAAACCGUGACUGAUGUCCGAAGCUUUCACGGGUUGGCAUCAUUCUAUCGCCGAUUCAUUCCUCACUUCAGUGGUAUAAUGGCCCCAGUGACUGAUUGUAUAAAGAACAAUAGCAAGUUUGUGUGGACACCUGAGGCCGAAAUAGCCUUCUAAGAAAUCAAGAAACAAUUGACCACCGCCCCAGUACUUGUCCUAUCUGACUUUUCAAAUCCAUUUAAGCUACACGGUGACGCCUCAAAGCUAGGAAUCGGAGUGGUUCUAAGCCAAAAUGGCAGGCCUGUCGCCUUUUUCAGUGAGAAGCUUUCAGGAGCAAAAUUACGGUAUAACACCCAUGACGUUGAAUUUUAUGCAGUGGUUCAAGCGGUAAGACAAUGGCGACAAUAUCUAUUUCUUCAGGAGUUCGUCCUAUUUACUGACCAUGAUGCCCUCAAACAUAUGGGGAGUCAAGAUAAAAUUUCAUCCCGACAUGCAUCUUGGGCUGCGUACUUACAACAAUUCACUUUUGUCAUCAAACACAAAGCGGGUACACUGAACCGAGUGGCUAAUGCCGUCAGUCGUUGAAAAAAUCUGCUGGUUGACAUGCGAAUCAAAGUAUUGGGUUUCGACUCCUUUCAAAAUUUGUAUGCAUCUGAUUUUUUUGCUGCUGUAAUAGAGAAAAUUCAUAACAACCAACAGAGUGACUUUGUUCUCCACGAUGGAUUUGUUUUCAAAGGAACCCAACUGUGUAUACCUGAGUGUAGUCUCCGAAACAAGAUCAUACAAGAACUGCACAUAGAAGGACAUGUGGGAAGAGACUGGACUUACUUGCUGGUGGCUACGUCCUACUUCUGGCCAUCCAUACGGAAGGAGGUUGGUCAUUUUAUUGAGCGAUGUAGGGUCUGUCAUGUUGCUAAGGGAGGAGCCACCAAUGCCGGUUUGUACAUUCCACUUUCUGUUUCAGUACGACCAUGGUCCGACAUCAGCAUGGAUUUUGUUUUAGGCCUCCCGCGUACACAACAGGGAUUCGACUCCAUUUUUCAUAGUGGUAGACAGGUUUUCAAAAAUGGCCCACUUUAUACCAUGCAAGAAAACAACAGAUGCUGUUAAUGUGGCUGAAUUGUUCUUUUGAGAAAUUUAUCGGUUGCAUGGCUUGCCAGAGUCAAUCGUAUCUGAUAGGGACACUCAUUUCCUAAGCCAUUUCUGGCGGAGUCAGUGGAAGAUGGUUAAUACUCACCUGAACUUCAGCAGUGCUUAUCAUCCUUAGUUCGAUGGGCAAACCGAGGUGGUGAACCGGUCGUUAGGUAACCUCCUUCGCAAUUUGGUGGGUGAUCAGAUAAAAUCUUGGGACAAGAAACUUGGCCAGGCAGAGUUCGCUCAUAACCAUACAGUCAAUCGUAGCAGCAAGUUCAGCCCCUUUGAAAUCGUGUGUGGGUUUCUCCCACGAUGUCCACUUGACCUAGCUAAUCUCCCGAGCAACACCGCAACACCAAAGUUAAUCAUAAGGCAGAGGACUUUGUCACUCAGUUGCAGGACAUUCACAACCUUACCCGACAGAACUUGCUGGAAUCUUUUGCCAAAUUCAAACUCGACACAGACCGCAAGCGGCGUCUUGUCAAUUUUGAGGUGGGUGACUUCAUUUGGGCUAUGCUAACGAAGGAUCGUUUUCCUAUAGGCGAAUACAAUAAACUAUCAGCACAAAAGAUUGGUCCCGUGGAGAUUAUGGAGAAAAUAAAUUCCAAUGCUUACCACCUCAAGCUACCUAGUCAUAUUCGCACAGCAAAUGUAUUUAAUGUCAAGCACCUAAUUCCUUUCCACGAGGAUUUGUCAUCAGAAGAGGAAGAUUUCUUGAAUUCAUGGUCGAAUUCUUCUCAGCAUGGGGAGGAUGAUGCAGACCAGGUAGCAAACUCAUAUUUGGCGCGCCUAGAGCACCCAAAAAAGCAAAAGAGCUUGACAUUGAUGAGUCAUAACAUGCAUAAUCAGGCACUUUAAGUUUCUUACGUAACAGUUGGAAUUUCCUCCUGUUUCCUUAUUUAGCUUUGAUUCUCCCAAUUAUUUCAGGACUGUUUGUUUUAGAAGACUAAGAGUUUCUUUCCAUUUCGUCCUUUAUCUUUUAUUUCCACAUUAAUUCGGGACUGUUUGCCAAUUUAAUUGAGUAGUUUUAGGAGUCUAAGAGAUUCGUUUUCUCUAUUUAUUUGGAUGUAAUCGCUUUACGAUGGGCAGUUGGAAUAAAAACAAAAACUCCUUUGAGUAGUUAACUCAAAUAUCUCUCUUUCUUCUGUUUUUCUGCGGAAUUCCAGAUCAAAGAAACCCUUGUUUGUUAGAACGCGUGUGAGUUCCGUUCUAGUCUACAUCAAAUUGGUCCAGUCAAACUAUUGUGCGAAAGGUUCAAUGCCUUGAUCAUACUGAGGUUUCCAAUUUUAGGAGGAAUCUUCCCGGUGAAAUUGUUGCAUGAGAAAUCAAUUCUUAUGAAGUACCAGAUAUUGUCGCCUCUAUAAGAAAGGGAUACAUUCUUCGUGUAAACUCGAAGGAUUGUUGUGAUGAGGACAUAGAAUCAUGAGAAUUGUAUGAUUGUGGGAAAUGAUGAGUAGAUAUCAUCCAAGAGAGGAUGUUACCAGAAAGGUGAUUAUGAGAAAGAUCAAUCAAGGUCAAUUGGUCCAACCUGGAUAAUUGAAUUGGGAUUUCACCUUCAAGAUUGUUAUAACUCAAGAGUAGAAAUCUCAAGUUAGAUAGCCUGUCAAUCCAUUCUUGAAUUGUACCAGUUAAAUUAUUAUGGGAAAGAUCCAAUGCCAAUAUCUCAGGGUGGGUCAUAAAAUGCCAUUGUGAUCGGUCCUUGGAACUUAUUUCUAGACAAAUAAACAUAUCUCAAAUUUGAAGAAGUGUUGAAUCUAGGUGGUAAACGACCAGAGAAAUUGUUCCCUGAUAAGUCCAAGAAUUCAAGAGAAGACAUAUUUCAUAUCCAUCCAGAGAUCUGCCCUUGCAAACUGUUGUUCGAAAGUAUUCUUCCAGUCAAAAGAUUGUUGGAUAGGUCUAACUCAAACAGCGAGUAAGGAAUGCUUCCAUUGAAACCAUUAUCAGACAUCUUUAAGACUUCUAACCCUGGCAAACGAUCUCCGAUUUUUAAAGGGAUUUGGCCUUGAAAGUGAUUCAUGGAUAUCCUUAGGAAUGACAAAUUCACAUGAGAAUUCUUUGGCAACAAAAAUGGACCCGAAAGAGAACAAUUUUCUAAAUAAAGUCUUUGAAGGUAUGUGUUGUUCUCAAUCAACCAAUUUGAAAACUCUCCCUUUAUUUGGAUGUUUGCAAGAUCCAAAAAUUGCAGGCUGAACUGAUGGUAAAAGAACUUGGGUAAUGCUCCCGCAUCUUGUCCACGACCUCUCAAAUAGAGGGACUCUAACUGGAACUUUGGGCUCAGAUUAUGAUCAUCUUCUUCUGCGAAUAUUUCAUUACCUGAACUAUAAAAAGACUUGAUUUUUGAAAGGUUGUAUAAUGGGCUCAAUGACAUAGGAAUCUUGAAGUGAUUGGAAGAGAGAUAUAGUUGUUGAAGGGAAGUCAAAUUUGUCAGACACGAAGGCAAGACUCCACUAAGAUCAUUGUCACUCAUAUCUAGCUCUUGGAGAUGAUUUAAGUCACAUAGGCCUAGUUACAUUAUAAUAUAGAGAAAAUUAAAACUUUGAGUGUCUAAUGGAAAAUACAUAACCUAGAGAGAGAAUAAGAGUCAUCAACCUUACCUUGAGCUGUAGGUAUUUGGCCAUCUAGUUUGCAGCUCCCCAAAAUCAAAGUUUUGAGAGAAGUCAUUGUUUCGAUGGAUUGUAAGAUGUUGUUAUCAAGAGUAUUGGAACUCAAAUCUAAGUAUUCCAAGUUCUUGGGAUUAAGGAAGCCUGCUGCAAUCAAUUAAACAAGAAAUUAUAAUUGCGUAGAAGGAAUUAAUUAUAAAGGAAAUGAAAGAGCAAGAGUGAUCAACCUUACCUUGGGUUGUAGGUAUUUGGCCAUUUAGACUGCAAUCCUCCAAUUUCAAUAUUUUAAAAGAGGUCAUCGUUCUGAUGGUUUGGAAGAUGCUAUUAUUGAGAGUACUGUAACUCAAAUCCAAGUAUUCUAAGUUCUUGAGAUCAAGGAAGCCUAUCACGAUCAAUUAAAUAGAAAUUAUAUUAGCGUAGAAGGAAUUAAAAUUAGAAAUAACUCAUUACCUAUCAAUCAUGGCUAAAGAAACAAAAAAUAUCAGGUAAGUGUAGAAAUUGUACUGUCCAAUUAAUAGAAGGUUUUUUUUAUACGUUUGACCCAAAAAUAGAAAUACACCAUUGUUAAUUUAUUCUCCUCCUAAAAAUAACACUCUCUAUAUAUGAAGUUAUAUUGUUUUUUAUGUUAUCAUUUUAAUUACAUUACACUGAAAUGGUGUUGAGAGAGGGGCAAGAUUAAAGUGAAAUAUUAUUCAUAUUAAAUGGAUGGUAGAAUUUUAAAAUAAUAAAGAUUUCAAUUGAGUUAAUUUCUAAAUUUGAGAUUUAAUUGUCUCUCCAAGACUUGUUUAGUAGGUUGCUAAAACAUAAAAGAAGAAAUCUAUACGACACCUAAUUGUAGCAGGUAUAGAAAGAAAUAAAAUGAUCAAUGAUAAGUAAUAGUGGAGUUGAAAUUUGUUAAUUUACCUCCAGAAGGUACAGUGCUAUUAAGUUCUUGCAAUGACAGAUUUUUUAGAGAAGGCAGUGCUCGAAAGCUUUGAAGAGAGUGUUCAUCUAGAGAACAAGAGUCCAGAUACAAAUUUUUCAAAAAGCUCAAAUUUUGCAACUCUGUUUGUUCAAUAGUAGCAAAUUGAAUUUUUCAAUUAAACCCAAAUAUAUAAACAUCACUAUAUAUGUAAUAUAACUUACUAUCACCUAAUAUUCUUCCUCUAAAAUCGUAGAAUCCCAGAUAAAGUGUUGUGAGGUUUGGGAAUGCUCCUAAUGAUUGCAAUAACUGGAAGCUACUUCCAUAGGUUAUGAUAUUCUCUAGCCAUAGAGUCCUCAAGUUGCUUGGACCUGCAAGUUAGUUAUGGAAGAAACAAGAAUAAUUAAUAUUAUCUUCAUGAUGCUACCAACAGGUAGGUAAUGUGAAUGUGUUACUAAUUACCUCUUGAGGCUACCAACUUGUUAAUAUUGUUGCCGCCCAGACCCAAUUCCUCCAAGCUAGUUAGAGAUUCUUGAUAUUUAUAUAUAAAAAAAUAAAUUAAUACAAUACUCAUUAAUUGUGUUUUUGAAAUUAAAUUUAAUAGAUAAUUGUGUUAAUUAAAUUUAAUAUUUAUAAAAAUAAUAGUAUAUAAAAAAACUAACCUUUCAAAUCUAUUAACCCCUCCAGUCUAUUAUAAUCUAAAUAUAGUGAUUUAAGAAACGGAAGCCCUUCCACAAAUAAUAGAAUACUGUUAUCGAAGCUAUUAUAUUCCAAGGCAAGGAACUCCAAAUUGCUCAAUUUCUGUAACUCAUAACCACCAAUAUAAAUAAAUAAAUAAAUAAAGACUUUAGGUAUAGAAUAAAAAAGAUAUUAUUGGAGUAAUUUAAUUAUGAUUGAUUAAGAGGCAUGUAAUUGUUACAGUGAAGGUUGAGGUGGUGAAAGUGAAAAUAAAAAGAGUAAUUGUUAAAGUGACGGUCUAUGUCUAUGUCAUGAUUAUAAUAAAAUUGGCAAUUUAAUAAUAUAUGUUGUGGAAUUAAACAACACCUUGUUACUAGAUAUGAUUUCUAUUUCUUCGAUGAUGAAUUACUGUAGAGAACUAAAAUUAAUGAUAGUAAUUAAACAACACCUUAUUUGAUUAAUUCUAAAAAAAUAAAAGUAAUAUAAAUAUUUUGUAAUACUUAAGAGAGCAAACCUUUCUUCUCAACCCAACCAGCUAUGCGAUUAUUCGACAAGGAGAGAACGUUGAGUUGUUGAAAAGGAAGAAACAAGGAGGCAUUCAAGUACCAAUCUCCCAGUUCCGGAUUCCAUACGCCCCCAAGACCGAGUUCGGUGACUCGACCUGUACUGCUGUUGCACUCAAUAAGUUCCCAAGAACAACAGUUGGCGUCUGCUUUCAUCCAGGAGGGAAGGGAGGUGCCAUUGGGAUAGUUAAGAGAAUCUUUGAGCUGCAAGAGAGCGAUCCUCUCUUCCUCCAAGCAACCAAGAGGCACCCAUCCUUGCAGCGAAACCGUUAUCACUAACACCGUGAACACCUGAAGGAACAGCCCCAUCUUAUUAAUAUCAACUAUUACAAUAUUAAUUGUUGCCAAUGGCAGCGAGGAGGUUAAGGCUUUUAUAGAGGACUUCACGGACCCAUGCCGUGCAAAAAACUGCAUAGUUGUUUUAAAGAAUUCCAUAUCAUAAUGAAAACAAUAUAUCUCAGUAAUUUGUAAAAAUAUCUUAAUGAAUAAAUAUAUAUCCACUUCAUAGUCUCUCUUGUUUUUUUCUUAAUUUUUCAUUAAUUUGGCCAAUAUAUAUUAAUAAGAGAAAUCCUACUAAUACAUAUUUUUGUUUUUGCUGUGAAUAAAUUUAGAUAUCCAACGCUGUUGUUGUUGUAGUCAAUUUUUCCAUCUAAACUGCGGUAAAGGUUGAUCAUCACAAAUGUUCAUCAUUCUUUAUAGUAUUCCAUUUUAAUUUUAACAAGGUUCAAGAUGAAUCUUUACUGAUUGAUUUGAUUCCGUGUUUUUUUCCCCUACUAAACGCUAACUUUUUAGUAUAUUUUUCCUGCUGAAUACUUUUUUUUUUUUUAGUUUUAACAAACUAAAAGGUUGUUUGGGAAUAAUUUUGAAAUUAUAUUUUUUUUUAAAAUAAUUUUUUUAUUUAAAAUUAUUUUUUAAGUUUUUUUUAUCCGAUAUAUUGAUGUUAAAAAUAUUUUUUUAAAAAAUAUUUUAUAAAUCAACUUCUUUUAUUUUAUUUUAGUACAUAAUUCAUAAUAACUGAAUUGAUUCAUUUAACAUUUAUCUUUAAUAUAUGUAUUCUCUUUGUUUCUUUUUAUAAUAAUCUUAAUCUGAAUAUCUUUUUAGGAAAAAAUACUUAUGGAAAAAUGCAUGAUGGCACCAUCCACCGGACCCAUCUUGAAGAAAAAUGGAUGAUGGAAAUGGUCUAACGGACCCAACUCAUGGAAAAAUGCAUGAUGGCAACUUCCAACGGGCCCAUCUUGUGAAAAAGAAGAAGCAGGUUGGCAUAGGACGGCAGUGUCCUCUUCAUCACAUUUGUUUUCGUUUUGAUAUUACCCUGAUUAUUUUUUACAUUCUAAAAGUAUUUUUUAAAAAUAAAUUUUAUUUUAUUUUUUGAUGUUCUUAUAUUAUUUUAAUAUAUAAAUGUUAAAAAUUAUUUUUAAAAAAUAAAAAAAUAUUAUUUAAAUAUAUUUCCAAACUAAAAAUACUUUAAAAACCAACUAUUAUCAUACUCCCAAACACUCCUAAGUAUUGCUUACAUUGAAAUUUUUUUUCCUUUGUCAAGACUUUACUGAUUAUUCUUUUAUAUAUUAUUGUAAAUGAAUUGUUUAAAAAUUUAAUUUUUUUAAUUUUUUUUUGACAAUUUAGUUUUAAUUAAACUUUAAUUGAUUUUAAAUUUUUAUAAAAAGAUAAAAUAAAAAAAUAAAAAAGAUAUAAGUGUCAUGCUAUAAAUUUUGCAAAGGAUGUAUUUUCCCAUACUAAAAACAAUAAAAAGUGAAAGUAAUUGAUGUAAUGACAUAGCAACCAUAAACAUUUGGAUGAUCAAAAUAAAAAUAACUCAUUUUUAAGCUAUAAUUGUUCAUUCGGUCACCUGUUCAAGUACAUAUAGAAAAUGAUAAUUUUACUGUACAAAUUUUUAGCACCUCGUCGUACUUUUCAUGAUAAUUAUUCUCAAGCUUAUGGGGCAAUAAUCUCACGAACUCAUCUUAUCUCGUAGAAAAAAAACUCUUGAAAAGCCCCCGCUGUAUAAAAACCCUUGAAACCAAAUGAAACUGUAUAAAUUAAUACAACAUGAGCAUGCAUUGAAACUUGUUUAAAUCUUAAAACUAGAAUACACAACGAUGCACCAAAGUCUUGGUACCAUCAAGGCUAUGAAAACCCAAACUUGUAUAAAAUGGAAAGAUUGUCCACUAGAAAAUAAUAGCAAUUGUUGAUGCUCACCUCAAUAAAGUGAAACCAAGCUCGUCGCCAAUAUGGAUUUAUGUAUAGAACUGCACCUAUCACCAGCAGUACCAUGAUGUAUACAACCCAAAAGGUCACAUAGAAAACCUCCAUAUCCAUAAAGCCACUAUUAUCUUCAUUGUUCGUUGAAGUUGGCGUUGGUGAUGGUGGCAUAGCCGCACCACAUAUUUUGGGUAGCGGUUCUCCACAAAGAAAAGGGUUGUCCUUGUAGCACCUCUCAUCAAACGUGGCAAACUGUGCAACUCUCGCAGGAGUCUUACCAGAUAAAUUAUUAUGAGCCACACUAAAAACUUCUAGAGAAAAUAGUUCAGGAAGUCGAGGUGGGAUUUCUCCAUCCAAUUUGUUGUAGGAAAGAUCCAAGCUCUCUAUUUCCUUUAAGUUUGAAAAUGUUGGUGGAAUUGGUCCAGUCAAACUGUUGUGCGAAAGGUUCAACGCCUUGAUCUUGUUGAGGUUUCCAAUUUCAGGAGGAAUCUCUCCUGUGAAAUUGUUGCAUGAGAAAUCAAUUCCUGUUAAGUACUGGAUAAUGCUUCCUCUAUAAGAAAGGGAUACAUUCUUCGUUGUAAACUCAAAAGAUUGGUGUGAUGAGGAUUCAUAACCAUAAGAAUUGUAUUGUUGAGGGAAAGGAUGAGUAGAUAUCAUCCAAAAGAGGAUGUUACCAGAAAGGUGAUUGUGAGAAAGAUCAAUCAAGGUUAAGUGGUCCAAUCUGGAUAAUUGAAUUGGGAUUUCACCUUCAAGAUUGUUAUAACUCAAGAGUAAAAAUCUCAAGUUCGAUAGCCUGCCAAUCCAUUCUGGAAUUGUACCAGUUAAAUUAUUAUGGGAAAGAUCUAAUGCGAAUAUCUCAAAGGAGUCAUAAAAUGCCAUUGCGAUCGGCCCUUGCAACUUAUUUCUAGACAAAAAAAUAUAUCUCAAAUUUGAAGAAGAGCUGAAUCUAGGUGGUAAACGACCAGAGAAAUUGUUCCCUGAUAAGUUCAAGAAUUCAAGAGAAGACAUAUUCCCAAUCCAUCCAGGGAUUUGCCCUUGCAAAUUGUUGUUUGACAGGUCGAAUGCUUGCAGCGAGCUAAUGUUACCCAACGAGAAAGGAAUGCUUCCAUUGAAACCAUUGUCAGACAUAAAUAAAACUUCUAACCCUGGCAAACGAGCUUCGAUUUCUGAAGGGAUUUGGCCUUGGAAGUGAUUCAUGGAUAUACUUAGGAAUGAUAAAUUCACAUGAGAAUUCUUUGGCAACAAGAAUGGACCCGAAAGAGAACAGUUUUCUAAAUGAAGUUCUUGUAGGUAUGUGUUGUUCUCAAUCAACCAAUUUGGAAACUCUCCCUUUAUUUGGAUGUUUGUAAGAUCCAAAGAUUGCAGGUUCACUUGGUGGUAAAGGAACUUGGGAAAUGCUCCUACACUUUGUCCACGACUGCUCAAAUAAAGGGACUCUAACUGGAACUUUGGGCUCAUACUAUGAUGAUCUUCUUCUGCAUAUAUUUCAUUACCUGAACCAUAAAAAGACUUGAGUUUUGAAAGGUUGUAUAAUGGGCUCAUUGACAUAGGGAUCUUCAAGUGAUUGGAAGAGAGAUCUAGUAGUUGAAGGGAAGUCAAAUUUGCCAGCCACGGAGGCAAGAAACCACUAAGAUCAUUGUCGUCUAUAUAUAGCACUUGGAGAUGAUUUAAGUCACAUAGGCCUGAUCACAUUAUAAUUUAAGGAAAAUUAAAACUUUGAGUGUCUAUUGAAAAUAUACAACCUAUAAAGAAAAAGAGAGUAAGAGUCAUCAACCUUACCGAUGGUUUGAAAAAUACUAUUGUUGAGAGCAUUAUAGCUCAAAUCCAAGUAUUUUAGGUUCCUGAGAUGAAGAAAGCCUGCCAGAAUUAAGAAAUUAUAUUAACAUAGAAAGAAUUAAAAUUAUAAAGGAAAUGAAAGAGUUAGCCGGAAGCAGUUUAUAGAAUGAAUAAUAAGUAUCUCAAUUGAAUUGAUUUCUAAAUUUGAAAUUUAAUUCUCUCUUAUUGGUCAAUUUGCUCUAGCAAGCAAAUUGCUAAUAAGUUGCUAGUUCCAGUAGUGGACAUCACGUGGUUCUAGUCAGGUUCUAGUCAAUUAUUGGUUGAGUAAUGUAUUUUUUAUGCUUUUUUCCUUAUGUUUUGUGAGUUUUUUUUUAAUUGACUCAUAAUUAGUUCCUAAUUUUUUUUAAUUUUCCAGAUUAAUAUUAAAAAAGAAAGGCUAUACAAAUAAAAUAAAAGUUCAAGUUUAAAAUAUUAUAAUUUAAUCCACCUAUAUCACACUAUUAUUUUUUCCAUAAUUGUUUUUUAGAAAAAGCCAUAAUUUGUUGACAUGUAAGGAAAUUAUAAGUGAAACUAUCAAAAUUGAUAUUCUUAAUUCCAUAUAUUUUUUUAGAGAAUGCUUUAUUGGCGAGAUGUUUCUUUGGUAGAAUUCAAGAUGGUCAUAAUUCCGGUCAAGUAAAUAUUUUAUCAGCUAAGGAAAAUGGGUUAUAUAUUCUUUAUCUACAUUAAAUUGAUAUUCUUUAGAGAAAAUAAAUCUCUUCACGACAUUAAUGAGUGUUAUUAACAUUCUUCCUUAAUUCUUUCUCUUUCUAUAGAUUGAUAAGACUUGGACCGUUCUUUCUCUCUAGAUUGCUUUUUAUAUGUCAUAGUAAAUUUAGAAAAUAAUAUUCUUUAUUUUAUAAUUUCAUAUUUUGUAAUCUAUCAUUUUCAAGAUAUUUAAAACACUCAAGUUGUCUUUUUUUAUGGUUUUGAAAAUAAUAAUAUCUUAUAAUAUCAAUCUAUCAGUGUAAAUUAUUUUGAUUGAGUCCACAUAUAAGAAGAUAAAAAAAAAGUCCACGUGUAUAUAAACAAAGUCUCCCGUGAUUUCUUUGUUCAACUCUCCUAAGAGGUUAUUAAAUACAAUAAUUCUUUACUAAUGAAUUAUGGCUAAAGAAAACUAAAAAAUGGGAAGGGAAGUGUAGAAAUUGUAGAGUCCAAUUAAAACAAGGAUUUUUGAUACGUCUGACAAAAAAAAAAAAAAAAACAUCAUUGUUAAUUUAUUCUCCUCCUAAAAAUAAUACUCUCAAUAUAAAAAGUUAUUUUUUCAUUAAUGUUUUUUUAUAUUAUCAUUAUGUUUACAUUACAUUAAGAAAGGAUCAAAAUGGAAUUGAAAUAUAGUUAAUAUUAAAUGGAUGGUAGACUUUUAGAAUAAUGAAGAUUUCAAUUGAGUUAAUUUAUAAACUUGAGAUUUAAUUGUCUAUCCAAGACUUAAUUUAGUGGGUUGCUAAAACAUAAAAGAUGAAUUCUAUAUAGACAAAUCUAAUUGUAGCGGGCAUAAAAAAAAAAACAGAAUGGUUAAUUUACCUUCAGAAAGUACAGUGCUGCUGAGAGCAUACAAUGAUAGAUUUUUUAGAGAAGGCAGUGCUCCAAGGCUUUGAAGGGAGUGUUCAUCUAGAGAACACUGAUCUAGAUACAAAUUUUCCAAUGAGCUUAAAUUUUGCAACUCUGUUUGUUCAAAAGUAGCAAAUUGAAUUUUUGAAUUAAUCCCAAAUAUAUAAACAUCACUAUAUGUAAAAUAUAUAACUUACUAUCAUCUAAUAUUCUUCCUCUAAAAUCAUUUUCUUCCAGGUGAAGUGUCGUGAGGUUUGGAAAUGCUCGUAAUGAUUGCAGUAACUGGAAGCUACUUUUAUAGGUUGUGAUAUUUUGUAGCCAUAGAGUUCUCAAGUUGCUUGGACCUGCAAGUUAGUUAAGGAAGAAACAUAUGAUUAAUAUUGUAUAGAUAAUAUCUUCAUGAUGCUACUAGCCAGGUAAGUAAUGUGCAUGUGUUACUAAUUACCUCUUGAGGCUACCAAUUUGUUAAUAUUGUUGCCGCCCAAACUCAAUGCCUCCAAGCUGCUCAGAGAUUCUUGAUAUUUAUAAAAAUAAUAGUUAAUUAAUUCACUACAUCAUAUAAAUUGUGUUUUUUUAAUUGAAUUUAAUAGAGAAAAGAUAAGUAUAUAAAAAAACUAACCUUUCAAAUCUAUUAUUCCCUCCAGUCUAUUAUGACCUAAAUAUAAUGCUUUAAGAGAUGAAAACUCCUUCACAAAUGAUAAAAUACUAUUAUCGAAGCGAUUAGAUUCAAAGUCAAGGAUUUCCAAAUUGCUCAAUCUUGAUAACUCAUAACCACCUAUAUAAAAAAUAAAUAAAUUAAGACUUCAUGUAAGAAAAAAAAAAGAUAUCAUUGGAGUAAUUUAAUUAUGAUCGAUGAAGAGGCAUGUAAUUGUUAUAGUGAAUCCAUGUAAAGAGGUUGAGGCGGUGAAAGUGAAAGUAAGAGAAGUAAUUGUUUCACUGAUGAUGUCAUGAUUAUAAUGAUUUCUAUUUCUUCGAUGAUGAAUUACUGUAGAGAACCAAAAUGAAUGAUAGUAAUUAAACAACACCUGAUUUGAUUAAUUAUAAAAAAAUAAAACUAAUAUAAAUAUUUUGUAAUACUUAAGAGAGCAAACCUUUGUUCUCAACCCAACCAGCUAUACGAUUACCGUACAAGUAGACACCGUUGAGUUGUUGGAAAGGAAGAAACAAGGAGGCAUUUAAGUACCAAUCUCCCAGCUCCUGGUUCCUUGUGCUCCCAAAGAUAGAGAAAGGUGACUCGACCUGUACUGCUGUUGCAGGUAAUAUGUUCCCAAUCACAGCAGUUGGCGUGGGCUAUUCUCCAGGAGGGAAGGGAGGUGCCGUUGGGAUAGUUAAGAGAAUCUUUGAGGUGCAACAGAGCGAUCCUCUCUUCCUCCAAGCAACCACGAGGCAGCCAUCCUUGCAGCGAAACCGUUAUCACUAACACCGUGAACACCUGAAGGAACAGACCCAUCUUAUUAAUAUCAACUAUUACAAAAUUAAUUGUUGCGAAUGGCAGCGAGGAGGUUAAGGCUUUUAUAGAGGACUUCACGGACCCAUGCCGUGGAAAAAACACUGCAUGAUGGCAACGGACACAUCCCCUCGUGGAGAAUAAAUAUUUAUAAUUCAAUGUUCAUGACUUUCUUAAGCAAAAUAAAUUUUAAAAAAAAAUCUGAAAAAAAAUCUCAGUAAUUUUAAAAAAUAUCUUAAUGAAAAACACACUUAGCAGGCAGCCACAUAAGUUAGAAGCUUCAUUUUUUUGGUAAAAAACAAAUCCACUUCAUAGUCGCAUCCUCUCUCUCUCUUGUUUUUUUCUUAAUUUUUCAAUUGGCCGAAAUCCUAUUAAUAUUUUUUUUCCAGCUCCUAAUAAAAAACCAAAUAUUUGUGCUUUUACCCAACAUUUCCCAAUCACAACAGUAUUUUUUUCCUACUAAACACUAACUUUUUAAUAUAGUUUUCCUCCUAAAGACUUUUUUUUUUUUUAGUUUUAACAAACUAGAAGGUUGUUUGAGAAUAAAUUUGAAACUGUGUUAUUUUUAAAUAAUAUUUUUGUUUAAAAUUAUUUUUUUAUAUUUUUUUUAUCGUUAUGAUAUAUUGAUGUUAAAAUUAAUUUUAAAAAAAUAUUUUAAAAACAACUUAUUUUAUUUUAUUUUAAUACAUAAUUCAUAAUAUCUGAAUUGAUUCAUUUAACAUUUAUCUUCAAUAUAUAUAAUCUUUUUGUUUCUUUUUAUAAUACUUUUAAUCUAAAUAUCUUAAAAGAAAUAUGACAAGUUUUUUUUUUAACACUACUGAUCACUUCUUUAAAUAUUAGUUAUUGUUGAUGAAUGAGAAUUUAAGUGAAUAGAAUUUUAGAAUUUUUAGAAGAAUUAAUUCUCUCAAAUUUUGUCAUAUUUUCUGUUUUUAUUUUUAUUAAUUUGGCUUUUCUUUCAUACUUUUUAAUAUUUUUUGGAUGAGAAUGAAAUAUUUUAUAUAAACUUUAAAAACAACUCUGAGAUUUAUUCAUAUAUAUUUUGUGUGAUUCUUUACUUAUAUAAACGGAUGAAGCAUGGAAAUUAUAGUAUUUUUUUUUAUAAUACUUUUAAUCUGAAUAUCUUUUAGGAAAAAAUGCAUGAAGGAAAUGUUCUCUCGGGCCCACCUCAUGGGGGAGAAAAUGCAUGAUGGCACCAUCCAAUGGGCCCAUUCAUGGAAAAAUGGAUGAUGGCAUAGGACAGCAGUGUACACUCUUCAUCACUAUCCCUUUCGUCUUCGUUUUCAUAUUAUUAAGUAUUGCUUGCGUGGAUUUCUUUACUCCGCAAGGACUCACUAUUUUCUCGAAUAAUAUUGAGGAUGGAUUAUAUUUUUAUUUUUAUUUUUAUUUAUAUUUUUUUGAAUGAUCAUUUAAUGUCUUUAUAUUAGUUUUCAAGUUUUGAGAUUAAGUUCAUAGCUAUUUUCUCUUCAAAGACAAGAAAUAUAUCACAAGAUUAAAAACUACUUUAUAUUUCAUUAAAAUAGAUAAAUAAAUAACUUAUAUAGUUACAGUAUGUUCUUCUUAAGCAAAUAAAUUGAUUUCACGUGAUAGUAACCUGAAGGAUUUUCUUCCGAUCAAAUAAACAAAUUUAUUUUAAUUAUAAAUUAUUAUUUAUUUAUCAAAAUAAUUAUUAUUUUGGACGGAACUUUUCCCCAAAAAACCUAAACUCAAAGUUAUCAGGAAAAACAAAGAAAAUCGAUGGACUUCUUAUAAAAAUAUUUGAUUGAUAUGAUACAAAAAAUGGGUACAAUGAUAUGAGAAAAUAAAAGUUUAUAUACUAAAAUUAAUAAAAAGUGAAAGUAAUUGAUGUAAUGACAUAGCAACCAUAAACAUUUGGAGGAUCAAAAUAAAAAUAACUCAUUUUUAAGCUAUAAUUGUUCAUGUAUAUAUGGAAAAUGAUAAUUUUAAUAUACAAAUUUUUAGCACCUCCUCGUACUUUUCAAAAUAAUUAUUCUCAAGCUUAUGGGGAAAUAAUCUCUACGCCUGGAGGAGACGCGCCGUCACUGCUCUCCUGGACUUUUUAAAAAUCUAUUUUUGUAAUUUUUAGAUGUUUGAACAUGUAUUUAAAUUUCUGUUAAAUGUUUUUUAGUUUAUGUUAUUAUGUAAACAUGUAAUAUAAUAAAUAUAGUAAAAAAGUGAUGUUAGUGUGUGUGUUUGUAUUUAUUUUUUUAUGAAUGUUUUCUUUUAAUGUUAAAAUUAAAAAAAAAAAACAAAAAGAAUUAAGUGUUUAAUUUGAAUAUGGUUAAAUAUCUCAAGGACAAAUAAAAUCAUGUUAUAUUUCCCGUGAAAAUAUAAGAACACGUUUCUACAUCUAUUUUGGGAUUUAAUAACUGAUUUAUUAAAGCCUUAAGAAUUUGACUAAUAUUUUAAAUUUUCAAAUCACAUCAAACCGCAAAGCAACUUACCUCAGGUAGGGUGCGAUAGGGGUGCUAAUACAUUCUCUAGCCACAACCAGUCCCUUACCCUCGAAUCUCUGACAACGACCAGUACAUCCGGGUUUCCUAGUAACCCUCAAUCAAAUACUAGAUGGCAACUUCCAAGAACCAAAUCAAGCAAACAUACUGAAAAAUCACCAUAAACACCGCGUGGGGGACGUGCGACACAUAUAAUUUUGUGGUACUAUUAUUUAUAUAAAUGGAUGAAGCAUGAAAAUUAUAUAUAGAAGGCAAUUGUUACAGACUAAACUUUGAAGAUGAAAUUGAGAAAUUUCAAGGAGCAAACUAAAAAUUGAAUUAUAAAUAUUAAUCACUUGAUGAAAAAUUAAAUAUGAAAACAAAUACAAUAAAAAAUGAUAAUAUAUUAAUCUAAGGUCGAUUAUCCAUUAAUUAGUCGGUGGUUGCAUUCUAACACACUAAAUUGAGAUUUUUUUAUACAAGAUGAAAUUAAAACAUAUUAUUCUUUCUCAAGCUUACGGGGCAAUAAAUUUAUUUUAUUUAAAAACUUUUGAUUUUAUGAAAUGGUUAAUAAAAUAUCUACGUUAGUUUUGUUAUAAAAUAAUUACAUCACAGUUAACUCCUUUUUAAAUAACUCCUUUUAGAUGAGUUUGAAUUGAUUUUAUUUUAUUUUUAAUUUUUGAACUAUAAAAAUAUAGAUAAAUUUAAAAUAAAUAUUUUCUUACAAUAGUCUUCGAGUGAAAUUAGAGAAAAAAAUUAUAAUUUUAAAAUAAAAAAUACAUAAAAACAUGUUUUUCUGUUCCCACUAUUUUUGUAUUUUAUACCAUGGUAAUUAAAUGUUGCCUGAUUAACAUAACACUAAAUUAUAAUAUAAAAAAUUAAUUGUGGAAUGGCAUGGUAGUUGGAUCUAUUUGUUUUUUUUUUGUGUGAUUAAAUUAAUUAUCUCGAUAAAUGACACAUGUGUUUGGGGGAAAAUAAAAUUAAUUAUUGCUAGAGAGGCACUGGAGCAAUUGAUAUUUUGCAAAGGCAUGGAAUUCGAUGCCAAGCAGGGAAUGUAAGAUAGUUGUUAGACUGCUGGCGUCAAGGUGAUAAAGCAAUUAAUUAUAGUGAAAAUAAAAUAGUUAACAACGACAAGCUGAAUUCAAUUUAGAUUUGAAAAUUCUAUUUGGCAAUGUAUGAUUUGAAAAUUCUAUUUGGCAAGCUGAAUUCUUUUGAAAAUUCUAUUUGAACGGUAGGCGAGCCGAAUAAAAAAUGGUAUUUAAAGUUGGCUAGAAUUAUUUUUGAAAGUUUUUUUUAUUUAAAAUUAUAUUUAAAUAAUAUUUUUUAUCUUAAAAAUAUUUUAAAAUCAGCUUAUCAAAAAAAUUAAAAAAAUAUAUAAAAAAAUUAAAUAAAAAAAUCAAGGGCAUAUCUAAGAAAAGUCUAACAAGGAACGAAGAUAUUUGAAGAAUAACAAAAAAUAAAUCAAAUCAAACCAAAGCCGUGGAAUUAGAAACCAAAAGAUAGAUCAAAUUUGUCUCUAUAGUGAGCCAUCUUAGUGGUGGGGCAAAAACUUGAUGGAGAGAUUAUUAUUUAUUCAUCAAAACAAUUAUUUAUUCUGGAGGAAAACUCAAACUCAAUUUCAUUUGAUCAAAGUCACGCCAUCAAAGAAAACCAGAAAAAAGUAUUUAAUUGAUAUAAUGAAAAAAAUUGGUAUACUAAUAUAAAAAAAAUAAAAAUCUACUAAAAUGGGUGGUACUCAAACAGCUUUGAAUAUUCACAUUCCUUAUCUUCCGGGCAAGAGAAAUCAAUAAAAAUAGAUGCACUAUUAUGUAAAUGGAUAGAGAUAUCAAUACCAAAAACAUGGACAAAAAUGGUUUUUUUUUUCAAUUUAAAUAUUUAUUUUCAUGAAAUCUGAUAAAUAAAAUAUCUUUAUUAGUUUUAUUAUCAGAAUGAUGAUGAUGUCAUAGUUAAUUUUUUUUUAAAUGAGUUUGGAUUGAUUUUAUUUUAUUUUUAAUUUAUGAAAAGUAAAGAUAUGUAAAAUACUUAUAUUUAAUAUUUUUUUUAAUUCAAGUACUCUAAUUGAUUUUUUUUCUAUUUGAUAAACUAGUGUCUGACCAUAAAUUUGUUCACAGAAUAAAUGUAAGGUUUACAUAAAGUCACUAUGGAAUAAUAAGAAUAUUAACAAUAAGAUUUAUUUAUAAAUAAAUCAUAGAUUUAAUGUCUCUAAAUUUUAAAUUUGGUGUGAAUAAAUUCAAGGGAUUUACAAGAUAAAUAGUACAAUAUUAGCCUUCAAGAAUCUCUCACUCUUCCUCCUCAAGGAAUUAAUUAGUGGGUAGUUAGUUUGUUUUAUUUGCUUCACGUUGUCUAUAGUUUUAUCUAUAUUAUUGUCACAAAUUAGUAAUAGUUAAAACUAGUGAUAUUUCUCGCUUGUUAUUAAAACUAUAGUUUUUUUUUAAUUUGUUUCUCAAUUAUUGAAACAAUAAUAUUUUUAACAUUAUUAUUCCCAUACUUGUUUAUAAAAAUCAUUUCUAUUAAACCACAUUAACAUGUUUAAAUUAAAGUAUAUUAUCCCUUCUCAAUGAUGGAAAUGGUCUCACGAACUCAUAAAUGCAUGAUGGAAAUGGUCUCACCGGCUCAUCUCGAGGAAAAGCUACGCUAUCGGGGACCAAAGCGCAUAUGGUAAUGGUCUCAUGAGCUUAUAAAUGCAUGAUGAUGAUUGUCUGUCGGACCCAUCCUGAGGAAAAAUACUUAUUUCGUGUACUCUUGAGAUUGGAGGAUUGCCACCAUAUAUUUUCGCUGUUGGAGAAAUACAGUAGUUUAGGGAAUUUUUUUAAAUAUAUUAUAUUAAUAUAAUUAGAGGUGCAUCCUUAAAGUUAUUUGGAUAAAAAAAUUAAUUACUUUUUCAAUUUAUAUACAAUCUAACCCAUUGAUAUAUCUUUCUGUCGAAUACCGUAGAUUUGGAGCUAAAACUCUAAAAAAAGUCAGCAGCAAAAUUUGUUUUUUCAAUGUGCUACUUCUCUUCAAUAUAGUAUUUUAGUCAAGGAUAAUUAAUGACUCUUUCUCAAGAUUCUCAGCUUUGGAAAAGAUGAAUAUUUUCAGCUUUUGGAACCUCAUGAAGCAAAAAAGAUUACUUGAGGUGAGCUUAUUUAGGGACAAAUUAAAAAUCCAAUAACAAACAUAUACCUCAUUAACCCUUUAUUCAUGUUUUUCCAGAAGAUGACUUGACUUGGGUCAACGUUUACGAAUAUAAGUUUCGGUUAAUUAUUUUUAUGCAAUUCAAUAUUUUCUUUUGUACUCUAUGAUCCUGAUUAACAUGACUUUCUUAAGUUAGUUGUAGUGUAUAGAAUUUUUUUUAAAAAAAACAUUCUAAAAAUAUAAUUCACAUCCGAGUUAAUGCAUUCACAAAUUAAUAUAAUAGGUUUUAAUACUUACUUUUAAUAUUAUAUAAAAUGAAAGAUAUUAAGAGUUGAUUAAUUAAGCUAUAUAUGUUUUAAAAAAUCAUUUCUAUUAAACCACAUGAUAUAUUUAAAUAUGUGCAAUAUGUACAUAUUUUGAAUUUAAUAUUAGUAAUUAUAAAGUUUAUUUAGUUGCUCCACUUUUGUUCUCUUCUCUUUCUCUCAUUAUUGUUUUUUUUCUUCUUCUUUUGAACUGUCUUGUCUCUCUUUCUUUUUUUGUCUUCCAUCUCUUAAUUCUUCAAGAUUCAAAAUACAUGGCAAUUUACAUUAGGAAUGUUGAUGAAAAAUUAAAUAUAACCAGAAAACAAAUAAAAAAUAAUAAUUAUUUUUUAAAGUAUUUUCUACUUAAAAAUAUAUUAAAAUAAUAUAAUUUUUAUUUUUUAAAAAUAUUUUUGAUAUCAAUAUAUUAAAAAUUAAAAAAUAUAUAAAAAAAUAAUUUUAAAUAAAAAAAUAAAAUUUUAUCCAAUUUUUAUUUGGCCAACCGAGGCAUAUCCAAGAAAAGUCUAUCAAGAAACGAAGAUAUUCAGAGAAUGACAGAAAAUAAAUCAAACCAAAAGAUGGACCAAAUUUAUCACUGUAGUGAGCCAUCUUAGUGGUGGGGCAAAAACUUGAUGGAGAGAUAAUUAUUUAUUUAUCAAAACAAUUAUUUAUUCUAGAGGAAAACCCGAACUCAAUUUCAUUUGAUCAAAGUCACAUCAUAAAAAAAACAGGAAAAAAAAGGUAUUUAAUUGAUAUAAUAAUAAAAAAAGUUGGUAUGUUAAUAUAAGAAAAAUAAAAAUCUAAUUAAAAUAGAUGGACUCGAAUAGCUCUGAAUAUUCAUAUACCUUAUCUUGUAGGCAAGAAAAAACAAUAAAAACAGAUGAUGUUCUUUUCUCUGGCUGUAAAUGGAUGGAGACAUUAAUACCAGAAUCAUGGACAUUUUUUUUUUCGAUUUGAAUACUUAUACUCACAAAAUCUAAUGAAUAAAAUAUUUUCAUUAGUUUUAUUAUUAGGAUGAUGAUGUCACAAUUAAUUGUUUUUAGAUGAGUUUGGAUUGAUUUUAUUUUAUUUUUAAUUUUUGAACAGUAAAGAUAUAUAAAAUACUUAUACUUUAUAUCUUCUUUUAUUCAAGUACUCUAAUUGAUUUUUUUUCCUAUUUAAGUACUUGAUAAACUAGUGUCUGACCAUAAAUUUAUUUACAUUGAUUUCUUGAAUAAAUGUAAGGUUUAUAUAAAUUAACUAUGGAGUAAUAAGAAUGUUAACAAUAAAAUUUAUUUAUAAGUAAAUCAUAGAUUUAAUUUCUCUAAAUUUUAAAUUUGGUGUGAAUAAAUUCAAGGGAUUUCCAUGAUAAAUAGUACAAUAGUAGCCUUUCAAAAAAUUGAGAAUCUCCCACUCUUCCUCCUCAAGGAAUUAAUUAGUGGGUAGUUAAAACUAUAGUUUAUGUUCUAUUUUCUUCACUUUGUUUAUAGUUUUACCUAUAUUAUUGUCACAAAUUAAGAAUAGUUAAAACUAGUGAUAUUUCUCGAACAUUGUUAUAAGAAAAUUUUGGAAAUUUUUAGUCAAUUAUAAGAUAAUAAAAAUAAAUAUUAACAAAAAGAAACAAUAAAUAAAAUUAUAAAAGUAAAAUAUGUUUUUUGAAUUAUGUAAUUUUUCUUUGUUCUCAAAACAAAAGGAGUUUUUAUUAGCAUUAUAGUUUAUUGAAUAAAAAGUAACAAUAAUAGCCCCAUGUUAAUAAUUUAAACUAAAAAAAAAAACAUAUAUUUUCAAGCAAUCAAGAGGCUGCCAUCCUUCCAAGAAAACCAUGGUUACUAACGCCAUCAACAUCUGAAUUAAUAGCCCCAUCUUAAUAUCAAAUAUAAAUGGUGAUCAAUAUUUGUUAUAGAGGGCAGCUAGCGAGGAGGUUCAGGCUUUUAUAAAGGACUUCACGGACCCACCCCGUGGAAAAAACCACCAUUACAAAUAUAUUUGAUUAUAUUUGUGUGUAUUUGUUUUUUAUUUAAUUUUUUUAAAUAAAAAACAUGUUAAUUAAAAAAAAUAUAACUCACGGUGGUGAAGCGAUGGACAAAUAUCUGGUCUAUGUAAUAAAAUGGGUGGCACUUGAAGGUUCACAUACCUUUUAUUUUUAUUAAUUUGGAUUUUCUUUCCUACUUUUUAAUAUUUUUGGGAUGAGAAUGAAAUAUUUUAUAUAAACUUUAAAAACAACAGUACUGAGAUUUAUUCAUAUAUAUAUAUAUAUAUAUAUAUAUUAUGUGUUACAAUUACUUAUAUAAAUGGAUGAAGCAUGGAAAUUAGAGAAGGCGAUUGUCACAAACUAAACUUUGAAGAUGAAAUUGAGAAAUCUCAAGGAGCAAACUAAAAAUUUCAGAAGGCAAGAAAGAAGAUAAAAAUAAUGGAAUCACAUCACUAGCAGUAUAACGUUCCCUUUCAAUUAGAAAGCUUAGAAAUAAAAAAAACAAAAAAACUGCUUUCUACGUAUACAGCACUUCUCCAUUUAUAUCUUCUCCAGUAUAAAGUAAUCUAUUUUUUUUUAUUAAAAUUUAAUUCUUUUCAAAAUCAUAUUAUCGGAAAAACAUGAAAACCGAUGGACUUUUUAUGAAAAUAUAUGAUUAAUAUGAUACAAAAAAUGGGAACAAUGAUAUGAGAAAAUAAAAGUUUAUAUACUAAAAUUAAUAAAAAGUGAAAGUAUAUCAAAAAAUUUAUAUGAUUGAUAUGAUACUGAUAUUUUGAACAUCAAUAUAUCAAAAAAUUUUAAAAAUAAUUUUAAAUAAAAAAAAUCAAAUUUUAUUCUAUUUUCAUUUGGAACACAAUACCAACCGGGCCAUAGCCAAGAAAAGUCUAUCAACGAAGAAGAUAUUUGGAGAAUGACAGAAAAUAAAUCAAACCAAAGCCGUGGAAUUAGAAACUAAAAGAUAGACCAAAUUUGUCUUUAUAGUGAGCCAUCUUAGUGGUGGGACAAAAACUUGAUGGAGAGAUAAUUAUUUAUUCCUCAAAACAAUUAUUUAUUCCGUAGGAAAACCUAAACUCAAUUUCAUUUGAUCAAAGUCACACCAUGAAAGAAAACAAGAAAAAAGUAUUUAAUUGAUAUAAUAAAAAACAAUUGGUUUACUAAUAUAAGAAAAAUAAAAAUCUACUAAAAUUAAUGGGUGGCACUCAAACAACUCUGAAUAUUCGCAUUUCUUAUCUUCCAGGCAAGAAGAGACAAUAAAAGCAAGUGACGUUUCUUUUCUCCGGCUGUAAAUAGAUGGAGACAUCAAUACCAAAAUAAAUAUGAAUUAGUUAGAAUAAUUAUAACUAACUAAUAUAAUAGGUUUUAGUAUUUACUUUUAAUAUAUAUAAAAUAAAAGAUAUUAAGAGUUGAUUAAUAUUGUUAAGCUAUAUAUAUAUAUAUAUAUAUAUAUAUAUAUAUAUAUAUAUAUAUAUAUAUUUGCAAUAUGUACAUAUUUUGUUUUUAAUAUUAGUAAUUAUAAAGUUUAUGUAGUUAAUGAAAACACUCCAUUUUUGUUCUCUCAUCUAUCUCUCACUAUUGUUUUUUUUUUAUUCUAAAUUAUCUUGUUUCUUUUUCUUUUUUUGUCUCCCAUCUCUCAAUCUUUCAAGAUUUAAAAUUAAUAGCAAUUUACGUUAGGAAUAUUAAUAAAAAAAAUAAAUAUAACCAGAAAACAAAUACAAAAAAAUGAUAUUGGAGAAAGAGAGUAUCUAAUUCUAGUAAAGCAUUUAAAUUUCCAUUGAAAGAUGUGUCAUAUAUUAAUCUAAGGUCCAUUUUUCAUUAACUAAUCGGCGGUUGCAUUCUAACGCUUAGAUUUAUUUUUUAUGCUUAAGCAUUUAAUUCUUUUUUAUACACUAAGUUAAAAUUAAAGCAUAUUACCCCUUCUCAAGCUUAUGGGGCAAUGGUCUCAUGGACCCGUCUCGUAGAAAAAGCAAAAAACGCUUGAUAGCAAUGGUCUCAUGGACCAUCCCACUGGCCUCUAUCGUGGAAAAUAUGCAGAUGACAAUUAUCUUAAAGACCAUCCCACUAACCCACAUCGUGGAAAAAAUGCAGAUAGCAAUGGUCUCACAGACCAUCUUUUACUUGUUGAUUGUGUUACAAUUAUCUUAAAGACCAUCCCACUAACACUGCAUCCAUCUUUUACUUGUUGAUUGUGUUACAAAAACUACUGAUAAAUACUUUAGAAAUAAAGAAAAGAAGACUUGUUGACAUGACAAUGAUAAGAAGUAUUUUACAAAAACUACUGAUAAAUACUUGUUAAUCUCAAACCUAACUUGAUUCAUAUUUUAAAAAAUUCAAGUGAGAGUUGACUUAAUCAAACCUGAUUAAUUAAAUAAAUCAAUGCAUGACCUAGUCAACCCAGUCAAAAUUCAAUUUAUUAAAUCACUUAACAUAUUUAAAUAUGUGCAAUAUAUAUGUAUUUAGAAUUUAAUAUUAAUAUUAACAUAUUCAAAUCUAGUUUAACUUGGAUUUUAACUAGACCAUAUGUUGAACUAAUAGAUUAAUAUAGUUUAAUCAGGUCAACUCCUUUCUAAUUUAAUAAAACCUAGUUUGAGAGUAAAAUAUUAAAUUUUUCAUAGCAUCAAGUUUGACUUGUUAAGCUAGACCGAAUUUAAUAACACCUCUCCUGGCUCUCAAUCCAUUGAACACAAAUGAAAAAAAGCUUUACGUACAGAAGUUUGGGUUUGUUUAGAGAUUCGUUAUAGCAAAUAGGCUCAAAAGGUUGGAUAUGUUAUUACUUACUCCCCCUGUCCUCUGUUUUUAUUUUAUGCUAGAUAGCCUCUAAUUUUGGCUCUACCACCUUUCUAUAAUAAUACUCGACUAUUAUAAAAAGAAGAAGAAGCAGAAGCAGAAAUAACUUAGCGCGUUUGUGUAUAGAUAGUUUCCUUGAAUGAAGCAUGUACAUGUCUGAUGAGCAGAAAGACAAAAAAUGGUAAAUGAGGACAGCAUUGCAUCACCACCAUGGCAAACUCGGCAUGACCGAGGAGUGCAGCAAUGUGCAAAGAUGUGCUAAGGAUAUAGAGCCAAGUAAUUGUUUCUUCUUUGAGACUAAGAGUCAGUGUGUAGCGGAAUUAGCCUUCCUUCUCUCUUUCUGGUCAAUCGUCUUGGAGAGCCUAUGUUCUUUCCUUGAUCAAGACUCCUAUCUUAGUUAUUCAACAAAUAUGAAGAAAUUCUCCAAAAUCAUUUCUUGACAAAACAUCUCACGCAUCCCUCAGCCCUUGUCAAAUCCUCCGUCCCCUUAUGCCCUUGCACAGACUUGCCCCCGGGGUAAAUUCUAAAACUCGGGGCAUCUUUUAUAUGGAAUAUGCAAUUUCCAAAAGGUCUGAGGAAUCGAACAAAGAGGGCAAUGAUUGGGCAUCAGUCUUGAAACCACAAUGAUCCGAUGGACGAGAGCCGCUAGUGGAGAAGGAUUCAUGCAUCUCUGUUUUUGUGUAUUUCUCAAGCUCUUUUUCACUGUACAACAGAACUUUUGCCUCUUCAGUUUUUCCUUUUAGACUCUCUUCAGUCAAUGGAAAGAGGAAACACCACAGAAAGGUGUAAACUGACAAGAAAUUCAAUGCUCACACUUUGAAUUUUAAUUUGCAUGUUUCAGGUCAUUGAUAGCUAUACAUUAAAAUUACAGAGUAAAAUAUCAUUUAUCAAGAUUGUCUUGUUCGUUAUUGAUGAUGAUUAGUGAUUCGAAAUGGAUGCUGGAAAUUGGAACAAAGUGUUGGUGUAAUUUGCUCCCGCUUUGGGGGACUUGAUUUUCUUUUCUUUGAGUUGUGUCGUGAAUUCAAGUUACGCAGGAUUUAAGAAUUCUUCAAGACAUAGAACCAUCUUAAUUGGGGAUCAAAAACUUGAUGGACGAGUUGUUAGAUAGGUUGUGAGAACAUCAAGGCCCAAAGAAGAAGAGGAAUUCUUUAUGGGGCACAGUCACAGACAUAUCUAGAGAAGAUACAGAGUUGAGUUGAAACUUGUUAAUUGAUCUUAAAAAGAUACAGAGCCCCUGAGUUAAGCCAAAGACAGAUAUUUUAGAGAAGAUGGUGCUCAAGGGUUUUAAGGGAGUUUUCUCCGGAAAACAAAAGUCCAUAAACAACUUGUCCAAGGAGCUCAAAUUCUCAAUUAAUUAAUUAAUUAUAAACUGGGUCUAAGUUUUUUUUCUAAUAAAAAAAUAGUACUAACAUCUAUAUAUAUAUAUAUAUAUAUAUUUUUUUUUUUUCUUACAUUGAAUAAAACAUAUGCGACUUGUAGCGUAGCGUGUGCUACAAAUCUAUUAUUUUCACUAUUAGAGACAAGUAAUAACUUGUUAAAUCUUUUAAAAUACACUAGAUGGAGGUGCAUCUUUAAAGUUGUUAAAAUAAGAAAUUUACUUUCGAUUAAUAUACAAUCUAACCAAUUGAUACAAUAGAUUAUAAUAAAUUUAGAGUAGAAGUUCUAAAUAAGGUGACUGUAAAUUAGCGUCACAAGUCGUUCUUCCAAUAUGCUACUUCCCUUCAAUCAAGGAUAUUCAUUAACUUAAUUAUUAUUAGUCAAAGUAGAUUGUUUCCUUCCAAACAUGUUCUUGCUUCAUCCUUUAUUAAUUUUAUAAUAAAAUUGCCAACAUAUUAGUUUUUUGUUUUUAUGAUCACUUAAUACCUUCAAAUUAGUUUUCAAGUUUUGAGAUUAAGUUCAUAGAUCUAUUCUUACCACGAGAUUAAAAAUGAUUUUAUAUUUAAUUAAAAUAAAUAAAUAAAUUAGUAAUAUAGAUAUGAUAUUCUUUCUUAACUAAUUAACACAACAGAACGACCUAGCGUUAUCAUGUUGAAACAAUGCCUACCCAAAUAACUCAAGCCCAAACAAUGACAUGAAUUGGGUAAGCAAUGUCUCCUUUCUUUUUUUAUAACAAAUACUAAUGGGAUUCAGAUAAAACAAGAAAAAGAUAGAAUCUUUAUAAGCUAAGAUUCUCAAGAAGUUCAAAAUAAAAGAUUGUAUAAAAAUAAAUACAUAAAAUCUUUAUAAGCUAAGAUAAAUUCGUAAAGAAGAUUCUCAAGAAGUUCAAAAUGAAGGAUUGUACAAAAAUAAAUAUUCUAGUUGAGUGUGGAGUGAAGAUAUCAAACAAUGAUGAAGGAGAGAAGAUAAACUCUACAACAUUAAUCAAAAGUCUAGUUGAGAGUUUGGGAUAUUUAAUAUGCAUUUGUCUGGAUAUUCUUAACUAUGACUCACUUCAAAGCUUAGAAGCGAAUUCUUCGGUAUAUCAAAUGUACUAUUGAUUUUGGCUUAUUUUAUAAAUAUUCUAAUAGCUUUGAUCUUGUGGGCUAUAGUGAUAGUGAUUGAGUUAGAGAUAUUAAUGAUAGAAAGAGUGCUAUGGGAUUUGUUUUCUACAUUGGAGACACAUCAUUCACAUGGAAUUCAAGUAAGCAAUCUAUAAUCACUUUGUUAAUAUGUGAAGUUGCCCACACAAAUGGCAAAGGGGGUGAUUGUUAGGAUAUUGCCAUUUGUGGCAAUACCCCACCACUAAGCAAGUGGUUGCUCCAUUAGUGCCACUAAUGGUGGCAUGGUUUAAGGCCUUCUUGUCCCACCAUGAUUGACAAGUGUGCUGAAGGAGCUCACCAUGUUUGCCUAUAAAAGAGGCAAUUAUUUGAGAGCAAAGAGAGAGUGAGAGACAACGUGAGUGUGUGAAGAGAAUAGAGAGAAAGGGAGAAGAGCUGCAACAGAAGUGAGCUGGGAGUUGAGUAGAGUGGAUGCAAUCCUCCUCCUCCAUGUAUUUAUUGUAUCCUUUCUCUAUCUCUAAAUAAUAUGGACUCUCUCCCGUGGAUGUAGGCGGUUUUGCCGAACCACGUAAAAUAUUAUGUCAGUGUGCUUUACCCUCCGAUGAGCAACUAUCAGUACACCCCCGGUCCGCGCAUGGGGGUGCCGGAAUCCCCAACAAUUAUCAUUUCAUAUGGUUAAGACAAUUAUUAAAAGAAUUGUGAAUGCCACAAGAGAAGCCUUUUAUAUGGACAACUGUAAAAACCUCUAAACCACAUCAACUACAAAGCAGCUUACCUCAAGUAAGGUGUGCUAGGGGUGCUAAUAUCUUCUUUAGCCACAAACAGUCUCUUACCCUCGAAUCUCUGACAAGACCAAUACACUUAAGUUUUCCUAGCAACCCUAAACCAAACAACUAGCUAGGUGGCGACUCCUAAUCGACCCCCGAUGUUGGGCGUCCAUGUGCGACACUAGGGAAGAAGUAGAUGUUGAUGAGGUCAAGUUAAACAUUGUUCUUGCAGGUGAAGUUAUACCAAUUGAUGGAGUUGUUGUUGAUGGUAACUGUGAAGUGGAUGAGAAAACUUUAACUGGAGGGUCAUUUCCGGUUGCCAAACAAGUGGAUUCCGUAGUGUGGGUUGGAACUAUUAACUUCAAUGGUGUCAUCAAUACUUCUCUUUGACACUCUAUGAAUUGUUUUUGAAUGCAUUUUGGCUUUGGUGGUAAUGGGGUGUUAGAACUACUGCUUUAGCUGAAGACUGUGUGGCGGCUAAAAUGGCAAAGCUUGUGGAAGAAGCUCGAAACAGCAAGUCUAAAACUCGAAGAUUCAUAGACAAAUUCGCUCAGUACUAUACUCCAGGUUAGGCAUACUGCAGUCCAAUUACUCAUCCAGUUUUAUAGGCUUUCACUGAAGUAGAGUACCGAGAACGAGUAUUUGGACAGCCCUUCACAUCAUUCUUUUAGAAUGAUUCGUCAGCUCCAUUGCUAGACAAUCCUACCUUUCAUUUUGUGGGAAAGUUCUCAUUUUAGUUCCUUGUUCAGAUUUGCAGCGGUGAUAUUCAUGCCGGCUGGCGUAGCAGUGAUUCCAUUAGAAUUACGAGUUCAUAACCGUGAUCACUGGUUUUACUUAGCACUGGUUGUUUUAGUCAGUGCAUGUCCAUGUGCUCUUACGAUUCAAAAUAACUAGUUUGUUAAGUAACAAAUUAUGAGUACAAGUAGAAGUAAAUUGAGGAAGUAACUCCUCUGAUUUUCUAUAUUUAAAUUCUUGUUUUAAAUGAAAUGAUAUCAAAUUCAAACAUUCAAGAAGAGACCACUGUCUUUUGAAGGUCAAGUUACCCUCGAAGUAGCUUAUAUUCUCUUAUCUUUAUUUAGUUGCCGGCUCAAGCUAAGGUUUAUAACAGUGGCAUUCAGUGGAACCAAAGCCUGAGGAUCUAGAGGAAUUUCAAAAUUUUCCUGGAGAAGGAAUCCAAGGAAAAAAUGAAGUGAAAAAUAUAUGUAUUGACAACAGAAAGAUUGCUCACAGAGCUUCCGGAACAGGUAAAAAGCCCUAAUUAUAUCCCAGUAAGAAUAAACAAUAUGAUUCACAUUUCAAACUAACCAUCUUAUAAAAUAACCAUGAUUUCUAUCGAUUUGUAAUCUGAUAUGUAAAUCAAUCGGUACCUUUAAACUAACUAUAUAUGAUGUGUCAUAAUUUAAUUUUUUUAUUUAAGAAAAUAAUAAUAAAAAAAAUUUAAAAAUUGAAUCAAGAUAACAUAAAUUAGAAUUUUGAGGACCGAUAAGGAUGAGAUUAUAAAUUUAAAAGUUAAUUUGAUCAAAACUUGAAAGAAUCGAUAAGUUUGAGGACUUAAGUAAACUUUAAAUUAGUUUAAUUAAUAGAAUCUAGAAUUUAAUUGAAAAAAUAUCAAAAUUCAGGAUUAAUUUAAAUUAAAAUUAUAAAAAAAUUAAAGUUAAAGAAACAAAAUAAAUAUAUUGUAAUUCCAUAAGAGGGUUAAUUAAUUAUUCCAUAGGUAAUUUUAUAAUAAAUAAAAGUUAAAUAGCCAAAGUAAAGAGUGAAUUAAUUAACUUGAAAACCAAAAAUUGUUUUUGUAAAUGGCAACAGGGUUUCAAUUGCAAUUGAUCUAGGAGAAAAAUUAAAAUAGCCUUUUCAGGUGAAAACAACGCCGUUUCAAAACAAACUAUUCAUCUCCUUCAUCCCACCGAUUCAGCAGAAACAGCAGUAGAUCAUGGUCACGUCUCUAUCCAGUAUCUCUCCUCCACAAUGUGCCCCUAACAGUCCAGUAAUGGGCAUUUUUUUUUUCUCAAGCAUGACAGGACCGUGGUAAUCUCCACACUAACUCGGGAGUGAUGAAGGGGCAUUCUCUUGCCUAUAAAGACCAGUCCACAACACACAGAGACGAAGAGGCAGGUGGGAAAAAACAGAGACAGAGAGAAGACAGAGAGACUUGUGACCUUCCUCCAGCAAAAGGGAACUUUAACCUCCCCUCACCGUAGGUUGUUGAUCCAACCAACCAAAUACAAACCCAGAGAAACCAGGACGAACAGAGAAAGGCCACAAAGAAGGGGAGAACCACAGACAGGUAAUGCAAAAAAAACACAGACGAAAUGAACAAACACAGAUAAUACAGAGAGAGACCAAGAGGAACAAGAACAGAGAGAGACAGAGGGAACAAGAGAAAGCAAAAAAAAAAAAGAAGAAAGAGAGAAAACAAACAGAGAAAAGCAAGAACAGAGGUGAAGUGAACGAAAAACUGAAGUAGAGGGGAAGAAAGUAACAUUGGUUAGCCAGCCCUCCAUCACCAUCGUCUUCGUCUUUAAGUAGCAACUCCAGGUAANNNNNNNNNNNNNNNNNNNNNNNNNNNNNNNNNNNNNNNNNNNNNNNNNNNNNNNNNNNNNNNNNNNNNNNNNNNNNNNNNNNNNNNNNNNNNNNNNNNNNNNNNNNNNNNNNNNNNNNNNNNNNNNNNNNNNNNNNNNNNNNNNNNNNNNNNNNNNNNNNNNNNNNNNNNNNNNNNNNNNNNNNNNNNNNNNNNNNNNNNNNNNNNNNNNNNNNNNNNNNNNNNNNNNNNNNNNNNNNNNNNNNNNNNNNNNNNNNNNNNNNNNNNNNNNNNNNNNNNNNNNNNNNNNNNNNNNNNNNNNNNNNNNNNNNNNNNNNNNNNNNNNNNNNNNNNNNNNNNNNNNNNNNNNNNNNNNNNNNNNNNNNNNNNNNNNNNNNNNNNNNNNNNNNNNNNNNNNNNNNNNNNNNNNNNNNNNNNNNNNNNNNNNNNNNNNNNNNNNNNNNNNNNNNNNNNNNNNNNNNNNNNNNNNNNNNNNNNNNNNNNNNNNNNNNNNNNNNNNNNNNNNNNNNNNNNNNNNNNNNNNNNNNNNNNNNNNNNNNNNNNNNNNNNNNNNNNNNNNNNNNNNNNNNNNNNNNNNNNNNNNNNNNNNNNNNNNNNNNNNNNNNNNNNNNNNNNNNNNNNNNNNNNNNNNNNNNNNNNNNNNNNNNNNNNNNNNNNNNNNNNNNNNNNNNNNNNNNNNNNNNNNNNNNNNNNNNNNNNNNNNNNNNNNNNNNNNNNNNNNNNNNNNNNNNNNNNNNNNNNNNNNNNNNNNNNNNNNNNNNNNNNNNNNNNNNNNNNNNNNNNNNNNNNNNNNNNNNNNNNNNNNNNNNNNNNNNNNNNNNNNNNNNNNNNNNNNNNNNNNNNNNNNNNNNNNNNNNNNNNNNNNNNNNNNNNNNNNNNNNNNNNNNNNNNNNNNNNNNNNNNNNNNNNNNNNNNNNNNNNNNNNNNNNNNNNNNNNNNNNNNNNNNNNNNNNNNNNNNNNNNNNNNNNNNNNNNNNNNNNNNNNNNNNNNNNNNNNNNNNNNNNNNNNNNNNNNNNNNNNNNNNNNNNNNNNNNNNNNNNNNNNNNNNNNNNNNNNNNNNNNNNNNNNNNNNNNNNNNNNNNNNNNNNNNNNNNNNNNNNNNNNNNNNNNNNNNNNNNNNNNNNNNNNNNNNNNNNNNNNNNNNNNNNNNNNNNNNNNNNNNNNNNNNNNNNNNNNNNNNNNNNNNNNNNGGUAGUCUUCCUUUCUCUUUCCCCGCUUUGCAGCUUCAAUUCUUAAUAAUAAUUGUAAUAAUAAUAACAAACAUGGAUUGUGGACCAUAAAGAACAGCGAACGAAAGGCCUUUUAUCAAUAUCCUAUAAUCUAGAAUAAAUCGGUCAUUUCUGCUUAUAAAAGCAUGUUACCGCUCAGGAUAUUCUAUACGCAAUACGUGACUUACCUUCAGCUAAAUUCAGCUAAAAAUUGAAUACUCUUGUUAUUAUCACUCCGGAGCUUUAUUUAAAAGCAAGCAUACUACCUGCAAGUCUAUCAGCAGCCUCCUCGGCUGGUAGUAGUAGCUUAACUCUCUCUAGAUAGUGCAUGUCUGCAUAGCUUUAUUAUUUGACACACAAUAAUACUUAGGAAACAUAAAAUAUCCGACACAGACGAGUGAAAGAGCAUAUUCUUUCUUUCCCUGGCAAAUUAGAAUGGCAACAAGAAGAAUUGUAAUCUGGAUUGGUUCAAAAUUAAGAGUCAAAGAUGUUAAUUACCUCAAUGUCUAGGAUUCAAAGCUUUCCAGAAUCCACACACCAAUUCAAAGAUCUAACAAACCAUCUUCAUUUGCAUCCAUACUCCCAAUAGCUCUUUCCACUCAAUAAACGAAUUUCAUACAAAACUUUAACUUUAGCAAUCUGAAAAUGGAAAUAUAUAAAGUUAAGCAUGAAAAAUGUUUCCCAAGACUUCAUUACAAGAUAAAAAAAAAGUAAUGUCAACUGAGAAAGCUCCACAAGAACAGGCAAGAUGACACAGUACCUGAAACACUAGAUUUUGGUACUUGUAGUCACCUUGUGAAUAAUACAUUUAAGUAACUUGACAUUCUUGAUGCAAAGAGAUCAAGUCAUCCAAACUUCAUGUCAGAGACAUUGCUAUCCUGGAUUCUGUCCCCCAAAUUACAGCUGUAAAUAUAAAGGAAAGCUCAGUUGUUGAAGAGAUGGUACAUUGUUUCAUAGCAAUUAUUGCCAUGAAAUUAUUCAUGAAUAAAACCAGUAGAACACAAUCACGAUGCACUACAUACAGAAUAAUCUCUGAAAGUGAAGUUGCCAUACCAAUUACUCAUCAAUCAUGAUGUGAAUGUAUUACUUACAUUACCAAUUUGUUAAUAUUGUUACCGCUAAAAUCCAAAGUCCUCCAAACUGCUCAAAGAUUCUUCAUAUUUAUAAAAAUAAUAGUUAAUUAAUUCACUGCAUAAAAAUUGUGUUUUUUAAAAUUAUAUUUAAUAAAGAAAAGAGAAGUAUAUAUAAAAAAAUUAACCUUUCAAUUCUAUUAACCCUUCCAGUCUAUUAUAACCUAAAUAUAGUAAUUUAAGAUAUGAAAAUAACAGAAAAGCGAUUAUAUCCUUAGUGAAGGUGCUUCAAAUUGCUCAAUCUCGUAGUUCAUAACCACCUAUAUAAAAAAACAAAUAAAUUAAGACUUCAUGUAAAGAAUGAAAAAAAAUAUUAUUGAAGUAAUUUAAUUAUAUUGAUGAAGAGGCAUGUAAUUAAUUGCUAUGGUGACUCCGUGGAAAGGGGUUGAGGUGGUGAAAGAUUGAAAAUAAAAGAAGUAAUUGUUAUAGUGACGGUCUGAUUUGUAUGAAUAUAUUAAUAAAGUAAGGAAUUAAAAGAAAAACAACAAAUCAUCUUUCGUUGUUUUAAUAAUCGAAAUAUGUUUUCUAUUUUCUCCCAGUUCCUGAUUCCAACCGUCCUGGAUAAUACUUUCAAUUUCACCUUUUAUCCAGGACGGUUGGGAGGUGCCAUUGGCAAUCAAGAGGCAGCCAUCCUUGCAAUGAAACCAUUAUCAUUAUCCAUUUAUAUUUUUUUUUAAUUUAUAAAUAAUCUAUUAAAUUAUAAAUAUUUUUUAAUUUUAACCCCACCUUAACUAUCUGAUUCGGACUGCUGCCUUACCGCAUCCACCAGGNNNNNNNNNNNNNNNNNNNNNNNNNNNNNNNNNNNNNNNNNNNNNNNNNNNNNNNNNNNNNNNNNNNNNNNNNNNNNNNNNNNNNNNNNNNNNNNNNNNNNNNNNNNNNNNNNNNNNNNNNNNNNNNNNNNNNNNNNNNNNNNNNNNNNNNNNNNNNNNNNNNNNNNNNNNNNNNNNNNNNNNNNNNNNNNNNNNNNNNNNNNNNNNNNNNNNNNNNNNNNNNNNNNNNNNNNNNNNNNNNNNNNNNNNNNNNNNNNNNNNNNNNNNNNNNNNNNNNNNNNNNNNNNNNNNNNNNNNNNNNNNNNNNNNNNNNNNNNNNNNNNNNNNNNNNNNNNNNNNNNNNNNNNNNNNNNNNNNNNNNNNNNNNNNNNNNNNNNNNNNNNNNNNNNNNNNNNNNNNNNNNNNNNNNNNNNNNNNNNNUUUUUAAUGAUUUCAUUGUGCAAAAUUAAAUUGGUUGGAAAUAAAUCUUUUUUUUUUUAAGUUGAGUCUAGAAUUUAACGAGUUGUAACUUUUAGAUAUUAGACCAGAUUUAGAAAAUUCACCCGAGUUUUUUUUUCUUUUUUUUAAGCUUAUGUUUUCUUCUCUUAUUUUUUUAGUUUUGUUUUAUUAUUUUUUACAAUUUUCCUUCUAUUAGAUUAGAAUUAGGUUAUUUGAUAAUCUAAAUAGGUUCAGGUUUAUUCUUUUUACCUUUUUCUUUAUGGUUUUUUUAGCACUUUAUUUAUUGUUAUUAUAUUUUUUUUAGUAUUGUUUGGAUUAUCUCUUGAACUAAUAAUUUAGUACUUGGAUUUUUUUUUACCCUAGUAUUUUUUUACACCAAAUUUUUCUUUACUCUAACCACUGUAAAGCAUGAGUAACAAAUGUAAUUAUUACUAAAUUGCUACUAGUACAAAUAACUAUCUCUUGCAAAUGACAACGAGGAGUUUUAGGCUUUUGGAGCCCCCAAGCUACGGCCCCAUACUGUGGAAAAAAAAUGCAUGAUGGCAAUGGUCUCAUUAAUGCGGAAAAAAUGCAUAUAGUUAUAGGAUUAAGUUUUUAAUAUGAGAUGGUUUAUAUGGUAUUUGAAUUUUAUUAAUUAAGUGGUAAUAAGUUUAAACUUUAUUAUUUUAUUUUAUUUUAUUUUAUAAAAAUUAAAUAUAAAAUAAUAUGAAUAUAAAGAAGUUUCAAGUUUAAAAAAAAAUUAUUUGAAGAGGUGAUAUUUGUUAAAGAAUUAUAUAAAUUUUAUCUUUAGACCUCUAGAUUAAGUUUUUAGAUUAGGAUGAUAUUUUUGAAAAGUUUUGAAGUUUUGAGAUUAAAUUCAUAGCUUUUUUCUCUUUAAAUACAAGAAAUAUACAAGUUAUAUUUGUUGUUUUUGUUGUUUUUUUUUUUAUGGAUAUUGGUUUUUUGAUUGGCAAAAAACCAAUGAGAUCAUUGUUGCUGAUAUAUAGCUCUUGUAGAUGAUUUAAGUCACAUAGGUCUGAUCGAAAAAUUUAAACCCUGUUUUCUGCUUCUUCUUUUUUUUUCGGCUGCUAGUUUACUCUGUGUUUGUUUUCUUUGUUUCCUUUUUGUUGAAAUUUUCUUCUUUUAUGUGUUGAUAGGUCUGAAUCACUAAGAAAACAUACCUCAUUUCUUUAGAAGAGUUGUUUUCACAGAAUGAAUGUGAAUUUGAUCAUGUAAAGAUGGGCUGUGGUCAUUUUGCAGUUUAACUGAGUUCCAUGCUUUCGUUUAACUGAGUUCUUUUGGAUAUCUGAAAGUUGGUAUUUUGUUGUUCAGUGGGAAUUUAGUGUGUUUGGGACUCGGUGUAUGGCGAGUAUUCGGAAUAAAUGAGGCGAACAUAUUGGCUUAUACAAGGCCAUGGUCAUAAAUAAUAGGGAAGGAGUUAGUAAUUAGCAUUCAAGAUUGGAUCUGCAUGACCAGGACUGUUUUUGAUGGAUAUUGGUUUUUUGAUUGACAAGAAAUGGCAGCUGGUUUUUAAUGUGUGUGCAUGCUUUGCUCAUGUUGUCAUAUAUGUUUGUUUUCUCAAAUAUAUAAUGCAAAUAUCAAAAUUGUCUUCAAAACACUUAUCUGACUUUCUGUUGGAGAUCAAAUUCCAUAUAUUGAAUCAGGCACUUAUGUGGCCUACAAUGACGAGAAUGGUGGGGUAAUCAAAAGUUUAAAGGAAGAUGGUAUUGUUGAUUUGGACACUGACUUCAGCUCGCUCCCAGAAUGGAUAUCAAUGAAAGCGAUGGUUAGCACCUGGCUUGCAGAUGCAAUCAUGUAUGAACUCUGGGUGGGGUCUGAUGGAACCUCUGCCCGAACAAUUUAUCACUCUGGCCUCCCUUGGUUGAUAGGAAAGGCUCUAUUAAUGAAACAAGUGCACGUUGUUAAGCAGCGACUUGGGAUAACUAAAGAAAAUGCUGAACGAAGGGAAGCAGAGGUUACACUUCUAUCGUUUAUGAUCUUUUUCUGCAACUUGUUGAUAUCAAAUCUGCGCACAUACACUAGUGUUAGAAAGCAUACACCUGUGGAAUGAUUUUACCCGUUUAUAUAUUGCUUCAUUUUCUGUUAAUUUUCCUUGACCAUGGCCUUGCAAUAUUUUUAUUUUAAUUUAUGGAUAGAUCUACAAGAGAGUGAAAAUUGCAUAUGGAGCUUUGGAUAGAUUCAGGCAGUUUCCAAUCCCAGAUAUUUCUAAGCAUACAUGCUGUUCAUCUUUGGUUAGCUUGCCAACUAAUAGAUUUAAUUUUUUAAUUAAAAUCUAUUUUUUUAAUUAAAAUUUAAUUUUUUAUUUAAAAUUAUUUUAAAAUAUAUUUAAAAAAAACAAUACCUAACACAACUCUCUUGUCUCUGAAAAAAUGGCAGCAAGGAGUUUUAGGCUUUUUCAUCCACAAGUGUACGGAUCCAUCUCGUGGAAAAUCUGUUGCAGUGUCCUCUCCAUCAAAAUCCUUCUUGUUUUGAUAUAAAACAUUUAUUUCGUGCACCCUUGAAAUUAAUAGGAAGAUUGAAAUAAAGUUGAAAGGAUUGGUUUUUUUAUUUUUAUUUUUUUCAAUGAUCAUUUAAUUACGUCUUUAUAUUAGUUUUCAAGUUUUGAGAUUAAGUUCAUAUAUACCUCUUUUCUCUUUAAAGACAAGAAAUAUACCACAAGAUUAAAAACUAUUUUAUAUUUCAUUAAAAUAAAUAAAUAAAUAACUUAUAUAGUUACAGUAUUUAAUUUCUUCUUAAGCAAAUAAUGUACGCAAUGUCAGCGUCAAAAGAGGAUCGUAAGACCCACCCUCGAGNNNNNNNNNNNNNNNNNNNNNNNNNNNNNNNNNNNNNNNNNNNNNNNNNNNNNNNNNNNNNNNNNNNNNNNNNNNNNNNNNNNNNNNNNNNNNNNNNNNNNNNNNNNNNNNNNNNNNNNNNNNNNNNNNNNNNNNNNNNNNNNNNNNNNNNNNNNNNNNNNNNNNNNNNNNNNNNNNNNNNNNNNNNNNNNNNNNNNNNNNNNNNNNNNNNNNNNNNNNNNNNNNNNNNNNNNNNNNNNNNNNNNNNNNNNNNNNNNNNNNNNNNNNNNNNNNNNNNNNNNNNNNNNNNNNNNNNNNNNNNNNNNNNNNNNNNNNNNNNNNNNNNNNNNNNNNNNNNNNNNNNNNNNNNNNNNNNNNNNNNNNNNNNNNNNNNNAAAAAUGGGUACAAUGAUAUGAGAAAAUAAAAGUUUAUAUACUAAAAUUAAUAAAAAGUGAAAGUAUAUAUAUCAAAAAAUUUAUAUGAUUUAUAUGAUACUGAUAUUUUUAACAUUAAUAUAUUAAAAAAUUUAAAAAUAAUUUAAAAAUAAUUUUAAAUAAAAAAAUCAAAUUUUAUUCUAUUUUUAUUUUUAAACACAAUACCAACCGGGCUAUAUUCAGGAAAAGUCUAUAAAAAAACAAAGAUAUUCAGAGAAUGACAGAAAAUAAAUCAAACCACAGCCGUGGAAUUAGAAACCAAAAGACAGACCAAAUUUGUUUCUACAGGGAGCCAUCUUAGUGGUGGGGCAAAAACUUGAUGGAGAGAUAAUUAUUUAUUUAUCAAAACAAUUAUUUAUUCUAGAGAAAAACCCAAACUCAAUUUUAUUUGAUCAAAGUCACACCUUAAAAGAAAACAAGAAAAAAGUAUUUAAUUGAUAUAAUAAAAAAAAAAUUGAUAUACUAAUAAUAAAAAAUCUACUAAAAUGGGUGGCACUCAAUAACUCUGAAUGUUCACAUGCCUUAUCUUCUAGGCAAGAAGAGAUAAUAAAAGCAGGUGAUGUUCUUUUCUCCAGCUGUAAAUGGAUGGAGACGUCAAUACCAAAAACAUGGAUAAAAAUUGUUUUUCUUUUUUCAAUUUGAAUAUUUAUAUUCACAAAAUCUUAUCAAUAAAAUUUCUUCAUUAGUUUUAUUAUGAUGAUGUUAUAGUUAAUUCUUGUUUAGAUAAGUUUGAAUUGAUUUUAUUUUAUUUUUAAUUUCUAAUCAGUAAAGAUAUGUAAAAUACUUGUCCUUUAUAUCUUCUUUUAUUCUAGUUCUCUAAUUGAUUUUUUUUUUCUAUUUAAGUACUUGAUAAACUAGUGUCUGUCCAUAAAUUUGUUUACAUUAAUUUCUCUAAUAAAUGUAAGGUUUACAUAAAGUAACUAUAUGGAAUAAUAAAAUAUUAACAAUAAAAUUUAUUUAUAAAUAAACCUUAGAUUUAAUUUCUCUAAAUUUUAAAUUUGGUGCGAAUAAAUUCAAGGGAUUUUCAAGAUAAAUAGUACAAUAUUAGCCCUUCAAAAAAUUGAGAAUCUUCCAGUCUUCCUCCUCAAGGAAUUACUUAGUGGAUAGUUAAAACUAUAGUUUAUUCUAUUUUCUUCACUUUAUCUACAAUUUUACCUAUAUUAUUGUCACCGAUUAGAAAUAGUUAAAACUAAUGAUAUUUCUCGCACACUGUUAUAAAAAAAAUUUGGAACUUUUUAUUCAAUUAUAAGAUAAUAAAAACAAAUAUUAACAAAAAAAAUAGUAAAUAAAAUUAUAAAAGAAAAAUAUAUUUUUUGAAUUAUGUAAUUUUUUUUCAAAACAAAGGAGUUUUUAUUAGCAUUAUAGUUUAUUGAAUAAAAAGUAACAAUAAUAACAAAAAUUCUAUAAAACUAUAAUAAUUUAAAUUAAAAAAAAACAUAUAUUUUUAAGCAAUCAAGAGGCAGUCAUCCUUCCAAGAAAACCAUCUUACUAACGCCAUCAACAUUUGAAUUAAUAACACCAUAUCUUAAUAUAAAUGCUGAUCAAUUAUUAUCAUUAUCAAAAACAAAGUGAAAGAUGAAAAUGGUUUUUUCUUAAUUUUUGAAAAAAAAUAAAAAAGGUUGCCGCCUUUACUUUGUUCUAUUCGGACUCCGAAUGCAACAGAGUUUGAGCUAACGAGGUAUACCACAAAAGAAAAGAAAAAUAAUAAAGCAAGGUGGCUUCUGUUGAUAGCAGAGCAGUGAAGAAUUGAUACAAAAAAAGAGUGCUAUAAAUAGUGAGAAAAAAAUUAAAAAACUGAUUAAACUAGAAAAGAAAUAAUUAAAAAAACUGAAUUGUAAAAAAACCGAUUAAAAUUAAAAAAAACCGGCCAAUUCGGUUCCGGUUGUAUAAGUAUGAAAUUAAAAAAACCGAACCAAACCCAAACCGAAAAAAAUCAAGCCAAACCAAAAAAAAUCAAGCCAAACCGGUUUGAACCGGUUUUUUCCUAAAAAACCGAACCGAACCGAAACCGGUCAGUUUGAACCGGUUUUGGUUUUUUUAAAAAAAAUUCGAUUUGAUUAUUUUUUUUAUAAAAACCGAACCGAACCAAAAAUGAUAUCCGCUGAGCAGAUGUAUCUCCUUGAAAAUGCAUUUGAAUUAAUAUUUACAUCAUGUAUUUAAAAAAAAAACGUAAUAAAUAAAGAAAACACAUUACAAAAAGCCUACUAAUAUUCCUAAAACUUCCAACUUAAUGGAACAAAAGUAAGAUUAAACUAUAUUUUAGUAACUUCCAUUUAUAUACAAGUAUCUUCCUAAUAAAAUCACUACAAUGAUAAAUUAUAUUACAAAAAGUUCUCUAAAUACACUAUCCUACUAAACAAAAAGAACACUGUAUAUCUACUGCUCUAGUAUGAUAUGUGAAUGACCUGUCAAAUUAAAUCAUAUUAGAAAAUUUAAACAAUAUUUAGAAUAAAUUUAAAUAUAAAUCCAUCAUUAACUUUUCACCCUAAUAACUUUAUAAAUCUUACAAAUUAUAUAUUUAUUCUCAAAACUUGAAAGCACAUAAAAAUUUAAUAACUCGGCCAUCAAGUAUUCUAAUACUACGAAUCCUAUUUAGUUGAUAGUCUAAACAACUAUCCCGGUUAUAUGUCAUAUAAAUACCACUAGCUUCAAUUAAUUUAAACAAUUGUACUGGUAUCAGCUAAGACUAAACAAUUUUUCUUCUUCUUUUUUUCUUCCAUAAAAUACAUUACAAAGAAUAAUACACAUUUAGUGAAAUUGCAGAUAAGUAAACAAUUAAUUCCUAUAAAUAAUAUUUAGGUGUCCGUAGAACAUAUAUAGCAUAAAUCACCACUGAAUGAAAACAUAUACAUUAUAUAGCAUUAAAGAAUAAUAAUCAUCGUAGUCGUAGUCAAGUCGGGUACAAAGAUCUUAAAAACUAAUGAUCCUGUCGUUGACAAAGAUCACAUGACAAUUGCAUCCCACUGUGAUAAUAAUGCCCAUUCAAUCAGACUAAAUGAGUGUUUUUUUAAAUAAAUACUUUACCUAAUAAUUAAUUAGUAAAUAAUAUAUAAAUAUUGUAAAUCUAUACAUGUACUAGUAUUUUAUUCUGCUUCGAAUAAUAAAUAAUAUUUAAAUAAUAAAUAUUUAUAUGAUUUGUUAUCUGAUGAGUGGAGUAUAUCAAUAUAAAAAAAAACUUUUGGCAGAUAGUAGAAAAAAAUUAUGGAAAAUUCUACAGUUUAGCUCUUCCAAUUGCGUAAGCUUUUGUUAGUGCGGAUCUAUUUAUAAAUUACUAUUCAUUAUAAUUAUAUAAUUAUAAAUUUAUUCUUGCAAACAAAAGGAUAAGAUCAUAAGAUUAUCUUUUUGUCAUAGUACAAUUAUCUUUAAUAUAUUAUAUGAGGUUAUAUUUGUCAUUUCAUCUUUCUUUUAUAGUAAAUUUACUAUUUUGGCUUUGGAAUACAUAACUCUUAUGCUUUUGCUCCACAAGUGCUUUUAUUUUUUUAUUUUUUAAAAAAUAAUUAAUUAAAAUUUUUAUAUAGAAUGCUUUAAAGAUAAUGUAAAUUUGUUUUUAUAAAAAAUAGAAAACAUUUACAAAAACAUUAUAUAGAAUACUUUAAAAAUACUUUAAAUAUUAUUUUUUUAUGAAAACUAAAAAAAUUAUAAAAAAUUUAAUCAAACAUAACCGCCAGAUCCAAAAAGUUAAAACAUUCUUUAAUACUUUUAAUAUUUUUUAACAUUUUAAAAGUUAAUAUACGUGCAAAUAUACUAAUAAUGUCUGGAAAGAAAGGAGCAACUUUUCUGUAUCCAUUAUUGUCAAGGAAAUGGAAAGUAAGCUCAUAGCAUUAACAUUUUAUUCAUGUUUUUUUUUUUUUUUUUUUAAAAAGACUUUGAUUCGGGGUCAACGUUUCAAGAAGGAAUAUAAGUUUCGGUUGAUUACUUUCAUGCAAUUCUUUAUUUUUUAAUUUUUGGGUACCGUAUGGUCCGAAGAAGAUGCCUUUUGUAGUAUAUAGAGAAUUUUUUAAAAACAUUUUAGAAUUAUAAUUCGCAUCCGAAUUAAAAAUAUAAUAGGUUUUAAUAUUUACUUUUAAUAUAUAUAAAAUGAAAGAUAUUAUGAGUUUUUGAUUAAUGAUGUUAAUCCAAAUAUGUUUAUAAAAAUAAUUUCUAUCAAACCAAAUGAUAUGUAUUUUGAAUUUAAUAUUAAUAAUUAUAGCUUCCUAAAAUACAUUUAUUUAGUUAAUAAAAACUAGUACAUUUUUGUUGUCUCAUCUCUCUCUCUCUCAUUUUUGUUAUUUGUUUUUAAUUUCUUCUUCGGAGCUGCUUUGUCUCUCUUUCUAUCAAAAUUCUAAAUACAUAGCAUUUAGCGUUAAGAAUUAUAACCAUUGAAUUAUACAUAUUAAUCACUUGAUGAAAAAUUAAAUAUGACUAGAAAACAAAAUACAAAUAUAUAUAUAUAUAUAUAUAUAUAUAUAUAUAGCAUAUUAUCUCUUCUCAAGCUUACGGGCAAUAUGGUCUCACGGACUCUUAUCAUCUCUUUGAAGAAACUCGUGAUAGCAAUGGUCUAACGGACCCAUCUCACAUCACAAUUUGAUUAUUUUUUAUUUUCUGGACUUUUUCUGUGUUUCACUACUUUGAUGGAUCAAAUUUAUCUUUACAGUGAGUCAUUAGAGUAGUGGGAUAAAAACUUAAUGGAGAAAUAAUUAUUUAUUCAUCAAAACAAUUAUUUAUUUUGGAGAAAAACCUAAACUCAAUUUCAUUAGAUGAAAAUCACACCAUAAAAGAAAACAAGAAAAAAGUAUUUAAUUGAUAUAAUAAUAAAAAAAAAAUCUACAAAAAUAGGUGUCACUUGAAUCGCUCUGAAUGUUCAGAUGCUUUAUUUUCCAUACAAGAAGACAUAAUAAAAACAGGUGAUGUUUUUUUCUCCAGUUGUAAAUGGAUGGAAACAUCAAUACCAAAAUAAAUAUGAAUUAGUUAGAAUAAUUAUAACUAACUAAUAUAAUAGGUUUUAAUAUUUACUUUUAAUAUAUAUAAAAUAAAAGAUAUUAAAAGUUGAUUAAUGUUGAAAUUAAAACAUAUUAUCCCUUCUCAAGCUUAUGAGGCAAUGGUCUCAUGGAUCCGUCUCGUAGAAAAAACAAAAAACGCUUGAUAGCAAUAGUUUCAUGGACCAUUCCACUGGCUAUAUCGUGAAAAAAAAAAACAAAUGACAAUAGUCUCAUAAACCCAUCUCAUACUGCAAAUUCCUAUCCAUCUGACGUGUUGACAAUGUAAGCUGACGAACCCAUCUCGUGGAAAAAACGCAUGAUGGUUGGAAAUGGUCUCACGGCCUCACCUCGAGGAAAAAUGCAUGAUGACAACGGUCUCACUAACUCAUAAAUGCAUGAUGGAAUUGGUCUCACGGGCUCAUCUCGAGGAAAAGCAACGCUAUCGGGGACCAAAGCGUAUAUGGCAAUGGUCUCACGAACUCAUAAAUGCAUGAUGGUGAUUGUCUGUCGGACCCAUCCUGAGGAAAAAAACAUGCAUGACGGCUAACUCUUCAACAUUAAGUAAAAAAAUCUUCAACAUUUUCCUUUUUAAUUUAACAUUUUAGGGGUCAAUAUGAAUCUUUUCCUGAAUGAUUUGAUGCUGGGUUUUUUUUCCUACCUAAACUCUAACUUUUUAAAAAGUUUUCCUACUAAACACAAAUUCUNNNNNNNNNNNNNNNNNNNNNNNNNNNNNNNNNNNNNNNNNNNNNNNNNNNNNNNNNNNNNNNNNNNNNNNNNNNNNNNNNNNNNNNNNNNNNNNNNNNNNNNNNNNNNNNNNNNNNNNNNNNNNNNNNNNNNNNNNNNNNNNNNNNNNNNNNNNNNNNNNNNNNNNNNNNNNNNNNNNNNNNNNNNNNNNNNNNNNNNNNNNNNNNNNNNNNNNNNNNNNNNNNNNNNNNNNNNNNNNNNNNNNNNNNNNNNNNNNNNNNNNNNNNNNNNNNNNNNNNNNNNNNNNNNNNNNNNNNNNNNNNNNNNNNNNNNNNNNNNNNNNNNNNNNNNNNNNNNNNNNNNNNNNNNNNNNNNNNNNNNNNNNNNNNNNNNNNNNNNNNNNNNNNNNNNNNNNNNNNNNNNNNNNNNNNNNNNNNNNNNNNNNNNNNNNNNNNNNNNNNNNNNNNNNNNNNNNNNNNNNNNNNNNNNNNNNNNNNNNNNNNNNNNNNNNNNNNNNNNNNNNNNNNNNNNNNNNNNNNNNNNNNNNNNNNNNNNNNNNNNNNNNNNNNNNNNNNNNNNNNNNNNNNNNNNNNNNNNNNNNNNNNNNNNNNNNNNNNNNNNNNNNNNNNNNNNNNNNNNNNNNNNNNNNNNNNNNNNNNNNNNNNNNNNNNNNNNNNNNNNNNNNNNNNNNNNNNNNNNNNNNNNNNNNNNNNNNNNNNNNNNNNNNNNNNNNNNNNNNNNNNNNNNNNNNNNNNNNNNNNNNNNNNNNNNNNNNNNNNNNNNNNNNNNNNNNNNNNNNNNNNNNNNNNNNNNNNNNNNNNNNNNNNNNNNNNNNNNNNNNNNNNNNNNNNNNNNNNNNNNNNNNNNNNNNNNNNNNNNNNNNNNNNNNNNNNNNNNNNNNNNNNNNNNNNNNNNNNNNNNNNNNNNNNNNNNNNNNNNNNNNNNNNNNNNNNNNNNNNNNNNNNNNNNNNNNNNNNNNNNNNNNNNNNNNNNNNNNNNNNNNNNNNNNNNNNNNNNNNNNNNNNNNNNNNNNNNNNNNNNNNNNNNNNNNNNNNNNNNNNNNNNNNNNNNNNNNNNNNNNNNNNNNNNNNNNNNNNNNNNNNNNNNNNNNNNNNNNNNNNNNNNNNNNNNNNNNNNNNNNNNNNNNNNNNNNNNNNNNNNNNNNNNNNNNNNNNNNNNNNNNNNNNAAUUUGAUUUUGAUUAAAAAUUUAUUUUUGUUAUUUUUUAAUCCCUAUUUGAGAGAGGAGAGAGAAGUCGACAAAUUCCAGCGGUAGAGAAAAAAAAUAUUGUUAAUACCAAUUUAGACCACCAAAACGAACAAUAUUUGUGUCAAAUGAAUUUAUUUUAUGAGGGAAGCUCAUAUUAAGUAUUUUUUUUUUUUACUUUUAAAGUUCGUAAAAAAAUAAAUACGAUCUUUAGUUGAUUUUUUACCUUAAAAGAAACAUGAUAAGUAUAUAUAUUUUUUUUUAACACCACUGAUCACUUCUUUAAAUAUACGUUAUAUUGUUGAUGGAUGAGAAUUUAAGUGGACAGAAUUUUAGGAUUUCGAGAAAAAAUAAUUAUCUCAAAUUUUGUCAUAUUUUCGGUUUUUAUUUUUAUUAAUUUGGAUUUUCUUUCUUACUUUUUAAUAUUUUAUGGAUGAGAAUGAAAUAUUUUAUAUAAACUUAAAAAACAACACUGAGAUUUAUUCAUAUAUAUUCUGUGUUACAAUUAUUUAUAUAAAUGGAUGAAGCUUGGAAAUUUUUUUUAUUAAUAUUUUUUAAUGAUUUCAUUGUUUAAAAUUAAAUUGGUUGGGAGUUAAUUUUUUUUUAUUAAACCUAAGUCUAGAAUUUAACGAAUUGCAAGUUUUAGAUAUUAGACCAGGUUUAGAAGAUUCAUCUGAGUUUGCUUAUUUUUUUUCUUCUUUUUUUAAUGUUUUUGUUUUUUUUUUUAGUUUUGCUUUAUUAUUUUUUAUGAUUUUCCUUCUAUUAGUAUUGUUUGGAUUAUUACUUGAACCAAUAACUCGGGAGUUAGAUUUUCUUUUACCCUAGUAUUUUUUGACAUCAGAAUUUUUUUAACUCUAACCACUGUAAAGCAUGAGUGACAAAUCUAGUUAUUACUAAAUUGCUACUAGUAUAAAUAACUAUCUCUUGCAAAUGGCAGCGAGGAGUUUUACGCUUUUAGAGCCCCCAAGCUACGACCCCUUCUUGUGGGAAAAAAAGGCAAAUAGUUAUAGAAUUAAGUUUUUAAUAUGAGAUAGUUUAUAUAAUUUUUAGAUUUUAUUAAUCGAGUUUAAAUUUUAUUAUUUUAUUUUAUUUUAUAAAAAAUAAAUAUAAAAUAAUAUAAAUAUAAACUUAUAUAAGUUUCAAAAUUAAAAAACUUUCAUUUAAAGAGAUGAUGUAUAUUAAAGAAUUAUAUAAAUUUUAUUUUGAAACCUUGUAUAAUAUAUUAAGCAUUUAGAAUAAAAUAAUUUUUUGGAAAGUUUUCAAGUUUUGAGAUUAAAUUCAUAGCUAUUUUUUCUUUAAAUACAAGAAAUAUACCAAUCAAUAUUCAAAUAACUUAUUAAUAUUUUUUUUAAGUUUAUUAAAAUAAUAAGGAACAGAUCUUAUAAAUUAAAAAGUUAAAAAAGAAUGAAAUUGAAAAAAAAAAUUUAAUUUCAUAAAUUAUAUUAAAUAAAAUAAAUAACAAUCAAAAUAAAUUGUAAACUCAAAUGUUAAAAUGCAAAUUCAAAUGAACUUGAUGAUGAUGAGUGAAUAUAAUAAUGAAAGAAGUGUAAGAAAAUAUCUAGAUAUUUAUAUACAAUGUAUGAUUUUAUAAUAAUUUCAUGUGAUAAUAAUGGGAAGGAUUUUUUUCAAUCAAAUAAAAAAUUUUAUUUAUUUAUCAAAAAAUUAUUAUGAAUUUAAUAUUUGCAAUAUGAAUUUUGAAAUAUACCACAUGAAAUGUUUAAAUAUUUGCAAUAUGUAUUUUGAAUUUAAUAUUAAUAAUUAUAUCUUCCUAACACAAGUUUACUUUAGUAAAAAAAAACUGGUACACCUUUUGUUUUUUCAUCUCUCCCCCUCCCUUUUGAUCUUUCUUCUUCUUCUUUCGGCUUUGUCAUUCUUUCUUUCUCUUUCUAUCUUCCAUCUCUCAGUCCAUCAAAAUUCAUAAUACAUAGCAAUUAUAAUAAAGCAUUUAAUUGCAUUUCCAUUAAUUAAUCGGUGGUUACAUUUUUUUAAUGAUAAUUGAAGAAUAUAUUAAAAUAGUUAUUUAAAGAAUGAUAAAAACAAAAGAAGGAGAAUUAAGCUAGUUAAAAUUAAAGCAUAUUAAGCAUUAAUGGUCUCCCGGACCCAUCUCGUGGAAAAACAAUUGAUAGCAUUAAUGGUCUCACGGUCGACCAUCCCACUGACCCAUAUCAUGGAAAAAAUGCAGAUGGCAUUAAUGGUCUCACAGACCCAUCUUACACUGCAAAAUAGCUGGCAUUAAUGUUUUUCCACAAAAGACUUUGACUUGGGGUCAACUUUUCAGUUCAUUACUUUUAUGGAAUUCAAUUUUAUUUUACUAUGUGGUUUCAAUCAAUGUUAGUAAAAUCCAGUUCAGCUUGACUGCAGGUUCAUCCAUGAUAUUGGAGCCCGAUCAAAUGGAUGCACUCAAAUGUCUCUAUAGGUUUACAUACCUUAUUUUUCAGGCAUGAAGAGAUAUAAUUAUCAAAAUUUUAAUACUAUAAUUCAUAAAAUUAUUUUCCUUUUAUCUAUAUAGUUUAUGCUAUCAGAACCUUGAAAAAUCUUGUACUACUUAAAAUCUUGAAUUGACAAGGUCUUGGUCCAUCUACUAGACCUGUCCAGGUUUUAUAUCAAUGAUGCUGGGAAUGUGAAAGAGCUAGAGUGAAUAUCGAAUUAUGGAGUUGUUGGGUAAUAUGAACAUGAAUUAUAUUAAUAGAUUACAUUAAUAUGACAACUAGUUUUGAUUUAUCCCCCCAAUUUGAAUACUUAUAUUCACCAAAUGAUUAAUAAAAUAUCUUCUUAGUUAUGCUAUAAAAUAUAUAGUGAUGUCACAGUUCACUCUUUUUAGUUGAGUUUAGAUUGAUUUUUUUUUUUUAAUUUUUGAACUAUAAAAUAUAGCUAAAUUUAAAAUAAAUAUUUUUUUACAGUAGCAUUUCUAAUUUGCUUCUGUUCAAGAUGAGGCAGUUCUGUUUGAGGUGGUUCUCCAUAUCCUUCAUCCACCAUACUCCACAAAUCUUGUGAGAUAAAGAUUGUCUCCAUUUGAGAACUCCAAUAAUCAUAAUGCUUGUUUUUCAUUUUUUAGUUUCUGGAUAAAAAAGAAGAAAAUAAAAAAUAUAUAUAUAUAUUUGGAAGAAAACAAAAAAUAUAUAGCAGUGAGAAGAGGAUGCCGGAACGACCAGAAAAUAGCCAAAAACUGGUAGAGCAAGUUAAAAAUUACAAAGAUUGAAAUUUGACAAUAUAUUUUUUUACUGAUAAGAGUCAUGUUGACAAAAAAAUUCAAUUUAAGAAAGAAAAGUCCAAAAUCAAAUGUUUAUGGACUCAAUUAAAUUUUAUUGAAGGUUUAAUUGAAUUUAUGAAGGGUUUGAUUGCAAGAAAAAUUAAUUUUUAAGUCAAUUUAGGCUUUAAUUGGAAAGAAUUAAUUUUCUAGGGUCAAAUUAUAAUUUUAAGAGUUGAUUUGGUUAAAGCAGGGGCUUCAUUGCAUAAAUAUUGAAGUUUGAUGGCCACUUAUGGACUUGAAUGAAUAAAUCCAAAACCAAGGACCAAACUGGAAAAGACAUGUAAAUAGAGGAAUUGAAAUUGACCGAAUCAGGGGCUAUAUUGAAAAAAUUAAAAGUUUAUUGAUCAAAUAAGGGUCAAAUUGUAUAAAUCCAAAACCAAGAACUAAAAUGAAAAAGACAGCAAGCAUUAGAGCUGACAUUGAAAUUUAACAGGGAUGUAAUUGAAUUGAUUUUUUAAAAUUAAAAUUACAAUAAAAAAGAUUGAAUAAAUAAAAAAUUAAAAACAAAUUUAAAAAUUAAUAUAUUUUGGAGUUAUUUUUUUUUAAAUCAAACCACACGUCUCAAAUAAAACAACAAUAGAGUUCAUAAAAAAAAAAUGCCCGAAACGGUAUGUAACAAUUUGAAAAAAGUGAUAGGUGGUUCAGGGAAGAAAUUGUGAAAAUAAAAUUAUGUCGUUAUACCGGUUUAAACCAUUAAAAUAAAUAAUAUUUGUGUUAAAUAAUUUUAUUUGAUGAUAAAAACUUAUAUUAAAUAUUUUUUUUAUUUUUAAAGUUUGUAAAAAAACAAAUAUAAUUUUUAAUUGAUUUUUGACCAGUGUUCUUUUGUUCUUAACACCACUGGUAACUUCUUUAAAUAUACGUUAGUGUUGAUGAAUGAAAAUUUAAGUGGACAGAAUUUUAGGAUUUCUAGAAUUUUAGGAUUUCUAGAAUUUUAGGACCCAUGCCGUGGAAAACACUGCAUGAUGGAAAUGUUUUCUCGGACCCAACUGAUGGAAGAAAUGCAUGAUGGCACCAUCCAACGGACCCAUCUCGUGGAAAAAAGAAGCAGGACGACAGUGUCCCCUUCAUCCUCUCGUAUUGAAGUAUUGCUCGCGUGGAUUUUUUUAACUCGACAAGGCUUUAUUCUUCAACCUCUCGUAUAAUACAGACGAGCUGUGUAAAAUUUAUAUUUUUUUUUAAUUUAAUGAUGAGAGUUUAUAUUAAAUAUUUUUUUCCUUUAAAUUCAUGAAAAAAUAAAAUAUUUUUUUUUUACCUUAAAAAAAACAUGAUAAGUAUUUUAUUUUAUUUUAUUUUUUCAACACCAUUGAUCACUUCUUAAUUUGAAUAUACGUUAUUGUUGAUGAAUGAGAAUUUAAGUGGAUAGAAUUUUAGGAUUUCUAGAAAAAAUUAAUUAUCUCAAAUUUUGUCAGAUUUUCUGUUUUUAUUUUUAUUAAUUUGGCUUUUCUUUCCUACUUUUUAAUAUUUUUUGGAUAAGAAUGAAAUAUUUUAUAUAAACUUUAAAAACAACACUGAGAUUGAUUCAUAUAUAUAUAUAUUCUGUGUUACUAUUACUUGUAUAAACGGAUGAAGCAUGAAAAUUAUAGAAAGGGCGAAAAACCAACUGCUUGAGGGUGUUUAAAAGGGCGAAAAACCAACUGUUGUCCACGUACACAGCACUUCUCCAUUUAUAUCUUCUAAAUUUAUAAAGUAAUUUUGUACAGGGUGUUUUUGAUUGAGUAAUUUAUCCUGUUUUUUAUUAAAAUUUAAUUUUUUAAAAAAAUAUUUUUUUAUAUUUUUAAAUAUAUUAUAAAAAAAACAAAAGCUAAUAUUACACUCUUCUCUUGUCCGUGAGAAAAUGGCAUCAAGGAGUUUUAGGCUUUUAGAUCCACAAGUGUACAACCCAUCUGGUGGAAAAUUUGUUGCAGUAUCCUCUCCAUCAAAAUACCUUUUGUUUUGAUAUGAAACAUUUAUUUUGCACACCCUUGAAAUAGAAAGAUUAAAAUAAAAUUGAAAGGAUUAGUUUUUUUAUUUUUAUUUUUUUUCAAUGAUCAUUUAAUGUCUUUAUAUUAGUUUUCAAGUUUUGAGAUUAAGUUCACAGCUCUUUUUCUUUAAAGACAAGAAAUAUACCACAAGAUUAAAAACUGUUUUAUAUUUCAUUAAAAUAAAUAAAUAAAUAACUUAUAUAGUUACAAUAUUUUAUUCUUAAGCAAAUAAAUUGAUUUCAAGUGAUAGUAACAUGAAGGGUUUUCUUCCGAUCAAAUAAAAAAAAUUAUUUUAAUUAGAAAAUAUUAUUUAUUCAUCAAAAUAAUUAUUAUUUUGGAGGGAACGCUUCCCCCAAGAAAACCCAAACUCAAAUUUUUGAUAAGAAAACCCAAACCCAAUCCGGCAAAAUAAAAGGCAGAGGAGUACACAGGAGAAAAAAAAAAGGGGGGGGGGGAAGAGAACGAACGAACGAAACCAAAAGGAAAAGAAGCAGAAAACAGGGGAGAAUAAAAAGAAAGCCAGAGAGAGAUGUAGGGAAUUCCGACCGGUGAUGUUCUGAUAUUUGCCCAUUGGAGGCUAAGCACACUGACACGAUAUUUAACGUGGUUCGGCAAACCGCCUACAUCCACGGGAGAAGCCAUUACAUUAUAUAGGGAGAGUACAAGAUUUACAAUAAUAGAGGAGGAGGAAUCAUCCCCUCUUUGGCAACUCUCAACCUCACUCUAUUUCUCUCUUCUUAGUGCUGCAAUGGCAGCUACUGCUGGCUGCCUUGGCAGCCCACUCUCUCCUACAUUUCUCACAUCUUUGGCUUUACACUCUCACGUAUGCCUCUAUUUAUAGGCAUCCAUGGCAGCUCCUCUUGCUCUUUUGUCAACAAUGGUGGCCACCAACUCUAGCUCAUCUUCAACAAUAGUGGCUGCCAACCUUUGACAUUCCCGAAGGGCUGCUGCAUUUGUCAAUGGACNNNNNNNNNNNNNNNNNNNNNNNNNNNNNNNNNNNNNNNNNNNNNNNNNNNNNNNNNNNNNNNNNNNNNNNNNNNNNNNNNNNNNNNNNNNNNNNNNNNNAUUAAUGGUUGCUGCACAUUAAUGGCAACCAACCCAACAAUCACCCCCUUUGUCAUUUAUGUGGGCAAUUGUCCUCUUGCUUCUUCAGCACAUGCUUGCAUUCUGCAGCUCUUCCAAGCUUACCAUUUUUAGAGCGUUUGUGGCUAAGUUUACAGGUACUUGCCAAACCUCUCAAUCACCAGAGUCACCCAAACACCUCUUUGCUCACUCCAAAGGAUCACUUCAACCAGAUGGUUUGUCACAUCUCAUCUGAAGAGUGUUAAUGCUUGUCUCUGGAACAACAUUCCCCUUCAAGCAUAUCAACCAUGCUUGGCCCGGAAUGAUUUAUCAAGCCUUACACCAAGGCUUACAACACCCCCUCAAACGGGUAUUUCCAAGUGCGACAGUCAUUGAGUAUUUUAAUGUGAUCACGAGCUCACCACUCUUCCAAGAGUCUACUCAUCCCGGAGUUGCGUCUGCCCUCUGUUCCUCCCUAGGAACCACGCCUUACUUCUCCGUGAGUCUCCCGCUCUUAGUCUCAAGAGUCCAGGUAGCUUUCCCUUUUAACCAUGGGGACAACCCAUUAAAGGUUGAUCCAUCUCUAUCUUCAUACUCUGAGUAUUACAAUGUCAUUACUGAGCUCACCACCUUGACAGAGAUUGACUGUUCCCGGAACCUGCGCAUGCCCUCUGCUCCUUCAUAGCAGUCGCGUCUUAAUGCUCCACAAGUCAUCCACUUAUUGUCCAAGGCAAAUGUCUUCUAGCUCAUUGAUCUUUAGCAUGGGGGCAAUAUCCAUGAAAGUCAAUCCUGCAUUUGUCUCCAUACUCAUCAUAGCCAAUUGGCUAUACACUUGUCCACUUAUAUCCAGCCAUCACAUCGGUCUUUAGGGCAUUCUGAAAUUGGGCUCCUAUCAUGGCCCUCACACCUUCUCCUGAGGUGUCUCCGCCUGUUGUCAUGAGACGAUCUGAAUUUGGACUCAUAUCAUGGUCCUCACACCUUCUCCUGAGGUGUCUCCGCCUGUCGUCAUGAGACGGUCUGUACUUGGGCUCCUUUCAUGGCCCACACACCUUCUUGCCUGAGGUGUCUCUACUCGUCGUCAUACGGCGGUUUCUACUUGGGCUAGUUUCAUGGCCCACACACCUUCUGCCUGAGGUGUCUCCGCUCAUCGUCAUGCGGCGGUUUGUACUUGGGCUCAUUUUGUGGCCCACACACCUUCUAUCUAAGGUGUCUCCGCUCAUCGUCAUGUGGCGGUCACAUCCUCCUUCAUCGGGGAUGUCUCCAGUGGCUCCAAGAUUCUCUACCACCAUGUGAACUUGGGAGAGAUCACUGCCACUGGUCACAUAGAAAGAGAGAGUUGCGGUGCACUCUUCGCAAUCCUCCAUCUCAUUUUCUAUGUUUGGAGCUUCUAUGCCUUUCUGCUUGAUAGCUCCACCCACACCAACUCUCUUUGGUGUCUUCGCCUUUCAUCGGCGGUCGCACCCCCUUAAUUAGGUGCUUCUGCAACAACUCAUCUUUCCAUCAUUGCAUGCAUUGGAAAGGUCCUCGCUUGUUGCCUUUAUCAAGAGCACAAGAGACUUCCUGUUGUACAACUUUUUCACACAGUCUCUACUCUGAGCUUCAUCUGGGAACUCUUCUUCUCCUUGCAUCUGUUGUCUCAUUACAGUACCUCGUUGGAUCCUUUAGGUACUCCUGCAUAAUCUUCGUGUGCUCUCGUGCAAUUUCGGUUCUCCAGAUUUCUCCCUAUUCUUUGCUUUUAUGUUUGACAGCAGCUCAUCCUGUCACAUCAUUUAUCCAAGUCAAAAUAGGGUGCCAAUCUUUAUCCCUUGUUUUAUUUCUCUUUCAUUAUCAAGGUCUUCAUCAAUUCUCCCUUUGAGAAAUUACAGUCACCGAAUCUAACUUCUUUGAAGAAAUCACCACUCCAUCAGAUCCUUGAACAUACGGAACCCAACUGUUCCUUUAUGUCGUCAUCUUGCUAGUCUUCAACAGUUCCAUUACAAACUGUUACAUAUACAAAAAUAGUACUGUGUGGAUGAUCCUUCAACUAAGCAAGUUCCCAGGAAAGAUUUGGAGGGGUCACACUGAUCCCGCUUAAAACCCAAUCUCCUAGACAGAACUUCUUAGAACGUAUCUAUCCACUGUACUGCCUUUUUGUAUAUACAACCAUUUGCUAGCUUUUUUGCGGCUUUUCUUUACAAGUGAUCUGGGGUAUCCCGGUUUUAUACCUGAUUUCUCAACAUCUGGCGAGACUACCAGUUCUUAGAUUCAUCAAGAUUGGUCUUCAUCAAUUUCCACUCUCCACCUCAAAUCGUCCACAUGAUCGGGUGUCCAGAGUAUCCCAAUUUUGCCUUCCUUCAAGGCAAUUAAAAUUUCUCCCCAUUUAGCAGUUCAGCACAUGUAAUUGGGCAAACAUGUGCACUUUCUCCUUCUUCAUCUCCAUCGACCACCAUGAUGACCUUCAGAUGCCUCUUCAUCGGGCAAUCUCUUUUAAUAAUUCACCACCACCAUUUUCGGUCUCAAUCUCAAUGAUCGAACCGUACCAUUGCAUCCGGAACAAUCAAAUUAGCUGGAAACAAGUCUGAAAUCAUCCAAAUCGCAUUUCAGAUGGCUAAGAUUUGAUCAAAACAAUUCUGGCCUGAUUAACGGCCCAGAUUCAAUCUCAGAUCUGGUUGCAUGUAGACUCUACUGCACAGAAUCUUAUCCCUCGGCUCGCGGCUCGGCUCGGCUCAAAAACGGCUCGGCUCCCAUUGUGCUGACGUGUCUGCCGACUGGACGCUGACAUGGCAUGUUGACUGUGCAUGCUGACGUCUCCAUUACAUCAUGCUGAUGUUAUCAUGGGCCAUGCUACUGUACAGGAUGAUGUCACGAUUACAUCAUGCUAAUGUCAUCCCUGGCAUGUCUGCUGUUCAUGCCGACGUCACUUUUACGUCAUGCUGAUGUCAUCCUUAUCCGAGUCAGUCACAUGGGUCGGGUCAGCUGGUAUUCGGGUCGGUCAACCCAUCCGGGUGAAGAAGACGCGUGGCACGCAUGGGGCGCGUCUGCCAAAGAGUGAUGGAGAGUGCGGCCAUGUCCGACGUCCGAUUUUGACGCCGUUUUCACCAGUGGCUUCGACUCUUCCUCCUCUACACGGUGGUAUGGUCAAAACACAAUUUUCACAACUUUCAUUUUUGAGCAAAAAUCAAACACCACUUUAAACCAUAUGCUCUGAUACCAAUUGUAGGGAAUUCCGACCGGUGAUGUUCUGAUAUUUGCCCAUUGGAGGCUAAGCACACUGACAUAAUAUUUAACGUGGUUUGGCAAACCGCCUACAUCCACGAGAGAAGCCAUUACAUUAUAUAGGGAGAGUACAAGAUUUACAAUAAUAGAGGAGGAGGAAUCAUCCCCUCUUUGGCAACUCUCAACCUCUCUCUAUUUCUCUCUUCUUAGUGCUGCAAUGGCAGCUACUGCUGGCUGCCUUGGCAGCCCACUCUCUCCUACAUUUCUCACAUCUUUGGCUCUACACUCUCACUCUCAUUUUCUCUCAUGUAUGCCUCUAUUUAUAGGCAUCCAUUGCAGCUCCUCUUGCUCUUUUGUCAACAAUGGUGGCCACCAACUCUAGCUCAUCUUCAACAAUGGUGGCUGUCAACCUUUGACAUUCCGGAAGGGCUGCUGCAUUUGUCAAUGGACGGUGCCGUCCAUUAAUGGUUGCUGCACAUUAAUGGCAACCAACCCAACAAGAGAGAGAGAGAGAGAGAGAGAGAGAGAGAGAGAGAGAGAGAGAGAGAGAAUAAGAAAAGCCACAGAGCUAAACGGGGAACUAAGAACAUAAGCUUCAUCCGGUUUGUUGGCAACAUAGUUAUCAAACCCGUUCAGGAGCUGACUUAGCUAAGGUCGGUUCUCAGGUUUUAUGAAUCAAUCUGAAUCAACCACAAAGUUUUUAAUAUUUUAUAUAAAAAAAUUAAAAAAAAAUCUAUAUGAAUAUAAGCUAUAAAUAUUGUAAAUAAUAAAGUUUAAAAGAAUAUUUUAAAAAGUUUUUUAUCUCAUAUUGAAAAUAUACUAUGUUAUGCUUUUAAGUUGAAGUAUUUAAACCAAAAUUUUUUUUUAUCCCACAUUGAAAAAGUAUAAUUUUUUUCUUAUAAACAUAAAGUAUAUAUACGAAAUAACUUCAAAUUCCACAUUGAAAGAACAACUUUUUCUUGUGAACAUAAUAGUAUAUAUAUUAAUAAAGGGUUUCAAAUUCCAUAUCGAAAAGAUAUUAUAUUAUCUUUUUAAGUUAAAGUAUUUAAACCAAAAAUUUUUUUAUCCUAAAUUAAAAAAACAUAAUUUUUUUUUGUGUUCAUAGAGUAUAUAUACGUAAGGGCUUCAAAUCCCACAUUGAAAAAAUAACAUUUUUUCCUGGAAACAUAGAGUAUAUAUAUUAAAGGGUUUCAAAUCCCUAUUUGAAAAAAUAAAACACUUUUCUAAUAUUUAUAUAGUGAGCUUUAAAAAGUGUUAAUAAUCAACUAAAAAAAUAUGAAAAAAGAGGGGUACAGGAGAAAAACCACAUUUGAAAAAAAAACACUGAGUCUCGCCCGGAUCAUGGGUUAGCCCAUCGGGUCAACCGGGUUUGGCCGGGUCGUUGCACCGGCCGGUCUUUUGGCAAACUCGGACCGGUCUAGCCACUGGGUCAACCCACCGGGCCGGUCCGGGUUUAAUAACUAUGAUUGGCAGUCGAACAAGAUCUUCGUCCCAAGGCCAUAUGCAAGAGAAGUGUUUCUCGUUCCCUCCCCCACCAAUUUAAUUCACUUAUUGUUGCAAGCGUGUGAUAACACUUCACACACAGAGAAAACCCAACGGUUACUGGUCUGAACCAGUAACCGGGUCGGGCAGCUGGAUCGGGCAGCUAGUCUGAACUAGUAACACUAAAAAAAGGAGAAGAAGAAUGGGUUGGGUCUAGGCCUCAGCCCAGCCAACUCAAAUUGUGUUUGCUAAAGAUUAUGUAUUUGUCAUGCAUUUUUAUCCCCAUUUUAUUUUGAUAUCUGGCCAAAUAAAUCAUUUUUGGAUAUUGAAAAAUUUUAGAAAUAUUUAUGGAUCUUUGUUGAUUUAUUUGGGCCCCUCGUUCUUUGUUUUAUAUUUUUUUUAUUUUGCAUAUUUGUUUUUGCUAUAUGCUUAAUCUACAUACCUUUACUGUUAAAUACAAAUCUUCUGUGUAAUGCAUCUUUUUUUAUUCUUAAGCAUUGAUUAUAAAAAUGAAGUCAUAACUUGAUAUGAAAAUGCAAGCUGCCAUAGCCUUCUUUGCAGCUGAAUACAUAGAUAGAAAGGGAAAUCUGAUUGCCUCUAUACCUAAUUCAAAUUUACAACCUUUUCUUAUUCAAAAUUCAGCAACCUAUAAUUGUGAUCUAAGUAAAAACUAUUGAAAGAGUUCUUUGAAACUGCUAAUUAACAAGGUUUACUCUCUACUUGAAUCCCUAACUAGUUUCUUCAAUAUAGUAGUAUUUCAGCCAAAUUAUAAAUUAUAAAUCAAAGUUGGUUGUUUCCUUGCCAUAAUUAUUUAAAAUAAAAAAAUAGUUUUUUUUUUCAUGAACACUUGUACUGAUCACUUCUAUGAAUAUACGUUGUUGUUGAUGAAUGAGAAUUUAAGAGGAUAGGAUUUUAGGAUUUCUAGAAAAACCAACUCUCUUAAAUUCUGUCGUAUUUUCUGUUUUUAUUUUUAUUAAUUUGAAUUUUCUUUGUUAUUUUUUAAUAUUUUCUUAGAUGAAAUUGAAAUAUUUUAUAUAAAGUUUAAAAACAAUAUUGAAGUUUAUUUAUAUAUAUUCUGUGUUACAAUUACUGAAAAUUAGAAAAAAAGAUUGUUACAAAAAUGAACGGGCUGUUAGUGAAUUCAUUUAUAUCCUCUAGUGUUAACAAGUAUGUCUGUACUAUCUCUUGCAAAUGACAGUGAGAAGUUUUAGAGCUUUUUUAUUUGUGUAUUUUUUAAAAAUUAAUUUUUUUUAUUUUAAAUUAAUUUUUUUUAUUAUAAUUUUGAUGUAUUGAUAUCAUUAAUAAAUUUUUUAAAAAUAAUAAUAUUAUUUUAAUAUAUUAAAAAAACACUUUUAAAAAUAAAUAUUACUGCACCAAAAAUAGAGUAUUCGGUUUUUAGAGCCCCAAGCAUACGACUCCAUCUCGUGGAAAACAUUGCAUGAUGGCAAUGGGUCUCACGGACCCAUAUCGUGUAAAAAAUGCAUUCGGUGGAAAAUUUGCUGCAAUGUCUUCUGCAUCAAAAUCCUUUUUGUUUCGAUAUAAAAUAUUUAUUUCGUGUACAUUUGAAUUAGGAAGAUUAAAAUAAAGUUGAAAGGAUUAUUUUUUUUCAUAUAUUUUUUAUUCAAUGAUCACUUAAUAUCCUUAUAUUAGUUUUCAAGUUUUGAGAUAUAAGUUGAUAGCUUUUUUCUCUUCUAAGAAAAGAAAUAUACCACAAGAUUAAAAACUAGUUUAUAUUUCAUUAAAAUAAAUAAAUAAAUUACUUAUAUAGUAACAAUUUUUUUUUCUUGAGUAAAUAAAUUGGUUUAUGUUAUAAAAUUAUGUAUCAAGAAGUUUACAAUAACAAUAUAAUUAUUAAACAGUAAAUAGAAUAUAUAAAAACAAUAAAGAUUAGGGAGAUAAAAAGAAAGUAUUUUUAUUUUAUAUGGAUUUGUAGUUAUAUUUAUUCACAAUACUUCUAAACUCUCUCAACAAUGCUUUUAUAUAUAUAUAUAUAUAUAUAUAUAUAUAUAUAUAUAUAUAUAUAUAUAUAUAUAUAUAUAUAUAUAUAUACUUGUAAGCUUAAAGAUUAUUAAAAAAAAUAUAAAUUUAAAUGAAUUUUGAAAUAUUCUAAUUAUAAUAAAACAUUUAUAUUUCCAUUAAUUAAUCGGUGGUUGCUUCUUCUUUUUUCAUGAUAUUUGAAGAAUAUAUUAAAAUAAUUAUUUAAAGAAUGAUCAAAACAAAAGAACGAGAAGUCAAGUCAGUUGAAAUUACAUAUUAUCCCUUCUCAAGCGGCAAUGGUCUCACGGACCAUCUCACUGAUCCAUAUCGUAGAAAAAAUAUAGAUGACAAUGGUCCCCACAUCUCACAUGUUAAAUAAUAUAUUUAUUUUGUUUAAUUUAUUAAAUGUAAAAUAAUUUUUUUAAUUUAAUUUAUAUAUAAUUUUUUUAUAUUUAAAUUAAAACAAGUAUUUUAAAAUAAACAGAUUAAUAUGAAAUUUUUUUUAUAUUAAUAUUUUUAAAUUAAUUUAAAUUGCUUUAACAUCAUAGAUCCAUUUACACUGCAAAUCCCUAUCUCUUGACUGCGUUAAAAAAAUAGAUGAUAAUAAUGUUUGAUUUUGCCAACAACAUUAAAAUUAAGGCAUGAUUUUCUUCACGUGAUUUCCGUAAAGAAAACAGCGACGGCUCUAAUAUCCAUCAUCUUCAUGGAAAGUGAGCUGGCUAGCGUUGAUCUUUAAUUCAUGUUUUUCCACAAAAGACUUUGACUUGGGGUAGCUGGCUAGCGAUAACUUGGGGUCAACUUUUCAGUUAAUUAUUUUUAUGCAAUUUUAUUUUAUAUUUAAUUAAAAUAGACAUUCGAAUCAGUUUGUGUAUAUUUUUACUAAUCUUAUAAAUCCUAAAAUUAACAAUUAUAUAAACCUCUAAUAAUUAUUAUAUUAACAAAAUUCAAUUUUAUUUUACUACGGGGUUUCAAUUAAUGUUAGUAAGAUCCAGUUCAGCUUGACAGCUUCAUCCAUAAUGUCUUUCUAGGUUUACAUACCUCAUUUUUCAGGCAUGAAGAGAUAUAAUUAUCAAAAUUUUAUAUUUUAAUACUAUAACUCAUAAAAUUAUUUUCGUUCUUUCUAUAUAGUUUAUGUUAUCAGAAGCUUGAAAUAUCUAAGAUUUUCAUUCCAAAGUUUUUUGAAAACCAAUUUCAUUUUUACCAGAAUCAUUUUUUUUUUCACACUUGAGAAAUUCAGCCAAAAAAAAGUUCUAAGGACAAUUGUGGUCAGAUUUGUAGGCAAACAAAAAGGGUCAAAAUCCACUAAUAUUAGUUGAUGAUGGCAUUUAAAUUAUUCCCCUUUAUGAAUCCUAUUCUUUCUUUAAAAGUAAUUCGUACCCAACUUAUCAAUUAUACAUUGAAUUAAUUGGGGCCGCACAGAUUCAUACAAAAACGUUGCCUCUUCCAUUUUGUUGCUAUUUUCUAUAACAAAAAUUUGUAAAAUGAUUUGAAAAUAUCUUUUUCUGUGAAGUUAAUAUUAUUAAACUUUCAUUUUUUUCAUAUUUCAAGAAAAAAUAUCUCUUGCUUUUCAUCCUCGUUUUCAUAAGAAUAAACACUAUAUUUCAAACACGCACGAAUACAACAUCUAUGGAAUAACUUUGAUAUUGAAAGUUUUUGGCAGUUUUGAAUUUGACCUACGUAUUUUGAAUUUUUUUUUAAUCAUAUUAUCCCUUUAGUUUUGGUGGGGUAAGUAUUGUCCUUCUAAUUGCAAUUUUUUUUUUUUUGUUUUUUACCAUACAAUUAGUGAAAUAAAUUUGAAUUGAUAUUUGUGUUGUAAUGUAUUCCUUUAAUAUUAAAUAUUUUUGGAUAUUUGUGUUGUAAAUUUGAAUUGAUCAUCUUUAAAAAUCAUGUAAUAAUGUAAUACACAAGGAAAGUAAAAACUCAUGGAAUUGAAAAGCCCCGCUGUAUAUAAACCCUCAAAACCGAAUGGAACUGCAUAAAUUAAUACAACAUUGCUUGAUCAUGCCUUUAAACUUGUUUAAAUCUUAAAACUAGAAUACACAACGAUGCACCAAGUCUUGGUACCAUCAAGGCUAUGAAAACCCAAACUUGGAUAAAAUAGGAAGAUUGUCCACUAGAAAAUAAUAACAAUUGUUGAUGCUCACCUCAAUAAAGUGAAACCAAGCUCGUCGCCAAUAUGGAUUUAUGUAUAGAACUGCACCUAUCACCAGUAGCACCAUGAUGUAUGCAACCCAAAAGGUCACAUAGAAAACCUCUAUAUCCAUGAAACCACCAUUAUCUUUAUUGUUCGUUGAAGUUGGUGUUGGUGAUGGUGACAUAUCCGCACCACAUAUUUUAGGUAGCGGUUCUCACAAGAAAGGGUUGUCCUUGUAGCAGCUCUCCUCAAACGUGGCAAAUUGUGCAACUCUCGCAGAAGUAUUACCGGACAAAUUAUUAUGAGCCACACUAAAAACUUCUAAAGAAAAUAGUUCAGUAAGUCGAGGUGGGAUUUCUCCAUCCAGUUUGUUGUAGGAAAGAUCCAAGCUCUCUAUUUCCUUUAAGUUGGAAAAUGUUGGUGGAAUUGGUCCGGUCAAAUUAUUGUGCGAAAGGUUCAAUACCUUGAUCAUACUGAGGUUUCCAAUUUCAGGAGGAAUCUCUCCUGUGAAAUUGUUGCAUGAGAAAUCAAUUCCUUUGAAGUACCAGAUAAUGUCGCCUCUAUAAGAAAGGGAUACAUUCUUCGUUGUAAACUCGAAGGAUUGAUGUGAUAUGGCCAGCAAAUCAAAGUAAGUGCUUUCUACUGGGAAAUUAUGAGUAGAUAUCAUCCAAGAGAGGAUGUUACCAGAAAGGUGGUUAUGAGAAAGAUCAAUCAGGAUCAAUAGGUCCAACCUGGAUAAUUGAAUUGGGAUUUCACCUUCAAGAUUGUUAUAACUCAAGAGUAAAAAUCUCAAGUUAGAUAGCCUGUCAAUCCAUUCUGGAAUUGUACCAGUGAAAUUAUUAUGGGAAAGAUCUAAUGCGAAUAUCUUAGAGGAGUCAUAAAAUGCCAUUGCAAUCGGCCCUUGCAACUUAUUUCUAGACAAAUAAACAUAUCUCAAAUUUAAAGAAGUGCCGAAUCUAGGUGGUAAACGACCAGAGAAAUUAUUCCCUGAUAAAUCCAAGAAUUCAAGAGAAGACAUAUUCCCUAUCCAUCCAGGGAUCUGCCCUUGCAAACUGUUGUUGGACAGGUCUAACACUUGCAGCGAGCUAAUGUUACCCAACGAGAAAGGAAUGCUUCCAUUGAAACCAUUGUCAGACAUAAAUAAAACUUCUAACCCUGGCAAACGAGCUCCGAUUUCUGAAGGGAUUUGGCCUUGGAAGUGAUUCAUGGAUAUACUUAGGAAUGACAAAUUCACAUGAGAAUUCUUUGGCAACAAGAAUGGGCCUGAAAGAGAACAGUUUUCUAAAUAAAGUUCUUUUAGGUAUGUGUUGUUCUCAAUCAACCAAUUUGGAAACUCUCCCUUUUUUUGGAUAUUUGUAAGAUCCAAAGAUUGUAGGCUGAACUGAUGGUAAAGGAAUUUGGGAAAUGCACCACCUUGUCCAAUACCACUCAAAUAAAGGGACUCUAACUGGAACUUUGGGCUCAGAUUAUGAUCAUCUUCUUCUGAGAAUAUUUCAUUACCUGAACCAUAAAAAGACUUGAGUUUUGAAAGGUUGUAUAAUGGGCUCAAUGACAAAGGAAUCUUCAAGUGAUUGGAAGAGAGAGAGAGUUGUUGAAGGGAAGUCAAAUUUGUCAGACAUGAAGGCAAGACACCAUUAAAAUCAUUGUCACUCAUAUCUAGCUCUUGGAGAUGAUUUAAGUCACAUAGGCCUGGUCACAUUAUAAUUUAGAGAAAAUUAAAACUUUGAGUGUCUAAUGAAAAAUACAUAACAUAGAGAGAAAAUAAGAGUGAUCAACCUUACCUUGGGUUGUAGGUAAUUGACCAUUUAAAUUACAACUCUGCAACCUUAAAGUUUUAAGAGAGGUCAUCGUUCCGAUGGCUUGGAAGAUGCUAUUAUUGAGAGUAUUGUAACUCAAAUCCAAGUAUUCCAAGUUCUUGAGAUCACGAAAGCCUGUCACGAUCAAUUAAACAAGAAAUUAUAUUAGCGUAGAAGGAAUUAAAAUUAGAAAUAAUUCAUUACUUAUUAAUCAUGGCUAAAAAAAUGAAAAACAUCAGGUAAGUGUAGAAAUUAUAUUGUUCAAUUAAUAGAAGGUUGUUUUAUUCAUCUGACCCAAAAAAAGAAAUACACCAUUGUUAAUUUAUUCUCCUCCUAAAAAUAACACUCUUUAUAUGUGAAGUUAUAUUGUUUUUUAUGUUAUUAUUUUAAUUACAUUACACUGAAAUGCUAUUGAGAGAGGGGUAAAAUUAAAGUGACAUAUUAUUUAUAUUAAAUGGAUGGUACAAUUUUAAAAUACUAAAGAUUUCAAUUGAGUUAAUUUCUAAAUUUGAGAUUUAAUUGUCUCUCUGUUUUUUUUAUAUUAUGAAUUUAAUUUCUAUUGGAUUUGAGUGUAAUAGGUUACAAAAACAUAAAAAAGGAAUUCUAUAUAGACACGUCUAAUCAAGCAGGCAUAGAAGUUGAAAUUUGUUAAUUCACCUCCAAAAGGUACAAUGCCAUUGAGUUCUUGCAAUAACAGAUAUUUUAGAUAAGACAGUACUCCAAGGUUUUGAAGAGAGUGUUCAUCUAGAGAACAACCGUCUAGAUACAACUCUUCCAAUGAGCUUAAAUUCUGCAACCCUGUUUGUUCAAAAAUAGCAAAUUGUAUUUUUCAAUUAAACCCAAAUAUAUGAACAUCACUAUAUAUAAUAACUUACUCUCACCUAAUAUUCUUCCUCUAAAAUCAUUGCCUUCCAAGUGAAGUGCCACGAGGUUUGGGAAUGAUCCUAAUAAACAAAGAAUACUCAAGUUAAAAAUAUUAUAAUUUCAUCAAACCACUAAUAUGAUAUAUUACACUAUUAUUUUUUUCAUAUUUUGUUUUGCUUUCCCUGGUUUAGAAAAUGCCAUAUUUUUUUUAAAUAAAAAGAAAUUAUAAUGACUCCAAUUUAGUUAAUUUCCUAAUUUGAAUAGUCAAUAAUAAGUAAUAGUGGAGUUGAAAUUUUUUAAUUUACCUAUAAAAGGUACAGUGCCAUUGAGAUUUUGCAAUGACAAUUGUUUUAGAGAAAGCAAUGCUCCAAGACUUUGAAGGGAGUGUUCAUCUAGAGAACAAUAGCCUAGAUCCAACUCUUCCAAGGAGUUCAAAUUCUGCAACUCUGUUUGUUCAAAAGUAGCAAAUUAAAAUUUUCAAUUAAACCCAAAUAUAUAAACAUCACUGUGUGUGUGUCUAUAUAUAUAUAUAUAAAAAAAACCUACCGUCACCUAAUAUUCUCCCUCUAAAAUCGUUGUACCUCAGAUAAAGUGUCGUGAGGUUUGGGAAUACUUUUAAUGAUUGCAGUAACUGGAAGCUACUUCCAUAGGUUGUGAUAUUCUCUAGGUAUAGAGUACUCAAAUUGCUUGAACCUGCAAGUUAGUUAGGGAAGAAACAUACAAAAGCGAAGAUAAUUAGUAUUGUUGGAUGGGCUCAUCAUCAUGACGCUAACAGGUAGGUAAUGUGAAUGUGUUAUUAAUUACCUCUUGAGGCUAUCAAUUUGUUAAUAUUGUUGCCGCCCAAAUACAAGGUCUCCAAGCUGCUCAAAGAUUCUUAAUAUUUAUAUAAAAAAAUAUUUAAUUAAUUCACUACAACACAAAAAUUGUGUUUUUCAAAAUUAAAUUUAAUAGAUAAUUGUGUUAAUUAAAUUGAAUAUUUAUAAAAAUAAUAGUAUAUAAAAAAACUAACCUUCCAAAUCUAUUAACCCCUCAAGUCUAUUAUAAUCUAAAUAUAAUAAUUUAAGAGAUGAAAGCCCCUUCAUAGAUGAUAAAAUAUUGUUAUCAAAGCGAUUAGAUCCCAAGUCAAGGAUCUCCAAAUUGCUCAAUCUUGAUAGUUCAUAACCACCUAUAUAAAAUAAAAAAUAAAAUUAAGACUUCAUGUAAAGAAUAAAAAAUAUAUUAUUGGAGUAAUUUAAUUAUGAUUGAUCAAGAGGCAAGUAAUUGUUACAGUGACUUCAUGUAAAGAGGUAGAGGCGGUGAAAGAAAAAGGAAUAAUUGUUACAAUGAUGAUGUCAUGAUUAUAAUAAUGUAAGGAAUUAAACAACACCUUACUGCUAAAUAUGAUUUCUAUUUUCUUCGAUGAAUUACUGUGGAGAACCAAAAUUAAUGAUACUAAUUAAACAACACCUUACUUGAUUAAUUAAAAAAACUAAUAUAAAUAUUUUGUAAUACUUAAGAGAGCAAACCUCUGUUCUCGACCAAACCAGCUAUACGAUUAUUCCACAAGUGGAGAGCGUAGAGUUGUUGGAAAGGAAGGAACAAGGAGGCAUUCAAGUACCAAUCUCCCAGUUCCUGGUUCCUUACGCUGUCAAGAUAGAGUCUGGUGACUCGACCUGUACUGCUGUUGCAGACAAUACUUUCCCAAUCACAACAGUGGGCGUCAGCUUUUAUCCAGGAGGGAAGGGAGGUGCCAUUGGGAUAGUUAAGAGAAUCUUUGAGGUGCAACAGAGCGAUCCUCUCUUCCUCCAAGCAACCAAGAGGCUGCCAUCCUUGCAGCGAAACCGUGAUCACUAACACCGUCAACACCUGAAGGAACAGCCCCAUCUUAAUAUAUAUCAACUAUUACAAUAUUAAUUGUUGCAAAUGGCAGCGAGGAGGUGAAGGCUUUUAUAGAGGACUUCACGGACCCAUGCCGUGGAAAAAACUGCAUAGUUGUUUUAAAGAAUUCCAUAUCAUAAUGAAAACAAUCUCAGUAAUUUAGUCCUAUUUAAACUCUAGUUGAUUCUGAUUUUUAAUGAAAAGAUAGGAUUAAAAAAGAAGGGACUGAAAUAAAAAAAGACACUAAAUAUAAGUGCUAUGCUAUAAGUUUUCUAAGGAAUGCAUUUUGUUUUUUAAAUUUUAUAAAGCUAUAUCCAACUCCAUAUUUUUACGGGUACAGUAUAAAGCUAUAUCCAAUCUAGCCUUGAUGUUGUCCUUUGUCUUCCCCUUCACAUCCAUGACGGUGUUGAAAAUAUUCUCAAACAUGUUCUUUUCAAUAUGCAUGACGUCAAGGUUAUGGCGGAGCAAAUUGGUCUUCCAAUAAGAAAGCUCCCAAAAGAUACUUCGCUUUACCCAAUUAUGGGUCAAACCAAAACCAGGAAACUUUUGCUUACCUGAUUGAAGGCCAAACACAAUGUCAUCGUACUCUGACACAACAUCAUGCAAUUCUUCACCAGAAAGACGCGGGGAUGCAACAUCUUUUUCAACUCUGCCAACAAAGAAAUCUUUUCUGUUCUUUCUGUACAUGUGAUUAAGUGGCAAGAAGCGACGGUGACAGUCAAAAAAAGAAGCUUUACCUCCGUUUGCUAGCAUGAAUGCCUUGUUGUUUUUCAUGCAGUAUGGACAUGCGCGUUUCCCAUGCGUGCUCCAACCAAAAAGCAUUCCAUAAGCUGGAAAAUCAUUGAUAGUCCACAUCAAAGCCGCCCUCAUAAGGAAAUUUUGUUUCCUCGAUAUAUCAUAAGUCAGAGCUCUGGAGGACCACAACUGCGUCAACUCAUCAAUCAACGGUUGAAGACAAACAUCUAUAUUCCGCCCCGGGCUGCUUGGACCGGGUAUGACAGUAGAUAAAAACAUGAACUCCGGCCUCAUACACAUUCCCGGUGGCAAGUUAUAAAUUAUGAGUAUGACCGGCCAACAAGAAUAAGGAGCAGCAAAUGACCCAAAUGAGUUGAAUCCGUCUGUACACAACCCAAGACGCACAUUCCUUGAUUCAACUGAAAAGUGAGGAUGCACACUAUUAAAGAGUUUCCACACUUUGCCGUCAGAAGGAUGCACCAUCACUCCAUCAACCGCAUCAUGUGCUUGGUGCCAUGUCAUGUGCUCAGCAAUCCUUGGUGACAUGAAUAACCUCUGCAGUCUAGGUGUGAUCGGGAAGUAUCUAAGUUUUUUAUAUGCCACUAGAGUCUUUCCCCUGCCAGUUCUAGGUUUGUAACGGGAAUGCUCGCAUGUCAUGCACUCGGUCAUCUCAGCAAUUUCAAGGUAGUAUAACACGCAGAAGUUAAGGCACAUGUCAAUUUUCUGGUAUCCUAAACCGAGGGGUUUCAUCAUGGACUUCGCAGCAUAGAAGUUCUCUUUCAGCUUGUUCCCUUCAGGUAAAAUGCUUCUCGCCCAUUCAAUAAUCUUAUCAUACCCGGCCUUACUCAACCCGUGAUCUGACUGGAUGGUGAACACAUAUGCUACGGCCGAUAAUUUACUGUGGUUCGUGCAGCCAUCCCAUAAUGGUUCGUUAGAAUCUUUCAACAAAUCAAAAAACCUAGCUGCAUCUGCAUUAGGUUCUUCUUGUACGAUCGGACAUUGACUGACAUUACCUUGAUUCAUUCUCAUUGCAUCUAUAACCAUAUUUCUGUAAGGAUUGGUGUUGUCAUUUGCCGCUUCAUGCACGUUGCUAGCACUAGAAGUAGACCCAACCACCGUUUCUUCCAUUCUCCUCUUACUAACAAAUACUUCUCCAUGUGCAUACCAACACUGGUAAUUCUUCAUAAACCCUUUGUGUAGAAGAUGCAUCAUUACAACAUCUGGAUGCAGAUAUUUUUUAUUUUGACACUUUCUGCAUGGACACCUAAUACCGCCUCUAGUAAAAUUUCUAGGAAUAGAUGUUGUGAAAUUAAUAAAACCCUGAACCCCGUUACAAUAAUCAAUCCUCCGCAAUCCUUGGGGUGAAUCUCGAUACAUCCAUGAACGAUCAUCCAUGACUUAUAUCGAACCUUUAUAAAAUUACGAUGACAUCAUGUAUUAAUUAACUAAGUUAGGUAAAUAAACUUGCAAAAAUAUUACUUUACCACUCCAACAAACCAAUCACAACUUCUCAUAAAUAUUAAAUAUUCAUUAUCAUUUAUCAACGUCCAUACAAAUUAAUAUAUAUAAAUUUACAUAAAUUACCACUCCACAAUACCAUUGAUAAAACUUUAAACGGACCCAUUAACCAAGCUAUUAAUCAUUUCAAAACAGCACAUGCAAUUCGGUAGUUCCAUAAAGUUUUAACAAUUUACAAACAAAUACAAUCUUACAAAAUCUAAAACAAACCAUAAUAGGUAUAGAAUUAUACAUUCAUAUACUACAAGUUUGUUUGAGAAAUAACAAUAAAACAUGUACAUCUACUAACAAAAUACAUAUACUAAAAAAACAAUAAAAUUGACAUUUAAUUAAAUGUUAAAAUUUAAAAAUAUAGAAUUACUUACAAAAAUUGAUAAAAUCCGUCGGUAAAUCAGAACACGGAUGCUGUGACCACAAAACUUCAAGAAAUAUAACUUGUUGUGCUAAGAUGAGGGAGAUUUUUGUUUGGGGGGGAGGGGGGGCUGGUUGUUUGCAGAUGGGGAGAGUUGGGAUUAGGAAGAAGAAGGAGAAAUAGGGGAGGAGAGGGUCGGCAAAGAGGACAUAUAUUAACUUUUUCCAACGGUUUCACCGAUAGAAAAGCCAUCGGUGAUGUCGUCGGUGAUUUUGACGGAAAAAUCGACACGUCACCGUACGGAUCUGGCAUUUCGAAUCUCUCGGUGAUUCUGUCGGCAUUUUAAAUGGCGAACCGGUCACGUCACUGUACGGGCUGUCAUUUUGAAUCCGUUGGUAAAAAUAACCCCGCCAAAACCUCCACGUUAGCGACUCGCCUUUUUUUUAAAUACAGAAACUUUUCCGUCCGUAAUUCAAUCGGUAACUACCGACGGAAAUUUUUCGUCGGUAGUUACCGACUGAAUUAUGGACGGAAAAGUUUAUGUCGAUAAUUUUGACCUCAAAUUACCGACAGAAAUAUUCCGUCGGUAAAUCCGUUGUUAUUUAGCGAAUUUCUGGUAGUGUAUUUUUUAAUUUCUAGUUAAGAGAGGAGAGAGAAAUCAUCAAAUUCUAACGGGCCCAACUCUCAUUAAAAAUGGUGAAAAAAAAUGCAUGAUGGCAUAGGAUGAUAGUGAUAAACUAAUGCCUGUCCGUAAAUUUGUUUACUUUGAUUUCUCUAAUAAAUGUAAGGUUUACAUAAAGUAACUAUGGAAUAAUAAGAAUAUUAACAAUAAAAUUUAUUUAUAAAUAAAUCAUAGAUUUAAUUUCUCUGAAUUUUAAAUUUGGUGUGAAUAAAUUCAAGGGAUUUCCAAGAUAAAUAGUACAAUAUUAGCCUUUCAAAAAAUUGAGAAUCUCCCACUCUUCACUUUGUCUAUAGUUUUACCUAUAUUAUUGUCACAAAUUAGGGAUAGUUAAAACUAGUGAUAUUUCUCGCACGCUCUUAAGACUAUAGUUUUUUUAAUGACAAUUUAGUUCUAAUUAAAGACCAAUUAAUUUUGAUUUAUUAUGAAAAGAUAGGAUUGAACGAAGAGGGACUGAAAUGAAAAAGACACCAAACAUGGGUCUCAUGCCAGAAGUUUCACAAAUGAUGCAUUUUGGUUCUUAAACUUUGAAAAUCACGCAAAUCAUACAAUUUCAGUAUCUCAAUAUUUUUCCAAUUUGAUUUUGAUAUAAAAGUUUAUUUUUGUUAUUUUUAAUCCCUGGUUAAGAGAGGGGAGAGAGAGGUCAAUAAAUUCAGGCAGUAGAGAGAGAAAAGUAUUAUUGAUACCGAUUGAAACAACCAAAAUUGACUAUAUUUGUGUCAAAUGGCUUUAUUUGAUGAUGAAAGCUCACAUUAAGUAUUUUUUUUACCUUUAAAGUUCGUGAAAAAAGAGAUCUGAUAUUUAGUUGAUUUUUACCUUGAAAGAAACAUGAUAAGUAAUUCUUUUUCUUAACACCACUGAUCACUUCUUUGAAUAUACGUUAUUGUUAAUGUAUGAGAAUUUAAGUGGACUGAAUUUUAGGAUUUCUAGAAAAAUUAAUUAUCUCAAAUUUUGGGUUUUUAUUUUUAUUAAUUUGGAUUUUCUUUCUUACUUUUUAAUAUUUUUAGAUGAGACUGAAAUAUUUUAUAUAAACUUAAAAAACAACGGUACUGAGAUUUAUUCAUAUAUAUUCUGUGUUACUAUUAUUUAUAUAAAUGGAUGAAGCAUUAAAAUUAUAGAAGGUGAUUAUUACAUACUAAACUCUGAAGAUGAAAUUGAGAAAUCUCAAGGAGCAAACUAAAAUUUAAACAAAAUCUGACCAAGUCGUUCCAGAAGACAGGAAAGAAGAUAAAAACAAUGGAAUCACAUCAACAUCACCAGCAGUAUAACGUUCCCUUUCAAUUAGAAAGCUUAGAAAUAAAUUGAUUUCACGUGAUAAUAACAUGAAGGUUUUUCUUCCGAUCAAAUAAACAAAUUUCUAUCUCCCAUCUGGUCUGCUUUUGUUCUAGUCUCUCUCUCACUUUUGUUCUUUCCCUUUCUUCUUCUUUUGAGCUGCUUUGUCUCUCUUUCUAUCCCCCAUGAUCUCUCAAUCCAUCAAAAUUAUAAAUACAUAGCAUUUAGCGUUAAUAAGAAUUAUACCCAUUGAAUUAUACAUAUUAAUCACUUGAUGAAAAAUUAAAUAUGACUAGAAAACAAAUACAAAAAAAAAAUGAUAGUAUAUUAAUCUAAGGUCUAUUGUCCAUUAAUUGGACGGUGGUUGUAUUCUAAUACACUAAAUUGAGAUUUAUUUUUCUAUACAAGAUGAAAUUAAAACAUAUUAUACCUUUUCAAGUUUACAGGGCAAUAUAAUCUCACGGAUUCAUCUCAUCUCGUAGAAAAAACAUUGAUAGCAAUGGUCUCAUGGACCCAUCUCACACUAUACAUUCUAAUCCAAUUUAACAUUUUUGUUCAAUAUAUAUAAUCUCUUUGUUCAUAUAUAUUGUGUGACUCUUUACUUGUAUAAACGGAUGAAGCAUGGAAAUUAUAGUACUUUCUUUUUGUAAUAUUUUUAAUCUGAAUAUCUUUUAGGAAAAAAUGCAUGAUGGAAAUGUUCUCUCGGACCCACCUCAUGGGGAAAAAAUGCACGAUGGCACCAUCCAACGGGCCCAUUCAUGGAAAAAUGGAUGAUGGCAAUGGUCGAACUCUUGGAAAAAAUGGAGAGUGAGCUGGCUAGCGUUGACCUUUCAUUCAUGUUUUUCCACAAAAGACUUUGACUUGGGGUAGCUGGCUAGCGCUAAUCUUGCAUUAAUGUUUUUCCACAAAAAAACUUUGACUUGGGGUCAACUUUUCGGUUAAUUACUUUUAUGCAAUUCAAUUUUAUUUUGCUAUGUGGUUUCAAUCAAUGUUAGUAAAAUCCAAUUCAGCUUGACAGGUUCAUCCAUGAUGUAGCCCGAUCAAAUGGAUGCACUCAAAUGUCUCCUGUAGGUUUACAUACUUUAUUCAAAUUUAUUUUUAUUAUUUUUUAAUUUCUAAUUAAAAAGAAAAAAGAAAUCAUCGAAUUCUAACUGAUCCAAUUCUUGAAAAAACAAUGAGAAAAAAAAAACAGGACGGCAGUGUACUCUUCAUCACAAACCAUUUUAAUCUGUUUUUAUUUUUUUUAAAAAAAAAAUCUUGUUGUACAACAAAUCCUCACAGUACAUUUUUCUUACCCAAACUUUUAUAACCUUAUCCAGUAGCUACUGGCUCGUGAUAAAUCAAACAUGUCCUGCAUUAGUAUGAUUGAAGCUUACAUAAUUAUACAUGCUCUAGGCAUUUCAAAAGGUUUUUUUUUUAUCUUUAUAUUAAUGUCCAACCAAUGAUCUUGUUAUCAAAAUUAUUGAACUCGGACGGGUACAGUUUAAGACCCUGAUCAUGAAUUAAACUAGUUAACACGUUUUAUUUUUUUAAAAUAAAACAAUAAUAUUUAAAAGAAUAAAAUAUCUAAUAAAAUUUCAAUCAAAUUAUAAAUUAAUCCAUCAAAUCAACUAAAUUAAUUUUAAAUUAGUUUUUUUUCAUAACUUAUUCUAAAUCAAGAAAUAAAUUAAUCAUAUCUCGAGUUAACUUACAAAAUUUAGUAUCAUUAAUAUAAUAUGAUAAAAUUUUGCAGCUUUAUUUUUUCUAAAUUUUAUGGGUAUGUUGGGAAAUAUGGUAAAAUUUAUUUUUCAAAGUAUUUUUUAUUUAAAAUAAUAUUUUUUUAUUAUUUUUUUAAAAUUUACGUAUGAUAAACAAUAUAAAAAAAUUUAAAAAAAUUAAAAUUUUUUAAAUACGUGUUCUAGAUUAUAUUAAAAAAAAAGGGUCCAAAGUUGUUCAGUAGAAUCAAUCAAUCAAUCAUCGAUGGACACUUGGGAUAAAAAGGCUAUUUUUUCUUGAGAACGGAUGGAAAAGACUUGUUGCCACUUGUGUUGAAAAAGACUUGAAGGGCCUGUUGAGACAAAGUUGGAAUCUUAAGACCUUUAUUGAUCGUGGAUUUUUUUACUCCGCAAGACUUCACUGUUUUCUCGAAUAAUAUUGAGGAUGGAUUAUAUAAAAUUUUAUAUUUUUUUAAUUUGAUUUUCAAAUUUAAUUUUUAAUGAUUUAGUUAUAAUUGAAGAUCAAUUGAUUUUGAUUUUUUAUUAAAAAGUUUUUUAAAAAAAUGAAUCAAAAUAAAAAAAAUGUUAAACAUGGAUGUUAUAGUUUUACAAAAGAAACACUUUUAUCCUUGAAUCUUAAAAACAACACUGAUAUUUAUUCAUAUAAUUCUGUGUUACUAUUAUUUAUAUAAAUGGAUGAAGCAUGAAAAUUAUAUAAAUGGAUUAAUACCGACUAAACUUUGAAGAUGAAAUUGAGAAAUUUCAAGGAAUAAACUAAAAAUUUAACAAAAUCUGACCAAGUCGUUCGAGAAACCAAGAAAAUAACAUAAAAAUAAUGGAAUGACAUCAACAUCACUAGUAGUAUAUAACCCUUUCAAUAAGAAAGCUUAGAAACCAGGCAGGCAGGCAUCCUUGACCGAUAAAAGCCCUAAAGUUAGAAUCGAUGAUUGAGGGUGUUUGGGAGGCUGGAAAAAAAAACUGUUUUUUACGUCCACAAUACUUCUCCAUUUAUAUCUUCUAGAUUUAUAAAGUAAAUUUGUACAGGGUGUUUUUAGCAAGGUGGUUUAACUUGUUUUUUUAUUAAAAUUUUAUUUUAUUUAUUUAAAAUUAUUUUUAUGUUUUUAAAUUGUUUUGAUAUACUAGUAUCAAAAUUAUUUUUGUUUUGAUAUAAAACAUUUAUUUCGUGCACCCAUGAAAUAAGAAGAUUAAAAUAAAGUUGAAAGAAUUAGUUUUAUAUAUAUUUUUUAUUUUUUUCAAUGAUGAUUUAAUGUCUUUAUAUUACUUUUCAAGUUUUGAGAUUAAGUUCAUAGCUCUUUCUCUUUAAAGACAAGAAAUAUAUCACAAGAUUAAAAACUAUUUUAUAUUUCAUUAAAAUAAAGAAAUAAAUAACUUAUAUAAUUACAGUAUUUUCUUCUUAAGCAAAUAAAUUGAUUUCACAUGAAGGAUUUUCUUCCGAUCAAAUAAACAAAUUUAUUUUAAUAUAAACAUAAUCUUAAAAAAAAUAAUCAAUUAAUAAUGCAGCUUAUCAUAUAUAAAAUGCACUGAAAUAAUAUGUUUUUUUUAUACAUAACUAAUUCUCUUAUCCGAACUCUUUCAAAUUACUUAGAUUUUCUAACAACUAUUAUAUUAAAUGAGGAAUCCUAAAUCUUUUAAAUUAUAAUUUUAUGAAAUAAUAUGUUUUUUUUAUACAUAACUAAUUCUCUUAUCCGAACUCUUUCAAAUUACUUAGAUUUUCUAACAACUAUUAUAUUAAAUGAGGAAUCCUAAAUCUUUUAAAUUAUAAUUUUAUAAUUUAUCUUAAUGCAUCCAAAUCUUUUAAAUUAUAAUAAAAGUUUAUAUACUAAAACUAAUAAAAAGUGAAAGUAAUUGAUGUAAUGACAUAGCAACCAUAAACAUUUUGUGGAUAUUCAAAAUUAAAAUAACUCAGUUUUAAGCUAUAAUUGUUCAUUCGGUCACCCAUUCAUGUAUAUAUGGAAAAUGAUAAUUUUAAUAUACAAAUUUUCAUAGCAAUAAUCUCACGGACUCAUCUCUUCUCGUAGAAAAAACAACUCUUGAUAGCAAUGCUCUUGCAAACCAUUCCACUAAUCUAUGUUGUGGAAAAAAUGCUUAACGGUGAUGGGCUCAUAUACCCAUCUCACACUGCAAAUUUCUAUUCAUCUUACUUAUUGAUAAGAUUGUGUUGAAAAAAAUAUAAUUAGUAUUUAAUUUAGAUAAAAAAAACUUAUUGGAAGUAUUUUAGAAAUGUUAUUAUUGAUGGUUUAUUUUAUCAAUGAUACUCUUUGAUUUUAUAAAUGAUAUGAGAAAAUAAAAGUUUAUAUACUAAAAUCAUGCCUUAUUUUAUCAAAAUUAAAGCAUGAUUUUCCACACGUUAUUUCUAUAAAGAAAGCAGCAAGUCUUCUGUAUCCAUUAUUAUCAUGGAAAAUGAGCUUCCAUUAAAGACUGACAUCAGCCUUAUUAAAUUUGAUUUGGCAGGAAAGGUUGAUGUGAGAUCUAGUUUAACUUGAGUUUAGAGAAAAACUAAAUGAGAGUUUACCCGUUAAACUUGAAUAAUCAAAUAAGUUAAGCCGUAAAUAGUUCAAUUUAAUAAAAACAUGGUUUUACUUUUUUAACUAUGCAAUUUUAACUUAAAAAAAAACCAAUUUCUUGAAAUGACACAAUUUUAAAUUAACACAGGUCAACAUGAACUAACCAUAGAUUGUUCACCUAAACCCUGAUUAGCAUUAUAGUUUAUUGAAUAAAAAGUAACAAUUUUAAAUUAACAACAGUCAAGAUGAACUAACCUGCACAAUUUAUUACCUAUUUAACCCUGAUUACUCAUGUCUAACCAUAGAUUGUUCUAUUUUCUUUAGUUUUGAUGAACAUGACAUUCUUAUGAAAAAUGUCGCGCGCGCGUGUGAGUGGGAAAAACGCGUUUGUUCUAUUUUCUUUACUUUGACUAUAGUCUUCCCUGACAUUAUUAUUGUCACAAAGUGGGCAUAUUUCUACUGUUAUCUUUGAAGAUUUGAAUUGAAAAAGAGGGACGUAAUUAUAUAUUAGUUGAAAUUUUAUGAUGUACAUUAAUUCUUUUAAAUUAAAGUCAAGUUAUUAAUUAUAUCCUAUAUAUAGAUUUUCAAUCCUCAAACCAAUUUCAAACGAAUCACUUCAAGUGAGUCAUCAUAGUUCAUGAUCAAUUCCUUAAAUCCUGUAAAUAAGAUUGAUUGAUCAAAUUUUAUAAUUAAUAAUAAUAAAUGAGUAGCAUGCUAAUAAAUAUUUGUGGAAGUGAACUGUUUUUGAUUGAAAAAAGAAUAAUUAAGCGAUCCUCUUCUUUUUAUAUAAUAAUAUAAUAACUACCGUAGUUUAAAUUAUCUCGAAAGGCAUGAUUUUUCACAUGUAAUUUCCAUCAAAUUCAAAAGGCAUGAUUUUCCACACGUAAUUUCAAUAAAAAACAAAACAGUUGCAAGUCUUUAUAUUCAUCAUCAUCAUGGAAAGUGAGCUCAUAACAUUAACCUUUUCUUCAUGUUUUUUUUUUUAAAGACUUUGACUUCGGGUCAACGUCUUGAGAAUGAAUACGAGUUCCUUCAAGCAAUUACUCUCAAGCAAUUCAUUUUUUCUUUUAAUUUUUUUUGGUACUGUAUGGUUCAGAUGAAGAUGACCAAGUCGGCAUUGGUUAGCUAAAAUAAUUUUAUGGUUCCUAUAUAUAUAUAUAUAUAUAUAUAUUAGUUGAAAUUUUAUGAUGUUCAUUAAUCCUAUGAUGAAUUUUCAGAGAAUGCACGGAUAAGUCGAUGAAUCUUCAGAGAAUACACAGAUAAGUUUUCUAAAAUGAAUUUGUUCUUAAUGCAGACUAUUCUAGGAAGGAAAGCUAAAAUAAAGCCUAGUGUUUACAACACAUUUGAAGGAGAUGUGAUUUUACUGUUAUAAUUUCAGCCUAAGGAUCAUAUGUCCUUUAAUCAUGUGCUUGAUUCUUGUUGUCUUUUUUUUUUUUUUUUUGAUUAGCGUGGGGUGUCUGGGCCAGCUUGCGCGCACCACGACUAUUCCCCACGGCCCACUGAACAUCCUGCAAGCCUAGUGAGCAGGUAAGGCACCACGGGGGUGACAGGCGUGCACAUAGAGGAUCGAACUCGGGACGGGAGCAAAGCAAGCCUCAUGGUUGGCCACUGAGCUAGACCCUCAAGUGCUUGAUUUAAUUAGGCUUGUGCUUGUUUACAGGACGCUUCCCUUAUAACCUAAUAAUUUUAAUAUACAACAUUUUAGCACCUCCUCAUACUUUUCACGUAGAAUUUUAAUAAUCAGUGAGAAUUUAUUAAUUUCCCAUAAAUCAUAAAAUAAAAUGUCCCUUUUGGAAUUAGCAAAUUUAAAAAUACUACUUCUUAAAAUAUUAAUAUUAUAACUCCACAUAUAUAUAUAUAUAUAUAUAUAUAUAUAUAUAUAUAUUUAUAUAUAUAUAUAUAUAUAUGUUUAUUAUAUCAUUUAAUUAUUUAAGAAAUAAUCAUCACUACUAACUGUCGAAUCACAAAUGUUUAAGGAGCACUUUUAGCUCUGCCACACAUAAUUUCCAUUAAAUUCGAAAGGCAUGAUUUUCCACACAUAAUUUCUAUAAAGAAAGUAGCCAGUUUUCUAUAUCCAUCAUUGUCUUGAAAAUGGAAAGUGAGCUCAUAGCAUUAUCCUUUAUUCAUGUUUUUUUUUUAUUUAAGAGAAACAACUUUGACCUGGGGUCAACUUUCCAAGAAGGAAUCAGCCUUAUUAAAUUUGGUUCGGCAUGAAUUAAUUUGGUCGAGGUUUAGAAAAAAUUAAAUGAGAGUUGACCAGUUAAUUCAUAUUCUACUUAAUCUAAUCAAAACCUAGUUUUAUUUUGUUAACUAAGUAAUUUUUUUUAAAAAAAUCUUGAAAUCACAUAAUCUUAUAUUUGACACUGGUCAAUAUAAACUAAUUUGCUUAAAAAUCAUGAUUCAAGUACUAGGCCUAGGCCUAACCAUGUUUAGUAACUUUGGUUUUGAUGAACAAAACAUUAAUGUCAUAUAUAAUUUUUUUACAACAUUUUACAAAUAUAAUUCGCAUUCAAAUUGACACAUUCAUAAAUUGAUAUAAUAGUUCUUAAUAUUUAUUUUUAAUAUAUAUAUAUAUAUAUAUAUAUAUAUAUAUAUAUAUAUAUAUAUAUAAUGAAAUAUUUUAAGAGUUGAUUAAUAUUGUUAAACCAUAUAUGUUAUGUAUGUUUUUUUUCAAUUUUAUUUUUUAAUAUUGAGUUUGCUUAUCCCGAUCUCAUUAUUCGAAUAGUGGAUUUGACGGCUUAAUUUAUGUUUGUUUUUUUUUCAAUCUUAUCCUUCAAUAUAUAGUUGAUUUGAAAAUAUGCUUCAUAAUGUUUUUUGUUUGAUUUCUAUGAGAUUAUUGUAGUCUUAUUACCUGUGUUACAAGUUUGACGAGUUAAAUCAAGUUAACCCGAGUUAGGUAUUUUAUGAACUUUUGAAUUGAGUUUUUUUUUUUUCCAUUUUCAUCAUUCAAUAUUUGGUUGAUUGAGAAUUAUAUUUUAUAAUUUGUUUUGAUUUGCUUUAUAUGUAGUUAUCCUAGCUGCAUGACUUGGGUUGUGGGCUUGAUAUGUUAACUUGGGUUAAUUUGAGUUAUUUUUUUUUUAUUGAUCUUUUAUUUCAAUCUUAUCUUUUAAUAUUGAGUUGGUUAGGAAUUAAGCUUAUAAUUUAUUUUGAUUUAUUUUCUAUGGAGUUAUCUCGGUCUCAUGGUUCAGAUAUCAGAUUUGACAGGUUUACUCGAGUUAAUUAGGUUCGAUCUAAUAUGUUUCAGUCUUAAUAUGUUUCAGUCUUAAUUUUUUUUUAAAAAGAUAUUAUCUUGGUUUUUUUUCUUUUUUAAUCAAACUAUAUUUUUAACUAUCCUACAUGUUGUAUUUGGAUAUGUCAAGUAGACCAUGUUAUAUUUUUAACAUUUAUUUUUUUUAUUAAAAAACAUGUUAGUAAUCAAAAGUUUAAGGAUCAAAAUUGAUAUAAUCAUCUAAUAAAAAAUAUUUUUGAAUUUUUCAUAACUUUUAGAAUGUUUUUUCCAUUCAAAAAAAAAUAUGUUUUCAUGAAAAUCAAGAUAAAUUUUUCUUUUACCAGAAAAUAUUUUUUAUUAACUAACUUUACUAAUUAUAAAACAUUUUAAAAAAUAGAUUACAAAAGAUCACUUUCUAUGGAACAAGCCUGUAUUUCUGUGAAGACAUUCCAACAAAAAACAAUUCGUGAAAUAUUAGCCUUUCAAGAAAUAGAGAAGCUUCCACUCUUCCUCCUGAUGUGAUUAAUUAGCGGGUUGGAGAGUGGGAAAAACACGUUUGUUCUAUUUUCUUCACUUUGUCUAUACAUUAUUAUUGUCACAAAGUGAUAUAUACUUCUUCUGUUAUCCUUCAAGAUUUCAAUUGAAAACGAGGGUCGCAAAAAAUUAAUUUUUAUAAAAAUACCCUUAACUUUGGAUGUGGAUAAUUGUUUGUAAUAUAUUUACAUCCAAUACAAACAAUUCAUCAAUGACCAAGUAGUCAUUUGUUAGCUUAAAUAUUGAAAAUACUUACUCUUUUUUUUUUUUUGGCCAUGCAGUUCCUCUCUCUCUCUCUCUCUCUCUCUAUAUAUAUAUAUAUAUAUAUAUAUAUAUAUAUAUAUAUAUAUUAGUUGAAAUUUCAUGAUGUCCAUUAAUCCUUUUAAAAGAAUGAAAGGCUUAACACUUUGUCGUAAAUUUUUUAACAACCUAUUUUUUUAAUUUUGAAUAUUUCAUCUGUAAUUCCGUCGGUAUAUACUGACCGAAUUAUUCCAUCGGUAUAUAACGACUGAAUUAUAAACAGAAAAUAUUCCACUGGUAAUUAGGACAAUAAAUUACCGACAGAAUUAUUCCGUUCAGUAAUACCGUUGGUAUCAAGCGAAUUUCUGGUAGUGUCUGGAAUCGAAGUUUCCAGGCUAAAUAGUUGGUAGAGGUAAGUUUUAAUGGAGUUUGAGCUGCAACAUUGAUGCUAAUCAAUGUGCUAUGAGUUUUAAUGGAGUUUGAGCUGAGAUGAUAGGAAACGAUUCUAUUUCUCAUGUUGAAUGAAUGAAUCAGAUUGACACAGCAGAAGGAAUUACUAACUGAGUUGCCUAGCCUCUAGCCUAUAUACUCGGAAAUAUAACGCUGGAAAACAGAUUAUGCAUGGUUUGUUAUAACAGCUGUAUAGUGCUAUAGAGAGACGUGUCUGUUGCUCUAUCCCUAAAGUUGAGAAGGUGCCAAUUGGAGCUCAAAAUUCAAUCUGCACCUCAGUCAGGGUGUUGCUCCAGCCCGAAAGUUGAGAAGGUGCCAAGUGGGCUCAAAAUUAGAAAAUCGGCGACGUCUCAAAUUAGCUUCUCAGGGGUUAUCCGAUCCUCAACUUUUUGAAAAGAAUCAUUUUAGUCCAUACAUCUCAGAUAAUUCUCAAUUGGAUCCUUUUGCAAUGUCUUUGGGUUUUUUCUUGUUAACUUUUCUUCAGCAGGACCCCUUCUAAUCAGUUUAGUUGCCAAUAAAGAUUAAUGUUUUUUCUUCCUAAGACCAACCAACGUUGCAUCAUAUAUGAUUAAAUUAUUUGAAAAUACGAUAACGAUUAUAAUUUAAAGUAUGUUUUACUUGGAAAUAUAUUAAAAUAAUAAUUUUUUAAAAUUUAUUUUUUUAUUAGCAUAUCAAAACAAUUUAAAAACAUAAAAUAAUAAAUUUUAAAUAAAGUUUUUUAAAAAAUAUAAUUUCAAUUAUAUUAUCAUGCACUACCUAAUUAAUCCACCAAGUUGACCACGUUGUACAUAGUUCACAAUAUGACAAUUAACUCUUAACUACCAGCAACACACACUCACCUAUCAUAGUACCUUCUAAAAAAUAAUCCUUGAAAAAUUCAUAUAAUUUUAUCAUACAUGAAAUUCAAAAUAAUAUUCUUUAUAUCAUGCUUUUAUAAGAAAUUUUAAUAUUUUUUAAAACCAAAAACGUAGAAUGAAAGAGGAAAAAAAAAACUGUAUUCUUUCUUGCAAUGCAUAUAACGGAGCUGUGUAACAGACCCAUAGAACUGGCAACGGAGCUGUGUAACAGACCCAUAUAACGGAGCUGGUGUUCUUCCACUUAGCAGAUUCAUUUAUAUCAUAAAAUAAAUUAUAAUAAGAAUGAAAUGAAAUUGGAUUUGAAAAUUCUCCAAAACUGGCAACGGAGCUGUGUAACAGACCCAUAGAACGGGAGUGGCACUUGUUGGUAAAUUAUUAAAUUAUUUUAUUAUGGAUUUGUGGACAUACACUAGUGUUAGAAAGCAUAUGGAUUUGUGGAAUGAUUUUACCCUUCUAUAUAUUGCUUCAUUUUCUGUUAAUUUUCCUUAACCAUGACCUUGCAAUUUUUUUUCUUUUAAUUUAUGGAUAGAUUUACGAGAGAGCGAAAAUUGCAUAUGGAUUUGUAUGGCCAGAACAAUUAUUUACGGCUGAGAACAUGACCUGGAAUGAUGGUGCAAAAACAAUUACAUGUGGCCUUGCUGUAAAUAUCUAACAAUCAAGUCCCUCUAAUUUCUUUCAAGAACACUACAGCAAUCUAUGCUGUUAUAAAACACAUUACCAUCAAUUUUAUUUUUUCCAUUUAAAAACUCUCUUGAAACCAUUUUCUGUUAACAUGGUUUCUACUUAUUUGAUUUUCACGUCCACUUCAAAGCAUUUGAGCGAAAAUCUGCUAUUGUUAUUCUGUCUUGGCACAAAGCAUUUGAGUUUGUUGCUUUUUUUUUUUUUUAUAUAAUCAUCGAGAGUAUAUUAAGAAGGCCAUAAAGUGAAUAGCCAAAGAAAAAUACAAGGAUAUGAAAACAAGAAAAAAUAAAAAAAGUUGAUCUACUACAGCAAACAACAAGAAGACUACCUAAGAUUUCUUAUUACACAAAGCAUUUGAGUUUGUUGCUUCACUUGUCAAAUAUUUUCUACUCUUAUCCUUUUAUGUGCUCCAUGCCAUUAGGAAUCAUCGAUGCUGCGAAGUGCACUCUUGGAGCAUGGUAAUCUCAUACGAUAUGCUGAAAAACUUAAGACAGAUUUCUUGGAGGCUGGAUCGUCUUCUUCUGUCCCGCAAUUCCUUUCAGACGCUUCAUCAAAUUCAAAAAGACGUCUUUCAAAUUCAGGCAAGAUAUUUUCAUCUUUUAUUCUUGUGAAUAUUAUAUUGGUCAUCUGAUAGUGUCUUGAGUUGUGGAUUUACUAUACCAAACCAGCCUCCAGAUCAUGUUUCAGUCAUCAUCAAACUAACAAUUUGUUGUUUAAGAUGCUUCAAGAAAAAUAAAAGCCAUUGGGAAAUAAGAGGUCAAAAAGUACCAUCCAUGUCUCUUUUCUUUCAAAUAGAAUUUCAACUAUUUUCAUGUGUUUUUAUCACUAGGCUCAAAACCUAAGAAGCAACCCGAGAGGGAAAGGACAGAAGAGGAGAAAACUUUCAGAAGAAGGGCAAGAUACUUUCUAGUAACACAAGUAGUUGCAGUUUUAGUCCUUCUAUCUGUCAUCAGCAGUAAUGAUUUUUCUGAGGUGGAGGUUGAUGAUGAUGAAGAUGAAGAUGAAGAUGAAGGGUUCAGUUAUGACUGAAGAAGCAUUCAUUUUUUGUCAAAUUUGUAUUUUCCUUGACAAUUUUUUUCCUCAUGACAAUUCAGUCAUGGACAUCACUGUGAGAAAGAUAGUUUCCUUUUCACCUUUCAUUAUUGUAUUCCAUGUAAAAUUUUUGAAAAAUAAUCAUCCAACAGUUGGAUUCUAAUAAUGAAAAUUCAGAAACUCUCCGUGCUGCAGGAAAUAGCCCCUGUAGUUGUUGAAUUUGAAUCCACUGUAAAAAAAUAACCCCGUGAGCACUCUUUCAUUCUCAUUGAUUUACUUCCAAUUCCUUCUUCCUGUUUCUGGUUCUUUGUUUACGCCGUUUCUGGUGAUAUUGAGUUCGUUUUUUGGUUGGUUCACCUUUUUAAACAGUUAUAGGCAAUGCCAAGAGAAGCAUUUGUUCAAUUUAGAAUAUUGGAACAAAAAAUGAUAUGACUUUAUUUUCAUGUAUUCUUUCACCGGAUAUUUGUCCAUGUCUAAUUGGAUCUAUUAUUCUUGUAAUUCUCAUUUUCUAGUUUUUUGUAGAGGAAGUUUAAUUUUUUUUCGUUUUACCUCCAGGUGAAACUAAUGAUAUCAAAUACAAGGUUUUCUAGUUUUCUGUACAUCACUUUUGAAACAUCCGAUACCUGGUCUAAGCAUAAUCAAAUGACUUUAAUCAAGCAUUGCAGCAUAUGCUGGACGGUUGAGAUUAGAGUAUUCAGAACUGGAGAUGAAUUGUUAUGUGGAAUCUCGAGACUGCUUUGAAAACUCAAGGAAUUGAAAAGCCCCCCGCUUGUAUAAAACUCUCAAAAAUUUAUUAGUAUUGUUUUGGGCCCUUCCAGCUUUGUUAUAUUCCCUUAACUUCGCUAGCUAGAAACCAUCCUUGGACUUCAUUUACAUAGCCUUGUAGCAAAAAUUCUCGCCUAGUAGAUAAAAUCCCACCACAAGAUUGAAAGAGUUUCUUGCUUACAAGAAAACUCGUGUCCAGACAAAUACAUAAAUCGUGGUUAACCAGGUGACCCUAAUCCAGAGGGAAAAUGAGCAAGGGACCGAAACAGACAGUGGAACCAUGUACCUAUAAGAAGUCGAUUCAAGGGAGGAUUAAGAAAAGUAGCAAAGCUCCAUCUAUGGCAAAUUGGAGAAUGGAGACUUUUAGUUGAUACCGUUUAACCAUGGCAGGAUAUUGGUUGACGUUUCAGUCCCAGUACAGAUCUAUCCGGUGAUCGGUUGGCACAUGCAUAGCCAACUUAAUUAAAGAAAACAACAGCAGUAAUCUGCUAAAAACAACACUCAUAUAUGGUGAUUCUUAAGAAUGUUUAAACACAUUCUUUUAAAUUUAUUGUAUGUUUGAGAAUAUAGUUGCGAUUUGGAUGAAAUAAGCCCCGUCUCUUCCCAUAAAUAGAGAACUUCUUCCUGGGCGCGGUAUUGAUAGCCAGAUGGAUCAUAGAAAUACUGCACAAAAAUGUUAAGAGACUUUCCCACUAUGAGUAGAAAGAUUUGGAAAAAGAUUAGAAAGAACUCAUAUUAUAAAUAACUUUCUUAUAACUAUCUCUUGCUUAAUUCUCAUUUUCUAGUUUUUUGUAGAGGAAGUUUAAUUUUUUUUCGUUUUACCUCCAGGUGAAACUAAUGAUAUCAAAUACAAGGUUUUCUAGUUUUCUGUACAUCACUUUUGAAACAUCCGAUACCUGGUCUAAGCGUAAUCAAAUGACUUUAAUCAAGCAUUGCAGCAUAUGCUGGACGGUUGAGAUUAGAGUAUUCAGAAGUGGAGAUGAAUUGUUAUGUGGAAUCUCGAGACUGCUUUGAAAACUCAAGGAAUUGAAAAGCCCCCGCUGUAUAAAAACUCUCAAAACCGAAUGGAACUGUAUAAAUUAAUUUUGUGGCCAAAGUAGUUGGAUUCUAAUAAUGAAAAUUCAGAAACUCUCCGUGCUGCAGGAAAUAGCCCUUGUAGUUGUUGAAUUUGAAUCCACUGUAAAAAAAUCACCCCGUGAGCACUCAUUCAUUCUCAUUGAUAUACUUCCAGUUCCUUCUUCCUGUUUCUGGUUCUUUGUUUACCGUUUCUGGUGAUAUUGAGUUUGUUUUUUGGUUGGUUCACCUUUUUAAACAGUUAUAAGAAACUAAGGUAACUGAGAAGCAUUUGUUUAUUGAUUGCAAAUGGUUCAAUUUACAAUAAGGAACAAAAUAUGAUAUGACUCGGCGAUGCUAUAACAAAAAAGAUAUGUGAGCUUCCGUGUUUGAUAGAUUCAAGCAGUUUCCAAUCCCAGAUAUUUCUAAGCAUACAUGCUGUUCAUCUUUGGUUAGCUUGCCAGCUAAUAGAUCACAAAGAAAUAUGUUAGCAGGACAGCAAUUGCUCUACGCUACCUUUGUCAUUUAGGUUAUAACAUGUAAUUACAUCACUGAUGCUAGCAAUGGAGCUUUGGAAUGCCAUUAUCACAUGGUAAUUAGAUCGGUUUUAUACUUUGUAAUUGUCACGUAUAGUGGAAUUGUGUUUAUUUCUGUUCCUUUAAACUAACUUGAAAUUUGAAUUCUUCCUAAUUAAUCAGCUAUGAAAUAAAAACCACACAAAUAUAUGAAAUUUGUAAAUGCGUUUCACGUUAAUAUAAUUUUUUUUUGUUCAACUAUCACUUCAUAUGUGUGCACAGAAUGGAGCUUCCAAUGAAGCAAUUGUACUAUUCAAUGAAAUGAGAGAGGCAAGUCCUAAUCCAAAUAAAGUCACAAUGAUUGAAGGGGCCCUUGAUUUGGGGAAAUGGGUUGAGACACAUGCAUCAGAAAGAGGUUUACAGCACGAUGUCUAUGUUGCAAGUGAAUUAAUAGAUAUGUAUGCAAAAUGUGGGAGCUUGGAUGAUGCACUCAGGGUUCUUGAGAGUGUUCCUAUCUAAUUUUUUAUUUAUAUUUUUAAUAAAUUUUCAAAAAAAAUUAAAAAUAGCAAAAAACAACGAAAAUCCCCUAAAAAAUGCAUUUUGAUAUAUUUGCAUUAUUUUUAGUAUUUUCAACGUCAUCUUAGAAAAAUUUAAAUUUUUAAAAGUAUUUUGAACGCGUUAAUUUUACAAUCAUUGAUUUUUUGAGUGCACGUUGAUAUUGCUCGCUUUAAAAAAAUACAAAAAAAAAAAAAAAAGAAAACAAAAGAAAAUGAAAAAUUGAGGGACUAGUUUGGAAACCCUAGAAUAUUUUGCCUAUAAAUACUAGUCUACAGGAAAAAAACCAUGGGGGGAGAAAAAGAAAGAGGCAAAGGGCCGAAAAAUAUUUAGGGGGAGGAAAAUUAUGAAGAAGCUCUAAAAACCCUAAAAACAAAACCUACAUCUAUCUCUAGGGACGGCGGCCGCCUCCCUAACCUUGGCCAAAGAGAACUGGGGCUGCUCGCUUCCCCUCUGUUGUAACCUAUUUUUGGGUCCCCAUAAAAAAAAAUAUAAAAAAAUAAAAAUAAAAUUGAACAGUGUCGUUUUGACACUGUUCCUCUUCCUGCAUGUUGCUAGAGCCCUACGCCCUUGGAUGACAACAAACCAGGGGAGUCGCGCCUUACCAGCCGCGCUCACUGCCCAACCAACCAGCAGGCCGCUCCCCUGCUCCCUAUGCGCAGCAACGUCCCCGCUCCCCCUUCGCCUAUAAAUACUGCUCUUAGCAGCUGCAACAAGGGGGGAGAGAGGUUUUUGGGAAGGGAAGGAUGAAAGGGGGAUUUUUUGGAAGAGGGAGAGGGCUGUUUUGAAAGACACAGGGGGAGAGAUUUUUGGAAACUGAUAGAGGAAGAAGUUUGAAAUGAGGAGAGUGACGGUGAGAGGUUAAGAAGAGAGGAAACGAAGCAGCAAAACACUGCUCGUCACCGAGGACAGCUCACCAUCUUCUUCCCACCCGCAACAACACCACCAGGAACAGAGCACUUCAUCAUCACCACCAGCUGCCACUGUCUUCCCCGCCGGCAACACCACCGUGAGAAACAGAAGGAAGAAAGGGAAGCAGGGGAGAACAGAGCUGAAGAAAAGACACAUAGGAGAAAAGGAAAAAAGGCCGCCACCACCAGUGCCUCCACGAAGCAGCGGCAGAGAGGGAAGAACAUCGCUGGCAGCAGAGAACCAACAAAGAAGGAGCUGACAAAAGCAAACAGGGAAGGAAACCAGAGGCUGGCGCCUCUGCACAGGGAAGAAGAAGAGAAAAUAGUUGUUGUCACCGGGCUCCACAGCCACUAACCACCGUCCAGCCAUCUCUGAUCAGCCGCCACCAGCAUAACCAUCGGCUUCUUUUCUCAAGAACGCAGGAAAUAACAGAGGAAGCCACCAUCACCAUCGGCUUCACCUUCUUCAGAACCAGGGAACCAGCAGAGAAAGUCAGCAGCACCAUAGAACCAGCAGAGAAAGUCAGCAGCACCAUAGACUUUUCCUUCUCCAGAAUCAGCUCCCCAGACCGCCACCUCCUGCACCUCUAUGAAGCUGCUGUAAAGAGGGAAGAACAGCGUUGACAGAGGGAACAAAGGAAACCAAGAGAAGGAGCAACGCCUCUGCAGAGGGGAAGAGAAAACAACUGCUGUCCCCGGCUUCCACAGCCACCGACCACCAUCCAAGCCAUCCCCGGUCGGCCACCACCAGCACCACCGCGAGUGCACGCCAUUGCCAUCGUCUUCAAUCACCGUUUCCGCCACCAGGUUUGCUCCCCAGGUCGCUGUGCAUGCACCAUUUCCUUGCAUUUCACUGUUCAUGAAAUAUAAUUCACAUAUGCACAGUAACCAGUCCAUGUUUGUUUUGGGCUGGGCCAGCCCAGCCCAUGCUGCUGGGCUGAGUCCAGCCCUGUAGAAACCAGGCCCCAAUUUAUUUUGGGCCGAUUUUGGCCCAGUUUCUUUUUGGGCCGGGUCUGGCCCGCUCGAACAAAAAUUCUUUAAAAAAUUAUUUCAAAAAAUAUGUGAUUUUCUGUAAUUUUAUUACUGUAUUUUGAUCAAUAUCGGUUUGUAUUUUUAUAUUGUAAAGAUACAAAUCCGGUAUUAAAAUAACCGGUUUUUGUCAAGUUUUCAAAAAAUGUUUUGUUUUCAUGCAUACGGCCUAGUCUCUCCAAUAUAUAUAUAUAAAUAUUCUAACAUCAUAUUUUCACACAACAAAGAAAAUUUCAAAAAUAAUAUAUGUAUUAACAUGCAUUUCGGCUUUAAUAACCAGUUUAUUAAAGCCAUGAGGACUAGGCCAAUAUUUCAAAAAUUCUAAAAAAAUCUUUUUUGUCUUCUUUUAGUAUCUGGGAUUAUGAAUUUAUGCGUAAAACGUAUUCCUGAUAUUAAAAAUAUGGUUUUUUUACAUAGACGUUAGAACGGUUAGGUUUUACCCGAUAAGAUAAGGACCUCCUUAUUGAGGAGGACUUUUCUUGAACCAUAGACGGACCAAUAACUAGGAAACACAACGAGACCUUGAAUUUUAUCAGACAAAUAAACAAUGCAGCUUACCUUAGGUAUGGCGUAUUUGGGGUGCUAAUACCUUCCCUUUACGCAACCAGUCCCCGUACCCAAUCUCUGAGACCAGUUAGGGUUCCUAGUGAUCAAAAUACUAGGUGGCGACUCCCAUUCCAUUUUCCUACCAACAAAAGACAAUAUUUUCUUGUCUCCCCACAUUUGCCAGAUAGAUGCCAAAAUAAGUUUACAUUUUAGAUUUAAAGUGGGACAUAUAUUUUCGCCGCGACGCCGCACCCGUGCGACAGAAUGGCGACUCCACUGGGGACCUUGUGACUCGCUUCCCCAUAGCCUUUUGCAGCCUCUCCAACCCCCUGAUCCUGCUCUCGGUUAGCCCCCCUUUCCUUUGAAAAAAAAAAACCUAAAGCCACCUCUACCAGCGACGGCUGCUCAAGCUCUUUUGAAAGGAGAGAACCCCACAAAACACACUCCCUUCUCCUCAACACGCAGCAGCUCCACUCUCCGGUUUUUCCCCAUCUCCCAGAACCAACCGGGGCCGCCUCCCUGGCUGGAGGCCAAAAACCAGAGAGAGAACCUUCAACCUCAGCUCCCUCUCUUCCACCGAUCUGUCCUUCUCUCCCUCCGCCACCGUGCAACAGCCGACCCAUCGGCCUCCCUCUCCCGGCCGCUGGCCCCUACUUUGUGACCCAAAACCAGCCGGCCGCGCCCCUCCACUGGCCGUCGCUCUCCCUCGCGGCCAAGACAACACCGCCGCCCACUGACACAGGAGACCAGCCCCACAGCGGCUCCUUUCUUCCGCAGGCCGAACACAGCGGCAGCCCCGCUGUCCUCUGCUCAGUCUUCUCUCAGUUCCACCGCGACAACAGCAAUAACAACCCGGCAGCGCCCACAGACCGGCGGCCCCCUUGGUCUUGCCGCCACCUGAAGCGGAUGAGAAGAAGCUCUCCCAGCCACUAGAUCUGCCAUCAACAGAAGGAAAACAGAGAAGGGAGAAGGCGUUGUACCCGAGAACAGAUCCUGAAGGGGAAAAGAAAAUUAAAAUCGACUGCUUGUUGUGUUUCUUCUCUUGCAGGUAACGGUGGCUGUCACCGCCAGCGAGGAAAGAGAAGAGGGGAGGAAGCCGAUUCGGAUCUCCCCUGGCGCUGCUCAUUUUUUGCGGCGGCGCUUGAACCCACGCGCCGCCAGUGGUGUCCGCGAGUGGAGCAGACGCGCCGCCACCACUCCAACAGUUCCUGAGGGGCUGCUCUGCAGUUCCUGGACUCUUUAGGGACCUUUUUGUAAUUUUUACAUGUUUGAAUAUGUAUUUAAAUUUCUGUUAAAUGUUUUUAGUUUAUGUUAUGUUGUAAAAAUUGUAACAGAAAAACAUAGUGAAAAAGUGAUGUGGAAGUGUGUGGUUGUAUUUUUAUUUAUUUAUGUUAUUGAAUUAUAAAAAUAAAAAAAAAAAUAAAAGGAAUUAAUUGUUUAAUUUGAAUAUGGUUAAAAUAAAAUUAUGUUAUAUUUUUCAUGAAAAUGUAAGAAUAUGUUUUUACAUAUAUUUUGGGAUUCAAUAAUUGAUUUAUUAAAACUUUAGAAUUUGAUUAAUAUUUUAAAUUUUCAAAUCACAUCAAAUUUCAAAAUAAAUUUCAAAAUAGCUUACUUCAAGUAGGGUGUGCUAGGGGUGUUAAUAUCUUUUUUAGUUAUAACCAGUUCUUUAUUCUCUAAUUUUUGACAAAGACUAGUAAAUCCAGGUUUUCUAGUAACCCUCUCAAUGAAAUACUAGGUGGAGAGAUACUAGUUGGUCUCAAUGGUCUCAAUGAAAUACUAGGUGGAGAGAUACUAGUUGGCGACACUUAAAUAAUCAAUCAAGUACUAUCAUUAUUCAAGAGAUACUGGAGGGUGCGGCAGAGAGUAUGCCUCAUAAAAAUGAGGUGUCAUGGAUUGCCUUGAUUUCUGCUCUUGCUUUCCAUGGCAGGCCCUGGAAGUAUUAUCAUUAUUCAAACGCAUGUCAAAGGAUAAUGGCACUGUGCAUGCUGGAUUAGUUGAUGAGGGCCGUCAAUUGUUUGAAUAAAUGAAAUUGUCAUUUGGAUUGGUCCCAAUAGUCGAGCACUAUUCUUGCAUGGUUGAUCUUUGUGCGCGUGCAGGACUUCUGAACGAAGCUUGGGACUUAAUCAAGAAGAUGCUUGGAAAACCAGAUGAAAUUGUGUUGGGGUCAUUGCUUGGUGCUUGUCAGAGGCGUAGAAAUGCAGAUGUUGGUGAAAGGGUCAUUCAAUUGUUUCCAGAGAUGCAAUUAUCUCAUCUAAGAUAUAUGCAAAUAUGAGAAGGUGAGAUGAUUCUGCAAAGAUGAGGGUGUUGAUGAGGCAGUGUAGUGUCUCCAAAACCCCUGGCUGUAGCUGGAUUGACGUUAGAGCUCGUGCUCAUGAAUUUCAUUCUGGUGACAGCUUACAUCAUCAUUCGGUGAACGUAUACCAAUUGCUGAAUGAGGAGAUAAAGAAAGAAGGUUACAUUCCAAAUAUUUGUUGCAUAUAGAGGUGGAAAAGUUGAAUACUUGGUUGCCUCUUUUAGCCAUUGAACAAAGCAUUCGGAGGGAUUAUAUCUUCUGGUUGAUGACUCCAGCCAAAAUGUUGAAUGGUAAGUUGUGUUCUUAAUAGCAUGAGCAAGGAGCUCAAUCUUGCUGAUAGAAAUGUAUAGUUUACCCUCGCAUGAGUAUGUUUCUGUAGAAUGAAAAUGGUUGUUGGAUUGUUACAUGCAUUUGCUGUAAAAUAAUGCAGUUCAUUCCGGAAAGAAUGCUAAAACUAUUUUUUUUUUCAGAACAUAAGGAGGGAAUGGAGGGGGAAUAUUGGUGGAUUGAAAUAAAAUGCACUUGACACCUUUUAAGAUUUUAAGGAUGCCAUAAAUCAUUUUCAAUAGUCCUCUAAAGCCAGAACGAUGUUUAGUUUCUGAACAGACUUCACUUGGAAUCUGACAAAACCCAAUCUACGAUUAGAACUUAUGCAGAAAUUGCCUCAUAACGCGACUCCAUAUCUAUUUGUCUUUCCCUAGUGGGUCCUUGUAAUUUCAAUAGUUGAUGUAAAUGAAGUGUAAAAUGUUUUUAGGCCUUGAUUGUAGUUUCUGCUUGGAAAGUAGUUUUUAUAAAAAAUAAUUUUUUUAUAAAUGAAUUAUUUUAUAAUGUUUAGCGGUGUUAUAAAAACUAAGUUAAAAAAUAUUUUUUUUUCGUGUUUAACUAUAUCAUAAAAAAUAAGUUGUUUUAAUUAUUUUUUUUAAGUUUAUCUAAUAUAUAUUAUACGUUAGAUGUAAUUAUAUUACAAUAUGGAUGAGCCCUUAAUUAGACCCAUCCAAAGCUAGCAUUUUCAUCGGUUCCAAUAACAUGAUAUUUUGUUGACAAUCUUAAGAAUUGAGUUAUAUACAUUUAAAUGCAGUGUACUCCAUAUUGUACUUGUUAUGAUCCUUGUUAAAUUUUUAGGGAAUGGAAGUUCUGGUGAACCAGAGCAUUAGGGAGACUUCAUUACAAUCCUUAGCAUUGAUUGUGGAGAAGUGAGAAAUAUCAUUUCUAGUGAAGUCCCAAGUGUUCUUGAGUCAAAGCUCCAGGUUAAUUUGUUCUCUCAACAUGCUUGCUUAUAAUUUCCUUUAUUAAUGUUGUACACAAAAGAACUGUAUAUAGGCAGCCUCGUUUCAUUAUUGUUCUAUAUAUAGAAAUUGGAUGUGGACAGCAAGGACACGAGGAUUGCAUAUUAUUUUGAUUUCAUUGUUGGGACAAGCACUAGAGGCCUUAUGACAUCCAUGCUUACUGCUCCAAAUGAUGAAAAACGACCUUCGUUUGCCGCAAAAGAUAUUGGAAGUUUUAUCAAGACCACAAUCCAGGCACCAAGUAAUUUAUGGUAUUUUUGAGCUACGGUUUUUUUUUAUGUUGCUUUUUUUAUGGUAUUUUUGAGCUACGGUUUGGAAUUGUACAGAAGUAGUAUUCUAUGGUGAUUCAUCCUUUAGGGUGUGGGGUUUAUUCUUUGUUAAAGAAAAGGAAAGUGUUUUUCCGGUGAGAAAAGGAGGAAAACACUUUCCUUUUGGAAAAAGGGUUGUGUUGUCCUUGGUUGGAGUUUCUCAAAGUUUAGCAAACAUAGAAAAAUGGGGAAAUUGUUUCCAGGAAAAUGGUUUCCAUGAAACAAACAAGGCCAGUUUAGUUUUUUAAUGCUCCCUUCUUUGCUUUGUUAACUUUCUCCGUGUUCUGGCUAUUGCAGCUGGAAAUAUGAUAAAGCUAAAGGACAUCGUUGGAAGAGAAGAAGUGAGAUCCUGAAAUGCAUUUUGCUUUGUCAGUGUUUUAAGCAAGUGGAGGUAAUUAAAGAUUCUAACAAGGGACUUAACUUUAUUUUCAUAUAUUCUUUCACUGGAUAUUUGUCCAUGUCUAAUCGGAUCUAUUAUUCUUGUAAUUCUUGUUUUCUAGUUUUUUUUAGAGGAAGUUUUUUUUCUUUUAAGCGGUGAAAGCUAAUGAUAUCAGGUUUUCUAGUUUUCUGUACAUCACUUUUGGAACAUCAGAGACCUGGUCUGAGCGUAAUCAAAUGACUUUAAUCAAGCAUUGUGACAUAUGCUGGACGUCUGAGAUUAGAGUAUUCAGAAGUGGGUUGAAAAUUAGAAGCCAUCAUACAUGUGGAGAUGAAUUGUUAUGUGGAAUCUCGAGACUGCUUUGAUUCAUUUGCUCAACCGGGUGGUCAUCCAUUUCAAGUGGGGAGUGCUGUCGACAGAAUGCUAUGUUCACAGGAUCAAUACUCUCAGUUACUGAAGCUUUAGAUCAAGCAAAUUCUCUAAGUGCUCACAAGCUUAUAUACAAUCAGUGAAAUAAAUUUGAAUUGAUAUUUGUGUUGUAAUGUAUCCCCUUUGAUAUAAAAUAUUUUUGGAUAUUUGUGUUGUAAAUUUGAAUUGAUCAUCUAUAAAAAUCAAGUAAUAAUGUAAUAUACAAGGGAAGUAAAAACUCAUGGAAUUGAAAAGCCCCUGCUAUGUAAAAGCCCACAAAACGGAAUGGAACUGUAUAAAUUAAUAUAACAUCGCUUGAGCAUGCCUUUAAACUUGUUUAAAUCUUUAAACUAGAAUACACAAUGAUGCACCAAGUUUUAGUACCAUCAAGGCUAUGAAAAUCCAAACUUGGAUAAAAUGGGAAGAUUGUCCACCAAAAAAUAAUAGCAAUUGUUGAUACUCACCUCGAUAAAGUGAAACCAAACUUGUCGCCAAUAUGGAUUUAUAUACAGAACUGCAAUUAUUACCAGCAGCACCAUGAUGUAUGCAACCCCAAAGGUCACAUAGAAAACCUCCAUAUCUAUGAAGCCACCAUUAUCUUCAUUGUUUGUUGAAGGUGGCGUUGGUGAUGGUGGCAUAACUGCACCACAUAUUUUGGGUAGCGGUUCUCCACAAAGAAAAGGGUUGUCCUUGUAGCUACUCUCCUCAAACGUGGCAAACUGUGCAACUCUCGCAGGAGUCUUUCCGGACAGAUUAUUGUGUGCCACAUUGAAAAACUCUAGAAAAAAUAGUUCAGUAAGUUGAGGUGGGAUUUCUCCAUCCAAUUUGUUGUAGGAAAGAUCCAAGCUCUCUAUUUCCUUAAAGUUUGAAAAUGUUGGUGGAAUUGGUCCGGUCAAACUGUUGUGCGAAAGGUUCAGUACCUUGAUCAUGACGAGGUUUCCAAUUUCAGGAGGAAUCUCUCCUGUGAAAUUGUUGCAUGAGAAAUCAAGUCCUGCGAAGUACCUGAGAAUCCUGCCUCUAUAAGAAAGGGAUACAUUCUUCGUUGUAAACUCGAA